UCACAUUAAAUCAUAUCAAAGAAAAUUAGCAUUUUUAAGGGUAAAAUUGAUUAAAUUUUCUAUUUUCUAGGCCAUAAUAGCAUUAGUUGAAAAAUUAGGGGUUAAAGUGCAAUUUUCGGAAGUUUCAUGCAUCUUGUUCGAAGGAGUCUUCUUCCUCACUGGUUUCUGCAAUUUUUCUGGUUUUUGCAGCUAUUUCUCUUCGCUAAACAUGACAAACAUCAAGGCUUUUGAUCUUAACAACAAACAUCAGAGAGAUUCAAUCAUUUCAACAUACACAAAUUUCAAUCACCGAAAUGUAAUCUUUUGGGUUUGCUUGUUCAGCACACUCAAGCAGCCAUAAACUCAAUCAAAAAAAAAAAAAACUCACGGCAUCAUCUGAUAAAGCCCCAUAGAAAAACCCCAAACUUCUGUCCCCAAAAACCAAGCCAAACCCCAUGAAUUCCUCAACGAUAAACCGAAAGAACAGGAACAACAGGAAACCCAAAACUCAACAUGAGUUUUGGCCUGUUAAAGAUGCAACAGAGAGAGUCGAAUAAGGAGCAACAAAGAACAGACGGAACAAACUCUCUUUACACUAAUUAUGAGUCAUUAAAACUGACUUCCUGGAAACAAUAGGAAGCACAAAAAGAAAAAUAAAAGUCCCAUAUGAAAAUCAUUUAUCAGUCCAAAGAAAUUUCAUGGAAGAUGUUAAACUAGCUAAUACAAGAAACUAUCGUUACCUGUAAGUGAUUGGAGAUUAAUUCAACGUGAAAAGAUGUGAAAUGUUUGUCUGAAAAUGUUGGAAGACGAAGUAAGAGCUCUCUUUUGCAUCUCCUCGAGUAUAAUGAAAGUAGCAGAUUUGGGUUCCAAGUCAAGGAUACUGCAACCGUUUUUCCCAAAGAUCUCAACACCAGCGUUGUUCAGCAAUGGAUCAUCAGCCUUGCUUUUCCUUUUUUUAUUCUUGGCCCGAAGCCAGUUCCUUUUCCUCCCCAGUUUCUUCCCUUCUCUCUCUUUUUCUCUUCUUUCUUUUCUGGUCUUUUGCCCGCAGCCUUCCCAGAUUUCCCAGGCUCCUGGUUUCCUCUCUAUCUCUCUCUAUAUUCUCCUCCUACCUUUCUUGCUCUCUCUUUUGUUUACCCACGAAACUCUCUUCCCUAAUUUUCCAGGUUCCCUUGCUCGAAGACCACUUUUUUUUCUCCUUUCUUGCUGUUUCUUCAGCCCCUUUUUUUUUGCUUGCUUUUUUCUCCCCCCUUUUUCCGUCCGCCGCCUCCCUCUUUUUUGCUUUCUUCCUCCCCCCAAAACCCUUCUCCCUUUUGCCGAAGCUUUUUCUUUUUGUUUUCCUUUUUUUGUUUUCAAAUUUUUCCUAUGCUUCCAAGUGUCCUAACCACCUAUCAUUUAGAUGUUAUGCUGUCAAAAGAAAAAUAGAAACACUUGUCUCAUGCUCCCCUAACAUGCACACCAUCCACUUGGCCCUAUUGCAUGUGUGCCACAUAAUUUUAUUUUAUACUUUUCUUUUCAAAACCAAUUUUUCGAUAAAUAAAAUUCUAAUUUCUAAUUACCUUACAAAAAUUUUAUUUGGAAGAAACCGAGUUUUGAAAAAGAUUAAAAUGGAUUUUUUUCAUUUUGAGAAUUUUCUUCUUCUUCUUUUUUUUAGAAAUUUAAUAACAAUAAUAAUAAUAAAAAUAAAAAUAUUUUUAAAAAGAAUGAUGAACCUAAUUUGCUACUACCAAUUUAAUCAACUAAAAUAAAGUAAAAUAAAACAAAAAUAAAGCUAAAAUUUAACUAAACCAAAUUGAAAUUUUGGUGUCUACAAGAUCAUAAGGAAAAUUAGGUCGCUGACCAGCAGUCAUGAUGAGAUGGUUAGCAGGAGAUGAAAGAAGUGUCACCAAUCCAACCUGUUCCCAAUAACUGCUUGGCAGAAGUAUCGGGAUUUAGCUUGAGGGGACAGAGAUGAGAACGUGAAUCAAGGUGAAGAGGAAGAAAUGUAAAGAUGGUAGAGGAAUUCGCAGAGGAAGGAACUAUUCCUUUCACUCAGGAAAUCUGUUUACAAAUCAAUCAAGAGUCUGUUUUUUCUCAGUGCAGAGUCCACUAAUUAAUACUAGUGCUUGAAGGUUGCAUGCAAUGCAUGCAUGUUGCACAUAACUGAAUGCUGCAUGGACCAACUCCUGAAGAUUUCUUCUAACAACCUUGCUACGCGACAAUUAUGAAAAACGAUACCGUACCACUAAUUCUGCUAAAUAAGUAAAAAUGACACAGUUUACAACUAAUUCUUUUAAAUGAAUGGAACGACACCGUGUGACGCCCCGAAAAAAAAAUGAGUUUGAGAACCCGGAAAUUUUCUAAAUUUCUAGGGUUUAUUUUAUUUAAUCGCCCGCCUUUUCUACAGUUUCUUUAUUGGAAAAAAAUUUUUCAGAUAAAGUUUAUGAGCAAAGAUAGUUUUAAAAUGAUUUUUCUAGUAUCGGUUAUUUUUGAGAAAUUAAGAGCGUAUUUUGGACGUGGGACCCGCUAGUGCGGUAAAUGCAUUAUAUUUUUGACAACUUGUUGGAAUUUUGUAUUAAGUGAUAUUAUUUUACAAGGUCUUAAGAUAUUUGUAUUGGAGAGACAAAAAGAUAAGUUUUGAACCAAAAGGUGACAAGUGUCACCAUAAGAUUUAGUCUUGAGUUUGACUACUAUUCAUAACUUUACCAUUUAAUUAAAAUUGACCAAAAAUCUCUUCAUUUUGCAAGCUUCUUGGCCGAAUUUAUUGGAGAGCAAAAGAAAGAAAAGCUAUCAAUUUCUUCCUUCUAUUUCUUGCUCAAUCUUCAAAUCCAACCAAUAAAACUCCAAAUCAUUCCAUAAAAUCUCUUUGCUAAGUGAUCUUGAGGUGUUUUGUGGAGUUGUUUGGAUAGUUAAGGUGACUAGUUGCUCUAUCUCUUGUAUUGCUAAGGUGAGUUGUGAAGGACCCCUCUCCUUCCUCUAAUGAUGUUCAAUUGAUGAUUGGUGGUGGUAUAAGAUGCAACUUUAUGGAUUAUAUUGUGAUUUUUGGUUGAAUUGAUGAAAUUUUAUAAAUUUUGGGGAUUUUUCUGUUUUCAUAUGAAUAUGAUUAUGUGGUCAUGUAUGAUGAUUGGAAAUGAUGUUUAAGGACUCUAUGAGGUGGAAAAAGUGGUUAAUUGCAAACAAUUUCUGUUUGGGAAGAAAUUUUGGAAAGUUAGGGUUCUAAUGAUAACAUUCUGCCCGAAUUUGUAGCUCCUAGUUAGAGGCCGAAUUGGCCUUGGCUUAAAACAUGAAAGUUGUAGGGAAUGACAUUUUAGAGGUGCCUACAAAAUUUCAGGUCAAUCGGAGUAGUGUAGAAUGAGAAAAGUUGAAAUUACUAUUGCUGUCCUGGUUUUACCCGAAUUUGGGUAUUGCUUCUGUAAUUGGUUGUUUUGGUCAGGAAUGCUUCCGAAUUGGUUGUUGAGGUCUUCUGAUGAAUUGUAUCCGUGUUUCUUAGCUUUCAGCUGGUUUUAGAAUUUCUGGAUUUGGACUUGUAGAGCCUGAGUUAUGAUGUUUCCGCUAGAAUGCGUUUUGGUGAAUCUGUUUUUGUGAUUCCGGUGUAGUAUCUUGCAUUUUUGACCUGGUUACACUCGAAACUGGGUUGAGUGACCUUCUGUAAUAUUGUAGCCCUGUCCCUUAGCUUCGAAACGGUGGGUCUUGUACCUUCAUCCGAAAAUCGUAGUGCCUUUGGUGCCAUUACCGCAAAUGGAUGUCAAAAGCUAUUUUUCUGGUUUUGAGCUUAACUUUCAUUUCCAAACUUUUCCCUAGCUUGACUUGUACUAGUACUACUUGGAGCUUGCUGAAUGACUAUUGGAUAAACUUGUUGUUGUGUGUGUACCUUUGGGACUGGCUGAGGAAAUAAUGAAGCCAUGAUGGCUGGAAAAGUAAGCAAAUUUAGGGGAGGUGCUGUCCGAACUUUUAAAGGACUUGUUUGCAUUGAGUUUGUGAUCUAAGACUGGGAUUUGAGCAAGGCAAUGAUAUAUGAUGGAUGGUUUCUGAGCCAUGGAGGUGAGUGACCUCAAACAAUUUCUGAAGUUAUUUAUGAACCGUUUCCUGCAUUAUUUACUUUUGAGUUGUUUCCAAAGUUACUUUUGUACCGCUUUCUUGCAUUAUUUACCUUUAAACUGUUUCCAAAGUUACUUUUGAACUGUUUUCUUGCAUAUCAUGCGUGCUUGCAUGUGAGUGUUCCUUAUUUGCUAUAUUUUCUUGACUUCAUGACUUGUAUUAUUGAUUGAUAACGUGUUAAGUGCUUUGAAUGAUUUCCAAAACGAGCUUUCUAGGCGAGUGUGUACUUUAUCGCACUCGACCUAAAUAACUGUGCAAUUUUCAAGGAUUUAAUUAUUGAAAUGCUAGUUGCGCAUGAAUGUAAGCCGUUUGGCUAAAUUGGCCACUGCCCUUUGUUACCGAUCGACUCGAGCCAGAAGCGGACUCGGUCGGGCGAUAUGGUGACUUGGGUGAAUUUGGUAUACUCGAGUAUUACUUUGUAGUCCGGCUACGUCCGGAUGGGUGGAGUCCGGCCAAUGGUCGGAUGGGUGGAGUCCGGUCAACGUCCGGAAAAGGGGAUGAACGAACAAAAGGAUGAACGAGGGAUUCUACUUACAAAAAAAUAUAUUUUCAAACGAUUGGAGGAAUAAGGGAAAAUGUCAGGGGAACGAACGAACAAACGAAUAGUUUCAUGUGAGCCCGUAUCCUUUUAAUGAAUGUUACUAUCGCUUUCCAUUGUAAAUGUUCCUUGAAUUAUUGAUACUCCAUUUUAAUGUAUUGUAAAUGUUCAUUUGAUUUAUGACAUCAUUGAAAUGAACUAUUGUGAAACCGAUUUAUUUACUGAUUUUAAUGGUUACUCGCUGAGUUUCUAGCUCACCCCAAAAAUAUUUUAUUCCCCUCCACAGGGCUCGUGGCGAAGGAAGGACUUGUAGUACUUGUUCACGUGACUGGAUGGCAUAUAUCUUGUAUAAUUUGCAUUUGGAAUCAUUUUAUGUAUAGUUGAGAAUUGUUUCCGCUUCGCUUAUGACAUGUAAAUAUUGGAGAUUUAUAUUGUAAUAUUUGAGGUUUAUUCUUGUAAUUCAUUUGAGGACUGUAGUGAACGACUGAGUCCCGGCGAGAGCUGGGCAGGCGACCCGCCGAACCCUCUAGUUCGCCUUAGGGGAAGGUGGGGCGUCACACACCGUGACUGCUACACCCUACUCCAGCUUGUCCUGUGACAAGAAGUUUGCUGUGUGAGUAGCUAGAGAAAGACCAGUAAAUCAGUUUGCUCUGUUUUUCGCUUUGCACGCACUCUAGUAUAUAAAGAGCAGUUCCAGUUGUUGAUUAAUCAGCUUGGGAAGAAACAUUAAGUUCAAUAGGUACUAUUUUGAUGUGGAGAGAUUCUCCUGCUGACUACUAGCUUUCAACUUUCGCGGUUUGGAUAGAUUCUUAUAUAGAUGGAAAACAAGGCCCUUGCCAAUUUGAUGUUUUUUCCAUUUUGAUUUCCCUUUGUACAUUCCUUUUCCGGGACCGCCCUCUGCAUCAAAACCUUUUUCCAGCUCCUCUCCCUAUCCACAUUGAAUCCAAUUUCCCUCAAAAUAUCUGUGCUUCUGUCAAUGAUGGCUACCACUCUAAAGAAUGGUUGGGUUUGAAGGCGAGGAGCUGCAAGACACGGUACAACUUAUUAUCGGAUUCUUGGUUUGUGAAAUUUCGGGGGUUUAAAGGUACAAAAGAAUUUCAUUUCUUUUACGUAGCAGAUGUAGCAUGUGCUCAUGAUAGAAGUAGCUGAACCCUUCAAUUUACAUCCGCAGAUAAAGAAGGCUGUAGCUAGUAUUGUGCAAGAAUUCACUAAGGUAAAUAUUGCAUGGGAUGCGUGGAUGUUACAUCAUGUUGGCCAUUUGCAAUGGCCUUGUAUGUGCCUACAAAAAGAGAAACUAGGCCUCUUUAUCUAUGUAACGUUCACAAACUUGCAACCCUCCCAGAUAGCUCUCAACAAACAUGUGGUCUUGCAAUUGGAUUGGGCAUGUACCCUUCACAGGAGUGUAUUUACCCCGCAAGGUGCGUAUCAAGGCGAUACAAACAUUAAUUCAUGUCAGUUGUGAGAUGUUUAACAUUCGACUUGAAGGCGAUAAAUAUUUCCCUAUGUUGGACAAGGUGGAGCAGGGGGGUCUGGAGAUGAUAAUUAGUGAAGUUUGAAGCUAGUAAGUUUUGGCUUUAGCUAUUUAAGGUAAUGCCCUUUUUUUUUGUCAUAUUGACCAAAGGACCGAACUGACAUGGGGGCAAACUUGGAACCAUUGGCGCACCUUCUCUUCUAAGAACAUAAGGAAGGUUUUACACCUGAUUGCAUCGGCAACCGUUUGUAGGCGCAUGUGGGUUAGAAACGCGAAUAAAUAAUCUUUCGGAUCCGUAGUCACGGUAGGAUUUCAUAGUAGGGAUUUUGAACUUAGCAGGCGGAGGGUAGUUCUCGAUGUCCGGUAUGAAGGGGGAGGCAGAAUAUUUAUCCGCCUUCGAAUCUAGCAACAGAUCCAGUUCGUCAUGUAUCUAGUACUCUUCUCUCCUUGGAGAGUGCUCCCUCCGCGGGAUCUCCCAAAAGGGCUCAGGGUGCUCUGUUCGGGAGUUCCCGUGAGAGGGCUCCAGAAUUUCUAUCUGUUCAUGCAAGCGCUCCUUCCGUGCUCGCUUUUGUUGGGGGCUGGGGCUUCCAGUUCUAGAUUCUGACGGCUCCAAUCUUCCCACCUUCUUGCCCCUAGACUCCGAAUCUCGCAGAUCUCUGGUCCAACCCUUCAAGUAGUUCAUAAUAGCCUCGAAAGUGGGUAGGUUUUCCGCCACCACCUGUACCAGCUGUUCAGGUGGAAUUCGCGAGGGCUCCGUCCCCUAUUCACCAAGAGUUCGCCCCUGAUAGGGAUUUUAGGGGUCGCUUCGCUCGUUCCCCUUGGAUUCAUCAGUGGUCCUCCGAGAUCUAGUCCUCGGCAUUUUUCACAAGGGAAGAAUUGCAUUCCCACAGAUAGCGCCAAUUGAUGCGACUGUCAAGAAUACGAUCCGAACAGAGCAGCCGUGGGCUGAGUGAACUAAGAGGGAACGAACUGAUGUCAACGAGGGGUAGCCCGAACUGACCUACAAAGAGAUGAACAGCGGGACUAGCUCCCCGCUGUUACUCCGACUAUCAAGUCAGUUAUGGUUACAAGUAGAGCAACGGUAUUGAGUAUUGUAAAAAGCGUACCUUGUCUUGUCUUGUUUUGCUAGAUUUAUAAGGCUCUUGGUAGUAGUUUUCUUAUAAGAUUAUGAGCCCUACUAGAGAGGGAUUCCACUUAGGGCUCCGUCUGCUGGCUCCGAAAGGCUCGGGAUCUACGGCCCGCCAGGCCCAUCCAGCUGGGGGGCGGUGGCCAUGCGCGAACGGGCACCCAUUCCUGUCUGAGCUAAUCUGGUCAAGCUGACAAGUCACAUGUCUGAACUGACCCAUGGCUCCGUUGGAUUGGCCCCACUACAAUUGACAUUAAUGUCAUCUUCAACUUUAAAUAUGAUGAAUCCUUCCAAGUUCCAAAGGCAUAUCAUUGGCUUAGCCUACAUGUGAGAGAUAAUUAGAUGAUUAAGAGAUCAAAAGUUUUUCUAACCAUUAUGAUCUUUGCGUAUACAUGUUGUUUAGGAAUAGCCUAGAAAGUGAUAAAUGUCAUGUUUUUGGUUACAUAUUUGCAUGCACAUGGUCAUCGAUGAUAGAGGUAAAUCUGGUUCUUAACAAUACUUGAAAGGCACUGAAUCUGAAAGGGAUGCGCUUUGGAAACGUUCGACCUUGGUUCAUCUGGUAAAACUUCAUCUUCCAGGAUGCCCUUUGAGAUCCCGCAAAAGGCCAAAUAUAGGCCAGGAAGGCAGCAACAGUUUUGCCGAUUUUCAGUAAUAAAAAAUGCAAAUUUGCUAACCGGCCUGAGGGGCACAGGGAUAUAUGAUCAGAGGCAAAGGAAGGGAAAAUUAACAAAGGCAACAACUAUGUUAUAAUCACUUACAAGUCGGGAAGAGCAAAGCUUCAGUCCACCACCAACCAACCAAUGAAAUUUUCUGGGGUGCUUUUCCCCACAGAAAGCUCAGUCACCUCAAGAAACAGAGCGACGAGGAUAUCCAAGAAUUUGCAGCGUUUAUGAAUUCACCUACCAAGAGAAAUCAGUGGUGUAGAUACCCAUCAUAUUAUUCUUUGCAUUUAACUGUCUAGAGAAAGCCAACCAACCAAAUUCCCUCUGCCGCUAUGACUAAACCAUCACGAAAGCUACCAUUGAGAGCACUAGAGGACCAUUUUUCUAAGGUUCCUAUGAAACAUAAUGAAGAAAAGGGCACCUAAAGUCCCAACAAUUACUAACCAAGAUUCGAUAUUCAUUUACACUGAUUUAAGCCUUGGCUUUUAUUAUAGUUCGGAUAAGAAUAAGAUAUGCCCUUUUCCCAUAUUACUUCUUGGAUAUCUUUGAUUAGUAUUCUUUUUGGUCACGAGUCCAGUUACAAUAAUUAGUCAUGUCACAAUAUAAUUUAUGUCCUUGACGCAGUUAUAUUUAUUGCCAAAAAUUAAGCAAACAGCAAAAAGAAUUGGAGCAGAAAAUAGACAUUAAUUAAAACCACACUUGAUAUUGUCCAUACAAUAGCAACCCAAUUAAGAACAAAGUGACUGAAUCUUGGACCAAAUUACUCAAAAUAGUUUCUUUUAUUUUUUUUCUUCCUAAUAUAGGGCGUCCACCGGAAACUCCACCAGCCACACUUGCUGCAAGAAAAUACAAGAACAGGGCAUCAAGCUUUAACCAAUAACACCAAAAACAACAAAAAAUGCUGCAUUAUCUUAAACGGUAGAAUCCGAAACUUACUAACUUCAGUGUUCACCAGCUGCUUCACUAGCCCCACUAGCCGCUCCAGCUGCUACACCUUGUCCAUCCUGGAGAAAUAUAAUUUGAUAAGAUUUUCAACCCACAAGAAUGAGAAAGCGUAAGAAAUGUAGAGUUGAUAUUAAUUUACCCGCACAAUCACCAGCACACUUUGUAUUGGUGCAUGGUAGCCGGAGAUGUUGAUCGUCGAACCCACCUCCACACCAAAGGCAUCUCUCACGUGCGGCCAACCAAAAAUCAUCUUGCACCUCAGAUCACCUCCCUCUUGCAUCACAUAGUUGAUAUUUCCUGCCAUCGUUUGAAUUAAAACAGGAAUUCCGGUGUCGGAGAGAGCAUCCAUAUCAAAGUUGGGAGAAAGAUAAGUGAGAAACACUCUAGCCUCCCUAGGAAUUAAUAGUCAUUUUCGUCACUCAUGCGCAACGUCUUUCGGGCCAAAAAAUAUGGGGGAUUUCCCAUAUAGUCCCCCACUUGAAAGAGAUCAUAAGGAAAAUUAGGUCGCUAGCCAGCAGCCAUGAUGAGAUGGUCAGCAGGAGAUGAAAGAAGUGUCACCAACCCAAAGUGUUCCCAAUGGCUGCUUGGCAGAAGUAUCAGGAUUCAGCUUGAGGGGACAAAGAUGAGAACGUGAAUCAAGGUGGAGAGGAAGAAAUAUAAAGAAUGUAGAGGAAUUCGCAGAGGAAGGAACUAUUCCUUUCACUCAGGAAAUUUGUUUACAAAUCAAUCAAAAGUCUGUUUUUUCUCAGUGCAGAGUCCACUACUUAAUACUAGCGCUUGAAGGUUGCAUGCAAUGCAUGCAUGUUGCACAUAACCGAAUGCUGCAUGGACCACUCCUGAAGAUUUCUUUUAACAACCUUGCUACGCGACAAUUAUGAAAAACGAUACCGUACCACUAAUUAAGUAAAAAUGACACAGUUUACAACUAAUUCUGUUAAAUAAAUGGAACAACACCGUGACUGCUACACCCUACUCCAGCUUGUCCUGUGACAAGAAGUUUGUUGUGUGAAUAGAUAGAGAAAGACCAGUAAAUCAGUUUGCUCUAUUUUUUGCUUUGCAUGCGCUCUAGUAUAUAAAGAGCAGUUCCAGUUGUUGAUUAAUCAGCUCGGGAAGAAACAUUAAGUUCGAUAGGUACUAUUUUGAUGUGGAGAGAUUCUUCUGCUGAGUACUAGCUUUCAACUUUUGUGGUUUGGAUAGAUUCUUAUAUACAUGGAAAACAAGGCCCUUGCCAAUUUGAUGUUUUUUCCAUUUUGAUUUCCCUUUGUACAUUCCUUUUCCGGGACCGCCCUCUGCAUCAAAACCUUUUUCCAGCUCCUCUCCCUAUCCACAUUGAAUCCAAUUUCCCUCAAAAUAUCUGUGCAUCUGUCAAUGAUGGCUACCACACUAAAGAAUGGUUGGGUUUGAAGGCGAGGAGCUGCAAGACACGGUGCAACUUAUUAUCGGAUUCUUGGUUUGUGAAAUUUCGGGGGUUUAAAGGUACAAAAGAAUUUCAUUUCUUUUACGUAGAAGAUGUAGCAUGUGCUCAUGAUAGAAGUAGCUGAACCCUUCAAUUUACAUCCGCAGAUAAAGAAGGCUGUAGCUAGUAUUGUGCAAGAAUUCACUAAGGUAAAUAUUGCAUGGGAUGCGUGGAUGUUACAUCAUGUUGGCCAUUUGCAAUGGCCUUGUAUGUGCCUACAAAAAGAGAAACUAGGCCUCUUUAUCUAUGUAACGUUCACAAACUUGUAACCCUCCCAGAUGGCUCUCAACAAACAUGUGGUCUUGCAAUUGGAUUGGGCAUGUACCCUCCAUAGGAGUGUAUUUACCCCACAAGGCGCGUAUCAAGGCGAUACAAACGUUAAUUCAUGUUAGUUGUGAGAUGUUUAGCAUUCGACUUGAAGGCGAUAAAUAUUUCCCCAUGUUGGACAAGGUGGAGCAGGGGGGUCUGGAGAUGAUAAUUAGUGAAGUUUGAAGCUAGUAAGCUUUGGCUUUAGCUAUUUAAGGUAAUGCCUUUUUUGUCAAUGUUAUGGUUCAAAGCUUGAUGCUCUGUACUUAGUGUUUUCUGCAGCAACUGCAGCUGAUGAAGUGUCUAGAGGAUGCUCUAUAUUUGGAAAAAGAUUAAGAAAAAGGAUAAGAAGUGUUUCCAGUAACUUUGGUUCAAAUCUAGUCUAGCUUCUUGUUACUUUGUUGCCAUUGUAAGGACAACAUCAGUAGUGUGGUUUAUAAUUAGAACUAGUUUUUAAUGCAGGACUACAAAUUUGGCUAAAGAAAUUACUGCGUGAUUCUACACAGAGAAAUAGCAGAUAUGUGAUUAAAGGGAAAAAAAGACAUAGUGAAUUUAUUUAACUUAAAAAAUGAAAGUAGAUAUGUGAUUAAAUAACAAAGGAUUCAAAUAACAAGGAAAAAAAUUGGCACUUCCACCAAAAAUUUUGUCUUGGGCUUGGUAUCCAUUUGUACACACAAGACCAUUUGGACGUAUAAAAAACCCGACUUGCCAAAUCACAUUUCACCUUGUGUGUCCCAAUAGAGCUCUCUUUUUGUACCGAUCCAAAAUAAAUUUUUGGGUAAAUUAUACUUUAUCUCCCUAUGGUUUAGUGCUUAUUUACAUAACCCCGUAUGAUUUCAAAAAUUAUACAUAAUCCCCAUAUAGUUUGGAUUAAAGUGUCAAAAUGACAAAAUUUGCAGUCCAUAACGGAGUCAGUCAAAAAUAUCUUUAUUUAAAGUUAAAAAUUAUUUAUUAACCACAGUGGGAUUAUGUAUAUAUAUUGACCAGAAGGAGGUUAUAUGGUAAAGUACUAAACUAUAUGGUAAAAUAAAAAAUCAUACAGGGUUAGAGUGUCAUACAUAUUAUAUUUAUAUAUUUUGAUCAUUUCAGCCAUUUUAGUUUUUACAUAAGGGUAAUUUUGAUAUUUUAAUAGGUUCCGUUACUUUGACACUUUAAUCCAAAUUAUGAGGGAGUUAUAUAUAACUUUCAAAACUAUAAGAGAUUAUGUGAAAAUUAGCUAUACCACAGGAGGGUAAAGAGUAAUUUGCCCUAAAUUUUUUCCACAUUUACUUUAUAAUGGCAAUAUUAUUAAGUGAUACUCAGAACCCUAUAUUAAUCGAAACCCAGUCCCAAGCCCAAAUAGUAAUUGUAGACUAGUAGUGUACCUUAAAUUGAAAGCGAAUUUGUUAUUAAAUAACGGAAAGAUUCAAAUGACAAGGAAAAAAUUGGGACAUUUACCUUAUAAUGGUAAUAUUUCUAAGUGAAGCUCAGAAUCCUCUGUGAAUUGAAAACGAGAUCCUAGCCCAAAAAUUGUAGUGGUUUUCUUUUUAAAUUGUCCUUUGAGUAUCACUAUUUAUUGACUCAUAAAACUCUAGAGCCCUCACUAUAUACUUUAAAGCAAGAAUAAUCUUCGAAACUGUUGAAAUGGCGGAACUACCAAUUGAGGUGCUGAGUGGUAUGCUAUCAAGGGUUCCUUUCAAAACCAUCUCCAAUUGCUAGUGUGUUUGCAAGACAGGGUGCAAACUUAUUAUAGAAUUCUUGGUUCAUGAAAUUGCGGGAGACUACUGGAGAAAAGAACUUCGUUUCUUUUACGUAGAAGAUGUACCAUUUUCCCGCGAUGGAAAUCGCUGUACCGUCAUAUUUACAUCUGCAAAUAAAAAGGUAGUGUUGUGUAAGAAUUCCCGUGUUGUGUAUGAAUUUACAUCUGCAAAUAAAAACCAGAUUUUCCUGUUCAAUCAAGCAUUUAAAAAAAAAACUCAAACUUCUUCAAUAUUAUAUUUUGACCCCUAGGUUGUUAAAAAUUAUUAAUAUACCUCAAAUAUUUCAUACUUUAUAAAUAUUGUUUUAAAGUUUAGUGUAAUUUUUCAAUUAAGUGCAUAAUUUUAAUUCUAAACUUGUUAACGCUCAUUAAAUAAUAUAAAUUGCUACUUGAUUGUUCUAAUUUCUUUAUAUUUUCUUGUUAGAUAUAUUUGAAACAUCAAAUACAUAUGAAUAUACAUUUAUUAAGAUUUUUUUUAAAUGAAAUAUUUUAUUUAUUUUAAGAAAAUUUUGGCAGAAUUUUCCCUUAUAAAUGGACGAAACUCCCUGCCAACAGACCCAAAUUCAAGAAAAAUAUCACAUGACACUUGCUACAUUUUAACUCUACGAAAGUUUGGAAUCCCAAUUGAUGAAGAUCAAAGCAACUGGUACGAGAGCAUCAUCUCCGGUAUCUGAAGCAGUAAUUUUAUGUGCUUCUUGUUUCUAAAGAAUUCCGAAUUAGCCAACCUCCUAGGUUAGCCCACUUUCCUCCGCCUGAAGGAAGGCAUGCCUAACCUGUCUAUGCGAAUUUCCCCUCUCGUUUGUCUUAGAAUUGCAUUGAAAUCAUCAUAAAUGGUGACAUUCCGGUUAUGGCUGGACGCACCCACAUUUGCCAAACUAUCCGUCACCCUAUUUGCUUCUCUGUAGCAAUGAGAAAAUCAUGCCACAUCGGUAAUCAUGCCCCAAAUUUGGUCUACCUCCCAUCGUAUCACUCACGGGCAAUGGAGACACCGUUGAAGAAUCCCAACGAGAACUAGGGAAUCCACUUGAAUACUUACAUCGCUAAACCCCUUCUAAAAGCACAAACGAAGCCCCAUUGCCAGGGCCAAUGCCUUUGCACGCAAACUCGAAAGUUCCCCAAAGUAAGUUGAGAACGCAAAUAAUGGCAAUCCCGAUGAGUCACGUAGUAUUCCCCCACCACCAUUCACUCCUGGAUUUCCCUUGGAGCAUCCAUCUGUAUUUAGUGUUAGCAAUCCCGCCUGUUUCGCCUUCCACCGUACCAGGUGAAAACUAUAACGCGAUGGCUAUUGGGUUGUCCACUCAUACAGCUGAAGAAACAUGUGCACCCCAAGUCUCUGUUUAAACUGAAUCUCAACCACCCCUAUCACGUCUAACAAAAUGGCAUGACAAAUCCUCACCACUGUCAUCUGCCUUCUUUCGUAGUAUGCAACGCUCCGAUCCUUCCAAAUAUGCCAACAUAUAAAACUAGGAAGAACCAAGAAAAGGAACCGUCUUACCGCAUGCCAAGGGGAAAACAACUACCAGGCCGUUAGCCAUGCCCGUAGUGAUGAGCCAAGUUGUGUUACUCCACAAAUCCUACCAAAAUAACUCCAUAUAUCCUUUGCAACUUGACCCUCUGCGAACACAUGCUCCAGUGUCCCAAUCGCUCCCUCUUGGCAAAACAAACAAUUUGAAACCAAAUUAACAAAAACAACGGUAUUACGAAUUGGAUAUGGGCACUUGGAUCGAUUAAUGACUCUCCAAGAAUCUGAUGAUGAAUAAUAAUUACCUUCAUGUCAAAUGCUAAAGAUUUCACAACCGAAAUCACCGUCUAUGCCGUCUCCGUGCACAAAUUCUGUAAUGAAUAUUGAUAAGUGAAUAUUUAACGUAUAUUUUGUACAAGUUUGGCAUGAACUUUUGGUAUGUUUUGAGAAGAUUAAAGCCAUAUUUGAACUCUUUUGGUGAUAAUUGCUUAAAUAUUGUUUAAGUGUUCAAAACUUGAUAAAUGAGUGGAUUAAUGUGUUAAUUUUGUGAAAUUGUGAAGGAUAUUAAUGUAUGAAAUUCAUGCAUGAGAUAAAGGAAAUGUAAGGAUCGCCCAGAGGAUAAACUACACAAGAAAUUAGGAGCGAAAGUGAAGAAAAAGGAAAAGAAGUGAAAAACUGAAAAAAAGACCAGCACGGAUCCGAGCUCGGAUCCGUGUGAAUCAAGGAAGAUCCGAGCCCUCGUAUGUACUUCUGGAGUAGUGUAUCCGAGGACAAAGGAUCCGAGCUCGGAUCCCUCAGAGAAGGCCUUGGAUCAGCAUUGAUCCGAGCUCGGAUCUAACUUCACCCCUCGGAUCCGAGGUUCGGAUUUGCCUCUUUUUUCUGCAAGUGGUACAACCGUUUUUUCUCACUUUUCACACAACUUUUCAGCUAUUUGGAGUGAGUGAAUUCGAUGCAUAUACUUCAGAAGACAAAAGGGCAGACAAUAUGGUUUAUUUUCAAGUCAAAAACAUUGGUUAUUGACUAUCCUAACAAAGUUGAGAUUUGGGAAUCAAAAGGUGGAAUUUGACUUGGAAAAAUGGAUGCUCCUGAGCAGUUUUUAUGUAGAGACAUUGGGAGAGGUCAGAGGAUAUACGUAGCUAGUUUUCCUUCUUGUAACUAGUUUUGCUCUCUAGCUAGGAGUUCCUUGAGAAGCAUUUUGGAGUUUUUACUUGUAAUCAUCUUGUACAAGAACAUAGCAGAAAUUGGAGGGUUUCACCAUCAAUUGGCUAAGCUUUCUUUUAUCUUUCUUGUACUUGUACUUUAUGAUGUUUUGCAUUAAUAAACUUGUGAGUUUGGUUGUUAAAUCAUUCAUGAGUAGCUAAACUUCUUUAUCUAGGGAGUAGAUGAAACUUAUGGGUAAAUAAUAUGAAUUGAAUGUGAUUUACACUUGUUAUAUCUUGUAUUAACUUGUCUAUUUGUGCAGGUAGAAAUUACUUGUUAUUGCUUGAUCACCAAUAGCAUGUUUAUAGUUGUUAUUGUUCAAUGAGAAUUGGUAGUAACAAUGGAAACACAUGAAUAGAGCUUAAGUUGUAUGUUCAUGAAAACAGAGAUACACUUAAGUGGAUUAUUUAACAUUUCAUGAAAGAAAACAGAGUAGUAGUAGUAUUUCACCAUGAAAAUAGGGAAAACUGUUUUGCUCUAGGCCAUUUCAUCAUGAGAAUAAGAUUUGGUAAUAUUGGAAAUGAAUCUCUGGUUAAACAAGAAUAAUAACAAGAGGUAAAUCUAUUCAUUUGUAUUGUUUAUGCCAUAAGUGGAAUCUACAUCCCUAGAUUCAAUCUUUGGUGAAAUUUUUCCAUUUGCAUUUAACAUUGAUUAAACCAGAGUUAUAGGUAAUAGCAUUAUAAUUUUCUUGCUCAGAUUUAUUGUAAGUCUAAAUAAUAGAGGAAAAUAAGGGACUAGUACUUGUUUAAAUUGCUUCUCGUAGGAUCGACCCGAUACAUACCCUAUAUUACAAUUUCGGCCUGUAUACUUGCAGUCAACGGGUAUACAAUCGAAUUUAAACUUGCAUUGAUAUAAAAAUUUCAUCAAAUUUUUGGCGCCGUUGCCAGGGAGCGGCAAUAUUAGAACCUAAUCAUCUCUAUUAAUUUAGACAUCUUUAUUUUUAGUUGAGUUGUUUAUAGCUAGCUUAACAUUUUAAUCAGUUUUUGAUAAAUAAAAGUUACAUAAUCUUUCUUGUUUCUGUUUGCAGUGUAUGCACCAGACAUCUCGAGAAGUAGCACCUUUUGAUCCAGAAAUAGAAAGGACUUUACAUAGACAAAUGAGGGAUACACCACAGCAAGAGGAACAAGUGGUUUGGCAAUCGAUAGAGGAAAUUUUGAUAGAAUUACCAUUUGAGGAAGAAAUAGCGAAAAAUGACCAAAAUAGGCGAAUUCUACGAGAUUUUGCUUUACCGGGAACACAAGGUUCUCAAACUAUCUUUUCAAGGCCAACGGUAAAUGCCAAUAAUUUUGAGAUUAAACCAUCACUAAUUUAAAUGGUACAACAAUCUCAAUACGGAGGUAAUGCUACUGAAGAUCCAAAUUCUCACUUGUCAACAUUUUCUUGAAAUCUGGGAAACAAUUAAGUUUAAUGAUGUUAGUGAUGAUGCAAUUAAACUUCGAUUGUUUCCAUUCUCACUAAGGGACAAGGCCAAGGCUUGGUUACAAUCUUAUCCUCCAAAUACUUUUACCACUUGGGCAGAAUUAGUUAAGACUUUUCUCAAUAAAUUCUUUCCACCUGGAAAAACUGCAAAACUCAGAAUGGAUAUAACUAGUUUCUCUCAACAGGAAGGAGAGAUAUUGUAUGAAGCUUGGGAGCGCUAUCGGGAAUUGCAAUGAAGAUGUCCUCAUCAUGGUUUACCAGAUUGGCUAGUAGUCCAAACAUUUUACAAUGGUCUCACCUAUCCAACAAAGACACAUGUAGAUGCGGCAGCGGGAGGAGCAUUAUGGGAAAAACAGCCGAAGAAGCUCAACAAUUGAUUGAAAAAAUGUCUGCUAACAACUACCAAUGGGCAAAUGAACGAGGUAAUACAAGGAGAACCGCAGGUAUGCUCGAAGUAGAUACCUUGAAUAUGUUAAGUGUAAAAAUGGAUAAUGUGGUUAAGACACUUAAUAGGCACAUUGGUUCUAGCUCUAAUCAAGGAGUAGUUGUUGCAUGUUGUACUACUUGCGGUGGAGAUCAUGAUGAUUCUAUGUGUUCUAGCAGCGAAUAGAUUCAAUAACUCAACAAUUAUAACCGUCCACCCCAAAACAAUCCAUACUCCAAUACCUAUAAUUCAGGAUGGCGUAAUCACCCGAAUUUUGGAGGGAAGGAUCAAGCGAACCAACAAAGACCAGUUAAUCCACCGGAUUUUCAACCGAAGUAACCACUUUAGGAGUCCAAACCAGCUUGGGAGUUGGCAAUUGAGAAGCUAGCGAAUGUAUCAAAUGAUAAAAUUGAAAAGUUAGCCAGUGCCACUACUCAACGGUUUGAAAGAAUUGAGGGACGGAUGGACCAACUCACUAAUAUGUACAGAAAUGUUGAGAUCCAAUUAGGAAAAAUUGCAAAUGCAGUUAACAAUCGCAACCAAGGGGAUUUACCUAGUAAGACUGAGGUGAACCCAAGGGAGCAUGUGAAGGCUAUAUAACCUUCCGUAGUGGUAAGGAUGUAGGUAAGCCACCAGUAGUUGAAAAUGAGAGAGAAUGUGAAAGAAAAGAGAACAAGCAAUUGAGUGAAUUAGGAGAGGAUGGCAAGAAAAUUAAGGGGAAAGAAAAUGUGGAAGAAAAUGACCCACAAAUGGGAGAUACAACACCAAUUCCUCCACCGGUGUCAUUCCCUCAAAGAUUGAAGCCUUCAAGAAAUGACAAAGAAUUUGAAAAGUUUGUCAACAUUUUCAAACAAUUACAUAUUAAUAUACCUUUUGUUGAUGCUAUAUUGUAGAUUCCUUCAUACGCAAAGUUUCUCAAGAAGAUAAUGCCUAAGAGAAAGAAGUUAGUAGAUAGCAAGACAAUUGCAUUAACGGAAGAAUGUAGUGCCAUUAUACAAAACAAAUUGCCACCAAAGUUGAAAGAUCCAGGGAGUUUCACAGUUCCUUGCACUAUUGGUAAUGUGGAAUUUUCUAAAACACUUUGUGACCUUGGUGCAAGUGUUUCAUUGAUCCCUUUAAUUGUGGCUAGGCAAUUGGGGUUGAAAGAGUUAAAACAUACUAACAUUUCCUUGCAAUUGGCUGACAGGUCUAUUAGACAUCCAAUGGGCAUAUUGGAGAAUGUGCUCAUUAAAGUGCAGAAAUUCAUUAUUCCUCUUGAUUUUGUUGUUUUAGACAUAGAGGAAGAUGUAAAUGUACCUAUUAUACUUGGUAGACCAUUUUUGGCCACUGCAGGUACAAUAAUAGAUGUCAAAAGAGGUAAGUUCAAGUUUCAAAUCGGUGAAGAGGAAGUGGAAUUUGAUUUGAGUAGAGUGGAAAAAUAUCCCUCUUUUACUGACCAUGUUUAUUCGGUUGACAUAUGUGAUGAAUUGGCAUUAGAGAUGAGUCAAUUUAAUCUUGAUGACGAUUCUCUUGAACUUUGUCUUCAUGGUAUAGGUUUACAAGAGGAACAAGUUCAAGAAAUGGUUGAAUUUUUGCAGGCACAGGUUCCUUUCAAAAGGAGAAAUGCAUAUGAGGAGUUAGGACUGAGCAAAGGGCUACCUCCACCAUCAUGUGAGCAAGUACCACAGCUUGAACUUAAGCCACUGCCUAAACACCUCAAAUAUGCGUUUUUUGGAGAAAAAGAUACAUUGCCGGUGAUUGUAAAUUCUGCACUAGAUGAGGAACAACUAGGCAAACUCUUACGUGUUUUGAGGAAGUAUUUAAAGGCUAUAGGAUGGACGAUUUCUGAUAUCAAGGGAAUCAGUCCAACUAUUUGUAUGCACGAAUUUUGUUAGAAGAAAACUCUAAACCGAUGGUUGAGACUCAAAGAAAGUUAAAUCCAAAUAUGAAAGAAGUGGUAAGAGUAGAAAUCCUUAAAUGGUUGGAUGCAGGUAUAAUUUUUUCAAUUUCUGAUAGUAUUUGGAUUUCUCCUAUACAUGUAGUGCCAAAGAAAGGAGGGAUAACCAUAGUACAUGGUAAAAAUGAUGAAAUGAUUCCAUCUAGAGUUGUAGUUGGGUGGCGAGUUUGUAUAGAUUAUAGAAAACUGAAUACAGCUACUAGAAAAGAUCAUUUCUCUCUUCCUUUUCUUGAUCAAAUGGCAGAAAGAUUGGCCGGAUAUGAAUUUUAUUGUUUCUUGGAUAAUUUUUCAGGAUACAAUCAAAUAGCCAUUGCACCGGAAGAUCAAGAGAAAACUACAUUCACUUGUCCUUACGACACUUUUGGAUUUCGAAGGAUGCCUUUUGGACUGUGCAAUGCACCGGCCACCUUCCAAUGAUGCAUGAUGGCAAUUUUCUUUGAUUUUAAUGAGAAAAUUAUGGAAAUCUUCAUGGAUGAUUUUUCUGUAUUUGGAUUUACUUAUGAUGAUUGUCUUAACAAUUUAGAUCUAAUUUUGCAGAAAUAUAAAGAAACAAACCUUGUACUCAAUUGGGAAAAAUGUUACUUCAUGGUUCGUGAGGGUAUUGUGCUAGGCCACAAAAUUUCUUCAGAAGGUAUUGAAGUAGAUCAAGCCAAGAUAGAGGUUAUUGAGAGAAUGGCUCCACCUAUCAAUGUGAAAGGAAUUCGCAGCUUUCUUGGAUACGUGGGAUUUUAUCGGCGGUUUAUUAAGGAUUUCUCAAAAAUUGCUAAACCUUUAUGUGAAUUACUUGCAAUAGAUGUUUCUUUUCACUUUAAUGAUGAGUGUUUACUUGCUUUUAAUAGGUUGAAAAAGGAACUUGUCUCCGCACCUAUAAUAGCAUCACCGGACUGGAGCUUACCAUUCGAAUUGAUGUGUAAUGCAAAUGAUUUUGCAGUUGGAGUUGUUAUUGGGCAAAAACAUGAUAAGCGACUUCAUGUCAUUUAUUAUGCAAGUAAAAUGUUGAAUGAAACCCAAGUUAACUAUGCAACAACAGAGAAGGAGUUGCUAGCAGUGAUUUUUGCAUUGGAUAAGUUAGAUCGUACUUAGUAGAAUCUAAAGUUAUCAUUUAUACCAACCAUGCAGCACUCAAAUAUUUAUUAAAUAAGAAAGAUGCAAAACCUCGACUAAUUCGAUGGAUUUUAUUAUUACAGGAAUUUGAUUUGGAAAUCAAAGAUAAAAAAGGAUCCGAGAACUUAGUUGCUGAUCAUCUUUCUCGACUGAAAAAUAUACCUCAAGAAGACCAUUCAUCCAUUAAAGAAGAAUUUUUAGAUGAGUUUUUAAUGGCAAUUUAUAAGUCACCAUGGUAUGCUGAUCUAGUUAACUUUGUAGUUAGUGGAGUGAUACCAAGUGAUUUGAAUUCUCAUCAAAGGAAAAAAUUCUUAAAUGAUGCUAAACAUUACUUUUGGGAGGAACCGUUCUUUUAUAAAUAUUGUGCAGAUGGAAUAAUUAGAAAAUAUGUUCCGGAGGAAGAAGUACAUAGUAUUCUAAUGCAUUGUCAUACUCUUGAAACGGGAGGUUAUUUUAGUACAACUAAAACUCUAGCAAAGAUAUGGCAAUCUGGAUUUUAUUGGCCUACUAUAUACCGAGACACUAGAAAUUGGGUUAAAAGUUGCGAUCAAUGCCAAAGAACUGGUAAUAUCUCAAGAAAGAAUGAAAUGCAUUUGACUACAUAUUUGGAAGUUGAGUUAUUUGACGUUUGGGGCAUUGAUUUUAUGGGACCAUUUCUUAGCUCAUAUAAUAAUAAGUACAUUCUUUUAGCAGUUGAUUAUGUCUCUAAAUGGGUGAAGGCCAUUCCUUCACAAACUAAUUAUGCUAAAGUUGUGCUUAAGUUCCUUAAACGGAACAUAUUUUGCAGGUUUGGAGUCCCAAAGGCAAUAAUAAGCAAUGAAGGUAAGCAUUUUUGUAAUAAAAUUAUUGACACUUUGUUGCUUAAAUAUGGAUGCAGGCAUAAAAAGUCACUCUUUUAUCACCCUCAAGCUAAUGGUCAAGCUGAGUUGGCCAACCGGGAAAUUAAAAACAUUUUGGAGAAAACGGUCAACCGAUCGAGAAAGGAUUGGACAAACAAGCUUGAAGAUACUUUAUGGGCGUAUAGAACGGCAUUUAAAACGCCAUUGGGAAUGUCUCCAAAUAAACUUGUUUAUGGCAAAGCGUGUCAUUUACCUGUAGAAAUAGAACAUAAAGCUUAUUGGGCCAUUAAAACUAUUAAUUUUGAUUUUAAAUCUGCAGGUGAAAAGAGAAUGCUCGAUUUGAGUGAAUUGGAGGAAUCACGGUUAACCUCGUAUGAGAAUGCCAAGAUUUAUAAAGAAACAGUGAAAUUUUGGCAUGAUAAACAUAUUCUUCCUAAACAUUUUGAAGAAGGGCAAAAGGUGUUAUUGUUUAACUCAAGACUUAAAUUAUUCCCUGGAAAGCUUAAGUCUCGAUGGUCCGGGCCAUUUGAAGUGGUUCGUAUGUUUCCUUAUGGAGCAGUGAAAAUAAAAGGAGAAAAUGGUGCCCCAUUCAAAGUAAAUGGUCAAAGAUUGAAGCUCUAUUUGGCUGGAGAAAAGGUUCCUAAAGGAGUAAUUUACUCCUUAGGAAACGCAAUGGGGAGUUAAAAGAGCUAUAGGAGAGUCGAGCUCAACGACUCUAAACAAAGCGCUUGUUGGGAGACAACCCAAUAAUAAUAUUGUAGUUGUAUGUUUUUAUGUGUUUCUUACAUUUUAGUGUGAUUUAAUUGACUAAUUAGAUAUAUUUCACUUGUUUGUAGGAGGUACCGGAGUUUUAUCAUCCAUUUUGGAAGUACACUUGAAGAACAAGUGUAAAAAGGGAGGUUUUCUUACCAAAUUGUGCUUUAAGUGUUUAGCAAUACCAUUCAGAUAUACAUUGUGCAUUUCAAGUAUAUUCAAGUGAGUUUUGGUGAUAACAUGGUUAUAAAUGCUCAUGGACUCAUUUGAUAUGUAUUUAAUGUGUUUGAUGUGUUUUGAAAAGAUGGAUAAUGUGUUUAUGAUAUAUUACAUGUGCGUCGAAGGUUAGAAUUGAUAAAAAGUUUAUCCAAAGCGUGUUUUGGAAUUGGCCAGAAAAGGGAGAAAAAGUUUGAAAAAUUGCAGUUUCUGCAAUUAGUGCAGAAAAAGACAGAUCCGACCUCGGAUUCGAAAGACCCAGACGGAUCCGACCAUGGAUCCUUAGAUCCGAGCUCGGAUCCAACAAUUUCCAGAAAUAUACGAGGGAUCGUCUGUGCUUCUGGCGGUGAGGAUCCGAACCCCUAUCGGAUCCGAGGACUUAUAGAACCGAUCCGAGCUCGGAUCGGUUCGCGAUAUGAUUGGAACCGAGGGCUCGGUUCCUCAUUUUUCAGCUUUCUUCUCUUUCUCUCUCCCCGAAACCCUAGCCCUCUCUCUCUAAUCUUCCAUUUUAUCCAUCAAUCAUCUAAUUUCUCACCAUAAACAUCUUCCCAACCCUCAAUUGAUCAAAAAAACCCCAAGCUAUUUCACCACAAAACAUCAUCAAAAGUGGGUUUUGAUCAUCAAUAGGAAACAAAAGGGCCGAACUGAUUUCUUCCAUUUUGAGGCGGAUUUGAGUUUGUUUCUUGUUCGUUUUUGCAUUAUCAUCUUCCUUUAUCAUCACUCUACACAUUUGGGGUAACAAUUUUCAACUUUCUUUGAAAUUUUACAUUUCUCAAUUCUUAAUUUUUUGUAUUUUUCUACAAAUUUGGGAAAUGCACAUAUGUUGGAUUUUAAGGCUAUAAUUUUGCUACAUUGUGCUAGUAUAUGUCAUUGGAAAUGCUUGCUUGUUUAGAAUUGAGAAAUUUGUUAAUAUGGUGAUAAAUUUUGUAUAAUUUUUCUCAUGAAAGCACAUUAUACUUGUAUUUGCAAUUUCUUGUUUCUUUGUAUAAUUGGUAUUUGACUAUUUGAAAUGAAGUUCAUUUUUAUGCAAAUUGAUGAUAAAUUGUAGCAAGUAUAGUGGAUUGUUAUGUAUUGCUUUGAGGGAAAUAGACAAAAGCUGAAAAUUGUUUGAAUUGAGGAUGUUUUUCGUAAUGCAUAAGGAGAUAUUGUGUUCAAUUGAUGAUUAAGGCUUAACUUAAUAGCACAUUGUCUUUGAUAGUCCAUUUUACUUUGAGAUAAUAUUCUAUGCUUGCAAAUGAUUUUAAAUCUCACACAUUUGGAUUUAUCAUGUGAGGGUUGAUUUCCUUAUUGAAAAUAUAUCUUCUAAAUGUUAAAAGUGGAUUUGAGAAUGUGUUAAGCAGAGUAUUUGCUUCAAUUUGUUGAUUGUUGGCAGGGAGCUUUGUCCUUUUACAAGGGGAAACUCUGCCGAAAUUUUUUUAAUUUACUUUUCAACAUUUUUUUUUGAAAUGUAUUUUCAAGAAAUUUAGAUUGCUUUUAAUGUGCAUUGAUCUUGUUCUUGAUAUAGGCACAAUGGUUCGCACAAGAAGGGCUAUUAUUCGCACUCCUUCCCCCUCUUCAAGCGAGGAACGCACUCCCUCACUUGAGGAGACACCAGUGGAGGACUCCCCUUCACCUGACUCACCUCCACGCUCACGGCGUAAGACAGCGUUCACUAGCCGUGAUGAGCCACUUCCGGAUUAUGAUACCACUAGAUUCACGUCACUCGAGAAUCAACAGUGGUACGAAGCAAGCUUAGAUAAGGAAAUUAUCAUUGAAAAGCACAUGGCACCGGAGGUGAAUGUGCACUACCACAUCUCUACGGCAUUCAAGAGACUCGGAUGGGAGAACACCCUUCAAUUGCCCAAGCAUUACUACCCCAAUCUGGUCCGGGAAUUCUACGCCAAUGUAGAAAACAAACAGAGCCACAGUGGCAACCUCAUCGUCUUGUGGGUUCGAGGUAAAAGAGUGGCUCUCAAUCGGGAUACAAUCGCCAAAUUCGUCAAACUCAAGGACGAUGGAGAAGACGUGAAAUUGACCAAGGAAUUCAAGGCAUGUGAUCCUUGACAAGUAGGAGAAGCUGUGUCACGUUUUAAGGGUCAAUACCGUGAGCGAGAAAGUUCUAAAAAGCUCAUAGUGUAUGCGGAUUCUUUCGAACCUCGGUACCACUUGAUAUUCUAUCUUUUUGCUUUCAAUGUGGUACCGAAAAGGAGUGGAAAACGAGAGCUCCGCAACAGUGACCUCUACUUCCUGGACAAGAUGAUGAACGGAGUAGGUCGCCAGCUAACUGGAAUACCUCUGUGCAGCAUCAUCAUCAGCUACGUGCGGACCACCGCUCAAAUGAGGGCCGGCGAAACCUACUUUGGGUUCCCUCGCCUUCUCUCCCUUCUAUUUGAGAAGCUCAAGGUUCCUCUCGCAAUCGAGCGAGCCACUAUCACUAGGGCUACCGAAGAGGUCAGUGCCUCGAUACUCAAAUUUUUGGGUAUCCCUACGGAUUUUGGAACUGCUCUAGUUCGGGACACUGGAGAAGCAUCAACUUCCGCUCAGCCUCCAUCUUACACUGAACCACAAGCGAAUGCUCAAGAGACGGAAGCACAGCAGACUCUUCCUCUUCCUGUUGCACGACCACCACCUCCGCAGCGAUCCAAGUGGCAAGAGCUCCUCAAUGCCAUUUGAUGUAUGGAGACACGAGUCGUCGAACGCAUUGACCAGACCGAGCGGAUGAUGACAGAGCGACUCGACAGACAUGAUCGCCGUCUUCGUGCGAUCGAGGAUUAUUUUCAUAUCCGCCGGUCACCUACUCCGAUGCCUCAGCAGGAGGAGAGACAUAUUGGUACCUCACAUGGUCCUCAUGGAGCAGAGGAGGUAGUAGACCCUCGUUCCGAGCAGCCAUGAAGCUCCUUAACGGAUUGGAUCUUUUAUUUCUUUAUUUGUCUUUUCUUCUGUUAAGAUAUAUUUUGUAGAUUUUAUUUUAUUUUUGGCUCAUCUUGUGCUACUUAUGUUUCUUCGUACCUUUUGUUUCACUUUGGCCAGAAUUGGGAUGAUCGUGAGGAUUAAGAGCUUCAAAUUGCAUCACCAUCUAUUUAAGGGAAGUUUCAGUUUCUUUUACCUUCCUCUACAAUGAGGACAUUGUGAAUUUUAAGUGUGGGGGAGGGAUUACCUUAUCUUAUGGAUGAUUGUGUCUUGAAAUGCAUGAUUUUAGUUGUCUAUGGCUUAAAAAUGUUGGAUUUAUAUUUGGAAAUAUUGUCAUGAGGUUAAUUUUCUUGAAAUUGAGGUUGUUGACAGGGAGUUUUGUCCAUUUUUAUGGGGAAACUGUGUCAAAAUUUUUUCUAAAAUAUUUUUCAAUAUUUCAAGUUAAUGGCCAAAAUGUUCAAUUUUAAGUGUCUAAUUCUUUCAUUGGAUAAAAUGUUAUAUGUAUUUUGGGAAAGUUUAGUCCUUAUUUGACUUGGAAUUAGUCAUUAUGCAAUUAGGAUUUGUAUAUUUUAGGAAGUAUAUUUGGUUAAAUAAGGAAAAUUAUGCUUAAAUUUUGCACGUUUAAUGAUAUUUCUCAUUUUUACUUAAUUUUAUAAGUAAGUGAUUGAUAUAGUCAAGACAAGGCCAGAUUCUUCCUUUAAUUUUGCUCAGAGGGAAAAGAAAAAAAAUUAUUGUUAAAAAAAAGGGAGAAAAAAAAAAUAUAUAUAUAUAUAUUGAUAUUAUUUUCUACUCCAAUAAUUCACAUACUAAGUAACCGGGGGUUGGCAUUUACAAAUGUCUACAUUCGCGUAAAAAGGUAUUGGAAUUAAGAGUAUGCUUAGCAAUUUGAAUAAGUGAAAUGUUGAGUAAUCGGGAAUCUUCACCUAAAAGUGUCGAUUUUCGCGUAAAAAGACAUUUCUACUAUUUAAGUAAAAUGAAGUAUGAAUAAAUCCCUCUUAGUUAUGAAAAUUUUGAUGGUUAUGGGAUGAGGAAGGCCAUAGAAUUGACUAUGAGAUUUACUUAUUCGUGAAAUUAGGAUAGAAUGAGAGAUUGAUUUGAAGUUGUUAAAAUUAAGGCAUAAUUAUCUUUCUUUAACUUGAUAUUAUGAGUAUUUAGUGUAAUCUGAGAAAUGGCAUAAUGAUUGGUUUCUAGGUUUUUGAGGAAUUAAAUUUGACAAAAGUACGCAUAUUAUUUUAUCUAUCGAAUCAUUGAAAUAAAUUUUGUGCAAAUUACUUGAGGACAAGCAACGAUUCAAGUGUGGGGGAGUUUGAUAAGUGAAUAUUUAACGUAUAUUUUGUGUAAGUUUGGCAUGAACUUUUGGUAUGUUUUGAGAAGAUUAAAGCCAUAUUUGAACUCUUUUGGUGAUAAUUGCUUAAAUAUUGUUUAAGUGUUCAAAACUUGAUAAAUGAGUGGAUUAAUGCGUUAAUUUUGUGAAAUUGUGAAGGAUAUUGAUGUAUGAAAUUCAUGCAUGAGAUGAAGGAAAUGUAAGGAUCGUCCAGAGGAUAAAUUACACAAGAAAUUAGGAGCAAAAGUGAAGAAAAAGGAAAAGAAGUGAAAAACUGGAAAAAAGACCAGCCCUCGUUGUGUGAAUCAAGGAAGAUCCGAGCCCUCGUCUGUACUUCUGGAGUAGUGUAUUCGAGAACAAAGGAUCCGAGCUCGAAUCCCUCAGAGAAGGCCUCGGAUCAGCAUUGAUCUGAGCUCGGAUCUAACUUCACCCCUCGGAUUCGAGGCUCGGAUUUGCCUCUCUUUUCUACAAGUGGUACAGCCGUUUUUUCUCACUUUUCACACAACUUUUUAGCUAUUUGGAGUGAAUGAAUUCGGUGCACAUGCUUCAGAAGACAAAAGGGUAGAUAAUAUGGUUUAUUUUCAAGUAAAAAACAUUGGUUAUUGACUAUCCUAACAAAGUUGAGAUUUGGGAAUCAAAAGGUGGAAUUUGACUUGGAAAAAUGGAUGCUCCUGAGCAGUUUUUAUGCAGAGACAUUGGGAGAGGUCAGAGGAUAUACAUAGCUAGUUUUCCUUCUUGUAACUAGUUUUCCUCUCUAGCUAGGAGUUCCUUGAGAAGCAUUUUGGAGUUUUUACUUGUAAUCAUCUUUUACAAGAACAUAGCAGAAAUUGGAGGGUUUCACCAUCAAUUGGCUAAGUUUUCUUUUAUCUUUCUUGUACUUGUACUUUAUAAUGUUUUGCAUUAAUAAACUUGUGAGUUUGGUUGUUAAAUCAUUCAUGAGUAGCUAAACUUCUUUAUUUAGGGAGUAGAUGAAACUUAUGGGUAAAUAAUAUGAAUUGAAUGUGAUUUACACUUGUUAUAUCUUGUAUUAACUUGUCUAUUUGUGCAGGUAGAAAUUACUUGUUAUUGCUUGAUCACCAAUAGCAUGUUUAUAGUUGUUAUUGUUCAAUGAGAAUUGGUAGUAACAAUGGAAACACAUGAGUAGAGCUUAAGUUGUAUGUUCAUGAAAAUAGAGAUACACUUAAAUGGAUUACUUAACAUUUCAUGAAAGAAAACAGAGUAGUAGUAGUAUUUCACCAUGAAAAUAGGGAAAACUGUUUUGCUCUAGGCCAUUUCAUCAUGAGAAUAAGAUUUGGUAAUAUUGGAAAUGAAUCUCUGGUUAAACAAGAAUAAUAACAAGAGGUAAAUCUAUUCAUUUGUAUUGUUUAUGCCAUAAGUGGAAUCUACAUCCCUAGAUUCAAUCUUUAGUGAAAUUUCUCCAUUUGCAUUUAACAUUGAUUAAACCAGAGUUGUAGGCAAUAGCACUGUAAUUUUCUUGCUCAGAUUUAUUGUAAGUCUAAAUAGUAGAGAAAAAUAAGGAACUAGUACUUGUUUAAAUUGCUCCUCGUGGGAUCGACCCGAUACAUACCCUAUAUUAUGAUUUCGGCCUGUAUACUUGCACUUAAUGGGUAUAAAAUCGGAUUUAAACUUGCAUUAAUAUAAAAAUCCCGUCAAAUAUUCUCACAACCUUGUACUCUCCCGUAGAAGGUACAUGUCCAAAACCAAUUGCAUGACCCCAUGUUUGUGGAGAGCACUCUGGGAGGAUUACAAAUUGGUGAGUUACAGGAUUACAUAAAUAAAAAGGCCCAGUUAUCCCACAUACAAAGUAUCUUUUGUAAAUACACAGUAGGCCGUUGCAGGAGGCCAACACCAUGUUCCGUCCUCCACCCGUAUAGUAGUUUCCUCCACCCCUGCAAUAUUUUCCUUCCUUGGUGAAUCUUGCACAAUGCUACGGCCUUCUUCAUCUGCGGAUGUAAAUUGGAGGGUACAGCGAUUUCCAUCACGGGAACAUGCUAAAUCUUGUACGUAAAAGAAACGGAGUUUUCUCCACUUAGUUUCGCACAAUUUCAUGAACCAAGAAUCCGAUAGUAAGUUGCACCAUGUCUUGCAGACACACUUGCAUCUGAAAAGGGCUUUCAAAGGAAGCCUUGAUAGUACGUCAGUCACUAUCUCAAUUGGGAGUUCUGUCAUCUUCCUCUCUCAAUGUUAAACUCACUCUCAAGAACUUUUCUUUUCUUUCGUAUAUUGUUUUGAAGAAAUUCUUGCUUCAAAGUUUAUGUGACUGUGCUAGGUUUAAUGAGUCAGUCGAUAGAGAGACUUAAAAGAACAAUUUUGAAAGUAAAGCACUACAAUUUAGGCUAGGAUCUCGUUUUAGUUAAUUGGGGAUUCUGAGCAUCACUUAGAAAUAUUGCCAUAAUAAAUUUAAUGUCCUAAUUUUAUGCCUAGUCAUUUAAAUCCUUCCAUUAUUUACUCACAAAUUCGAUUUCAAUUUUCUUGCGAACACUACAACUAUUUGGGCUAGGGACUAGUUUUCGAUGGAUAGAGGAUUCUGAGUGUGUAACUUAAUAAUAUUGCCAUUAUAAGGUAAUUGUGGAAAAACUUUAUUUUGGACUGGUCCAGCAAGAGAGCUGCAUUUGAACAUCCAAGGGGGAAUAUAAAGUGGGGUUUUGUGUGUCCAAAUAACGUUAUUUGUCCAAAUGGAUACUAGGUCCAAGAUGAAACUUCUAAUAGAUGUGCCAAUAUUUUCCUCUCGUUAUUUAAAUCCUUCUGUUAUUUAAUCACAAAUCUGCUUUCCUUUUUAAGGUAAAUGAAGUUCAUUAUAGGGUUUGUCUAUAGGGCAACCAUUAAGAUACAUAUUUUUUAAAAUAUAAGAUUACUUAGGAAAAGUAAAUAAAUACAAAGGGAGGGCAGACAAUAUUAACUAGGAAAAUAUAUAAAUACAAGAGAAGAUAAUAAUUGUUAGUAUGUGUAUAUAUAUGGUAGGUUAUGUGAAUGUUAAAUGUGUUGAGAAAUUCCCUUAAUUAUAUCUUCUUUUUUCCUAGUUAUUUUAGUUUUCCCUUUUCAAAUAGAGCUGUACUUACUUCUAGUGUUAAAUACUCUAAUCCAAAAGAAGGAGGUGAAACAUGCACUGCCAGUAAGCAUGUUAACUUCGGCAUUUUGUAAAGUUGGCCUUGUAUAACUAAAGUCUUACUAAUUGUUUGCGCCUCCAUUACUUGUUAAAAAUAAGUCGAGUUCAAAGAACCUUAAUGAUUAUUUGAUGUUAUGCAGUUUUAUACUUUUGCCUACAUAAUAUACAAUCAGUGAGUUAAAAUUGAGUUCUAAUUGUUGCUGAUAAUGACACGCAAAACCCUUGAUGAGAAUUUGUCUAAAUACUAUUCCCUCCUUCCCAUUUUGAUAUCCUUGUUUUCUUUUUUUUUAUCUGUCCCAAAUUAUAUUCUACUUUCUAGUUAAAAAAUAUAGUUAAUUUUUAACCUCUCUAAAAUGUCCUUAUUUAAUGUACUUUAUUAUCAAUGAAUAUAACCUAUUUUAUUCAUUAAUUGUUUUGAUUCAUGCCUUGAAUGGUGUUUCAUCAAUAUUGUUGUUGCUAUUAAUGUAAAGGUAUAAUGUUUAGUUAUACUAUUAAUAUUAAUGUAAGGAGUAUUUUAGAAAAAUAAUAUAUUAGAUGCACUUUUUAAAUAAAGUUAAUUAAUUUUUUUAAACUAUUUGAAAAAAAAAACUAAAACCAUCAAAAUGGGAGGGAGGAAAUACUGUUUUGUAGCAUUUCUUGACUCGAUAAUGAUGUGCCCUUGUUCUCUUUCUUAUUAAAGUGUGCAGUAAUGAUUUCCUUUUUUUUUUGUUAACCGUAUUCGAUCACUGAUAGUUUCUAUGCUGAGUCACUAUGGUAUGACAAUUUUGUACUUGCAAUUUGGACCUACUCUUGUCCUCUCUCUGUUGAAUUUGUAUAGCUAUAAAAAGAAAAAAAAUGAACAAAAUUUACAUAUGAUUUUAUUUGUCCCUUGUAUUCUCAGUUUGUCUUGAAACCGAAAUUUUCAAUCCAUGUUCCAUCCAUAAAAUUGUCAUCAUCCUAUACUUCAUCAUAUGCCCUGGCACCAGUUUGAAUUUGUAGACUCUGCAUUAGAUUGACAUUAAUGUCAUAUUUAUCUUUAAUUAUCCUGAAUCCUUCCAAGUCGCAAUGGCAAAUCAUUAGCUUAGCUCUGCAUGUGACAGGUAAUCAGAUGAUUGAGACAAAAAUGUUUUCCAAAUCAUUAUUAUCUUUGCAUAGACAUGUUGUUUAGGGAUAGGCAUUUAGAUCAGAAAGGUAGCCCUUCGGAUCGUUCUCAAAGCCAGUCCUUGUCACUUGAAUUCUGUGGCACGGUAAAUUGUCAUACUACUCGUGUCUCUCUGUUAUUUUUAGGGAUAAUUUCAGAAACGUCUCUUGAGGUUUCUAACAAUUUCACUCACCUCCCUUGAGAUUUGUAAAAUGACACUAACCUCCCUUAUAGUGUUUAAUUAGAGAAAAAUUACUUAUGUACCCUAAGAUAUUAUGUCUUAUUGGAAACUAGCAUCUAGUAAUUAAGUAAUUAGGGUACUAAUUAACUGUUAGUAACUAAUUAAUGAAAAUACCUAUUAGAAAACUUUUUAAUGAUGAGCAGUAACUUGCAAUUACAAAAUGGUGCUAAUUGAUGUACCAAAUAUUUGUUCGCUCUCAAAAAUUGAUACACCAAACAGUAAUUUGUCUGGAUAUUUUGUACCUUUAAAGAUCUUCACAGUUUCCUUACGAUUACACUUGCAAUAUUUGUUUUUGAUGCUAAAGGAUGUGGGUGAAUUUUAUGAUUUCCUCCUGUAGUUUGACAAGGCUAUAUUUUCUGCACCUAUACUUUACCUUCAACGUGAGAAAUCUACACAAAAUCACUGUUUUUCCACCUCAAAUUUUGCUGCUUGAAGUGAAAAAGAGAUCGAUCUUAAUGCUUUUUGUUGCCUUUAUAUGCAAAAUGGUAAAGGUCUUAAAAAAUAGCCAUCAUAAUCCAAUGCACUAGCUGUUGAUCUAACUUUGUAGAGAAAGUUAGUCGGUACUUAUUUUUGGUUCUUUACUAUUUGUACUUACCUUCCCUUACUUUUAUUAAUAUGUUUUUCAUUCCUUUACAAUACAAGUUAUACACAAGCAUAAAGGGCAUUUGUGGAAUAAAUGUUUUAUCUCUCUUCUCAAAGUACUUUUUUAAUGCAUUUUUUUCUAAUUUGGACUGAUUUCGUUACCAAAACCUUAACUUUAGGGGAGGUUAAUGUAAUUUUACGAACUUGAAUUGGAUAAAACCAAAAAGGAUUUUUGUAGCGGCCGCUCUAUGAUCAAAUUAAAUUGAAAUUUCUAAUCCUAUCUUUGAUUUGAGCAUGAAUGAUAAUUAUCUUAACCAAAAUAAAACACUCGUUAACAAAAUUAACUUAGUGUCCUACUUAUGAAUCUUUGCCUUUUUUUUCUGGGAGGAUGGGAGAUAUAAUCAUCUGGAUAAUGAACCACAAUUUAUACUACUGCAUUACUUCAAACUUGUUACCUAAUGGCAACUUAAGAAUGGGUGGCAAAGGGGGCAGUUCUGGCGGCAAGGCGGUGGAGACAACGGAGGAGGGAAUGGAAGAUCUAGUGGCAGUGGUUUGUCUAAGGGCGGAGGCAAUAGUGGUGCCCGCGGUGGACAUAUGAAAGCACCGGGCGACGAUGGGUCAUUUAUUUCAAGAGCUGGAUUUAAGGCAAAUCCUCAGCUCAACAUUUCGGGCUUACAUGGUAGCCAGAGGGACAAAUGGACUUUUACAUUGACCAAAAUGUUAGAAUUUUUUAAAUAAACAUCAAAUCUAUGUUGAAUUGUCAGCUCCAUAUGGUUUGGAUCAACGAAAAUUUUAUUGAAGUAUUAAACUAUCUGUAUUGCGUGGAUUUUUUGCAUUCCAAUUUUGGUAUUUUUUUUUCUUUAGCAAUUACUUCAUAAAAGGCAAUGGAAUUUAUUGAAAGAUAGUUUAAUUUGGAGAGCACUUCCGACUCGUUUGAUUAAGUUUUAGAUCAUAAUUACAUGCAAAUAUGGUCAUAUGACUACCUCCAAUGGCCACCUACAAGCAACUUAUUUCUUAGCAUUUUUUUUUUCAGUUUGAUAUCUACUCAAUUUUCUUGAGGCAUAUAUAUAUAUAUAUAUAUAUAUAUAUAUAUAUAUAUAUAUAUAUAUAUAUAUAUAUAUAUAUAAGUUUUGUAGAAAAAGAAUGGUGGACAUAAUUCUGCAAGACCCGCACAUAUUAACUUUGUCACUUUAGUCGUUUUUUCCGUAAAAGACACUACUAUUAGAUGUUAGAGAAUGCAUAGUCUUUAAAUUCUAUGAAUUAUAGGCAAAGAUCAUUCUUCCCUUUAAAUGAAUAUGAAAAAGAAUGUUAACGAAAGAAGUUUUUCCUUGACUGCCAACACGAAACCAUACCAUCUCAUGGGAAUUAAUUAAAACUGGCUUAGUAAGUUUGAGUAGUAAAAUUUAAAUCAGAUGUACGACACUACAAAUUUCAAUUGUUACCACCAAAGCGCAUUAAACAAAUAAAUAAAUCAAAGAAAAAGUUUUUCACCUUCAAAGCCAUGCAUAACUAUCUAUAAGUGCAAAACAUCUUAUAAGGUCUUAGAAAAUUCUUUUUUCCCUCCUUACAAAAGUAAAGUCUUAAAAAAUGUUAGAAAAAUGAUUCAAAAUGUCUCUUAUAUUUCGCAACAUGACUUUUUUGUCCCUCACUUUUAAAAGUAUAAUUUUACGUCUUUUACAAAUUUACAUUGAUUAAAUUUGAUACCUACCCAAGUUUUCGAAUAGUUUUUAGUCGGAAUCAACCACAUGCUUUACACAUAAUCAUUUUUUAGGGGUAAAAUUAUCAAAUUAAAUUUCACAUAAUCCGAUCCACAGUCUCUCAUUUUCACAAAGUGAAUUUUUUGAAAAUUUUAAAGAUUAUUACACAGAUAAAAGCAUAUGGAAAAUAAAUUUUUUCCCUUUUCUUCCGGGAACCUUAUAAUAUAAAUUCCCUAAUGAUCUGUAAUUCGUUUUUCAGAUUCUUAGUUGGACUAUAGAUUGAACAGAAAAGUACGAGGGAAUGACGUUCAAAAUUUUAAGGAUUAAUCUUUAUCCCCAAAUAUCUCGAAAAAAAGAGUACAAAUUCCUUGAAUUAGAUGUCAUAUGCUAAAAAAUCCGUGUAGUCAAAUUAGUUUCCCCAUGCAGUCAUGCAUUUGACUCUUAAAUUCACAAGAAAAUUUUAUCAUUUCAAGUGUAGAAAUUAAAUACAUCCUAAUCAAAUUAUGCCUAUAUAAACCCCACUCAUCAUCCAAUCGAAGUAUCGGCAUCAAAAUUGUAAUAACUUCAACAAUUACUACUAUUGUUUAAGUGAUCAACAAUUAAGAGCAUUUCACAAAGUGAAUUUUUUGAAAAUUUUAAAGAUGAUUACACAGAUAAAAGCAUAUGGAAAAUAAAUUUUUUCCCUUUUCUUCCGGGAACCUUAUAAUAUAAAUUCCCUAAUGAUCUGUGAUUCGUUUUUCAGAUUCUUAGUUGGACUAUAGAUUGAACAGAAAACUACGAGGGAAUGACGUUCAAAAUUUUAAGGAUUAAUCUUUAUCCCCAAAUAUCUCGAAAAAAGAGUACAAAUUCCUUGAAUUAGAUGUCAUAUGCUAAAAAAUCCGUGUAGUCAAAUUAGUUUCCCCAUGCAGUCAUGCAUUUGACUCUUAAAUUCACAAGAAAAAUUUAUCAUUUCAAGUGCAGAAAUUAAAUACAUCCUAAUCAAAUUAUGCCUAUAUAAACCCCACUCAUCAUCCAAUCGAAGUAUCGGCAUCAAAAUUGUAAUAACUUCAACAAUUACUACUAUUGUUUAAGUGAUCAAGAUUGAAGAGCAUUUGGAGAUGGAUAACAAGGGUUGCAGCAAAGAAACUGGAGCAGGUGCAGCAGGAGCUGGUGGUGGCAAUAGCAGUGGUGGUGGGACUAACAAAGGUGGCAACAAUGAUCUGAUCAUGAAGGCUCCUGGUGCUGAUGGUGCAUAUAUAUCAAGGACUGGCUUUGAGAACGAUCCAAAGGGCUACUUUUCUGACCUGCAUGCUAAGGAGAAGGCCAGCAAAUGAAGAAGGGAUGUUUGAGUAUCUAAAGAUAAAUAAAAAUGUUGACUAUUUAUGUACUUUCAUCAACUCUUAAAAUUUGGAUCAAUGGAGAUGAUAUAUUGAAGUAUUAAACUACCGGUUUUGUGUUCACCCCAUUUAGUUAAUUUGUGGUUUUAAAGCAUUCUUUUGCAUUAAAUAGUCCCCACAUUUUCUUAAGGCCGAAUAACCAAUAACUAUUUCGAAGCCAAAUGCACACAAAUUGAACACGGUUUACAGGUAUGUUCUUCCUCAAUUUCUACCAUCACAGCUAAUAAGGCGAUGUUCACUCUUAUCAAGAGGGUUAUAGAUAAAAACUAAAAAACAAAAACAAAAUCUUCGUACAUUCUGUACCAAAAAUCCAACAAUACUUCGCGACACGGCUGGAAGGGUCAUUGUAUUUCAAGGGGCCUUUUGAAGGAGGCCUUGGUUAUAUAUAUGUCAGCUAUAAUCUCAAAUAAUACCAAAAAAAAGCUUUAAUCAAAAAGCAAUAAUUAAUUUUUUGCCUCAAAGCUUCUCUGUUUCAACUAAUAAAGGAUCCUGAAUAUCUUCACGAAAAUAGUGCCAUAGCGGAAACAUCAUAAUUUAUUCCUUGCCACUUUUUUGCUUUUUUGUCAAAAGCAGUAUUUAAUUUCAUUUCUAGCUUGAUAACAUAAGGUUUGUUAUAAAAGCGUUACUACCCGAGUGAUCUUUCUGUGCACUCUAUUCUUGACCAUGAAUUGGAUUGGUGCAUAAAAAAAAAGAGGUGAAUUUGAAUUUGGCCCUCUAAAAUAGACCAACUUACCAAUUCAACUUACCAGUUCAACUAAACACUUAAAACUGCAAAUUUCGAUCCAAAUGACGCUUUGUGUCAAUUCACAUGUGUUUAUUAAUUAAAAUUUCGUCAAACUUAAGUGGCAUAAUGAAUUCCUAGCAACUUUGUUAGGGAAGGGCUUUAAUGAGAUACAAAGGAAAAAGAUAGUGAGUGCUCUUUUGAUCAGUUUUGAAAGAUUUGAGAUGGCAGAUUAACUUUUUUUUUUUAUUGGAAGAGCAACAAUUUAUCAUUCUUAACUCAUUUAACUUGGAGAUUAAUUGCUUCAAACUUCUUGAAGUUAGUAGGGUUUCACUUUGAGACAAAAAUUGAUGGAAGGGAUCAUUUGGAACAAAAUUUCCAAUUGGAGGGCUUAACUAUGAUGUAAUCACAUUUAAGGGUUGAAUUGAUAAUUUGGUCAACUUUGAAGGACCAAAAACAGAUUAUCAAAAUGAAUUUUCACCCUUUUUAAGCUAGACCUGGAGAUUAUUGACAAAACCACAAAAAUGGCUACAGUUGAAUCAAUGAUAAACAUCUUAAAUCAAAAUAAAACAAUCUCAAGAAAAUCAACUCGCCAUCCUACUUUCAAAUUACUUUUGUUUGUUUGUUUAUACAACUUCCUCUAACAGACUCAUUCCACUUUCACACAGAUUAAGAAGAAUAGUUAAUGUAAUCAUUUUUGCUUAGUACUUUCCUUAUGUGCCCUUCUAUUAAUCCUUUGUUUUAGUGUUAUACUACAAUUUAUUAUUUAUAGUAAAAUGGCUAACUAAUUAAAUAGCAUACUUACUAAUUAAGAUACAAUUUAACUAUGGAUAUAGAAGUAAAUCCAUACACUAACCCACACUUCAAAAAAAAAAGCCUAAAUUAAACACAGAAAAAGGGGCCUAUAUAUCUUAUUGAACGGAGAGAGUACUAUUUUGUACUUCUUUCCCACCCCUCAUCCCCAGUAUCUAGGGUCCAUGAACUAAAUUUAUUAUGCUACAGAAUUCGAGUUAAAUUUACCAUCCUACGGAAUUCGAGUAGUCCAAAUAUUCUCAACAUGCAUGCAUUACAUUAAUUUGGGCUAUCACAAAAUUUUUCCUUCUUAAUGGAGUUGAUGAUUCCAAGACAGCGUUUGACUGACUUCUUAUCAAAAUUUGCCUAUAUAAACUGACCAGUCUUGGCAUAAUGAUCCAUCCGCGAGCAGCUUAGUGCCAUACUGGUAUAUAAUUUGCUUCAAAGUUGUUAGCUAAAUAGCAACUUAAAAAUGGGUGGCAAAGGAGGAGGAGGCAAAGGCGGGAGUUCUGGAGGAGGAGGCAAAGGCAGUGGAGGCAACGGAGGAGGGAAAGGAAGUUCCGGUGGCGGUGGAUCGUCCAAAGGCAGCGGCAGUGGUGGUGCUGGCGGUGGAUAUAUGAAAGCGCCUGGUGGUGGUGGCUCAAAUAUUUCAAGAGCUGGAUUUGAGGCAAAUCCUCAAGGAUAUUUCUCGGGUUUACGUGGUGACCAAAAGGGCAAAUGAACUUUUAUAUUGAAUAAGAUGUUGGAAUCUAUUAAAUAAACAUCAACCCUAUGUUGAAUUAGCUUUAUAUCGAAGUAUUAAACGAUUUAUAUUGCCAGGAAUAUUUGCUUUCAAUUUUGACAUCUUUUUUAUUUUGCAAUUAUAGAAGGCAAUGCUAUGAAUUGAACUAGAGUUUACAUGCAACUAUGGCCAUAUAUAUGACUACCUACAAUGACCAUCCAUAGCACUGUUUUCGGUUGGAUAAUUACUGAAUUUUCUUCAGGCAUAGCAUAUAGCCAUCCAUAUAUGCUUAUGAUAAACUUUUGUUUAAAAAAAAAAAGAAUGAGUGGGCAUUAUUUUACAAGACUAAACAUAUAGACUUUCUCACUUUUGUCCUUUUUUUUUCCCAAAAAGACAGUGCUACUGUAUAUUAGAUGUCAGAGAAUAUAUAAAUAAGAAAUGCAAAGUCUUUUCAAUUGAUCAAUUAACUCUAGGCAAAGCUCAUUCUUGAUUUCUUUCUUCUCUCGUUAAAUAAAAAUAAAUGUCAAAAACAACGAAAAAAAAAACUAACCAAAAAGUUUUUCCUUGACUGCCAACACGAAGUCAGAACAUCUUACUGGAGAAUUAAAUAAAGGCAUAAUUUCAGAAACCUCCCCUAAGGUUUCUAACAUUUACACUUACCUCCCCUGUGGUUUGAACAAUUACACUGACCUUCCUUGAGGUUACUAAUCCUUUACAAAUUCAGUCUAAAUGAUUAAAAUAUUAUUUUAGAGAGUGAAAUUAGAAUUUUGUACCUGAUUUGUCCUUUAUGCCACAUGUCCAAUGAAUGGCAAAGUAUUACAAAUUAAUUAACAAUUAAUAAAUUUUAACAAGCGUAGUUUAUAGGCAAAUACGUAUUGCCUAUUUAAAGAACCAGCUUUUUACAUGAAUUUUAUUUUCAAACAUUUACUUUAUCACAAAUAUUUAUUCUCAAAUACAGAUUUGUAUUUACUCUCAAAUAUUUAAUUUUUGUUAAUUACAAAACCUACCAGUUUUUCUUCCGUAGAAAUAUUAAUAUAACAUUUUUUUCAAUUUCAAUUACAAAUAUUUAUGUAUUUAACAGAAAUUAAAUGAUUCAGAAUAAAAUACUCAUAAAGAGCUAAUAUUUUACUUUUGUAAUGGAUGAAAGCCAUAAAAAAUUAACAUUUUAUAGGCCAUUUCUUUUUUUUUUAAAUUUUAAUUUAUAUUAAAUAGAUAACCUAUCGAUUUUCUUUUUACAAGAAUAUUAUUGUAACACCUUUUAAUUUUUAAUUACAAAUAUUGAUAUAUUUAUUGUAAAUUAAAUAUUUAAAAAUAAAAUACCUGUAAAGAGCCGGUACUUUAAAUAAAUUAUGCGUGUUUGCCUAUAAACUACACUCCUUACUUAAAUCAAUAAACUACACUCCUUAACUUAAAUCAAUAAACUAUACUCCUUACUUUAAAUAGUGUAGUUUAUAGGCAAAUACGCAUAUCCUAUUUAAAGUAUCCGCUCUUUACAGAUAUUUUAUUUUCAAAUAUUUAAUUUAUGAUAAAUAUAUUAACAUUUGUAAUUAAAAAUUAAAAAGUGUUAAAGUAAUAUUCUUGCAAAAAAAAAUCAGUAGGUUAUCUAUUUAAUAUAAAUUAAAUAUUUUUUAAAAAUAAAUGGCCUCAUAAAUUAUUAAUUUUUUAUGACUUUCAUCCAUUACAUGAGUAAAGUAUUGGCUCUUUAUGGAUAUUUUAUUCUGAAUCAUUUAAUUUAUGUUAAAUACAUAAAUAUUUGUAAUUGAAAUUGAAAAAGUGUUAUAUUAAUAUUUCUACAGAAGAAAAACUGGUAGGUUUUGUGUUUAACAAAAAUUAAAUAUUUGAGAGUAAAUACAAAUCUGUAUUUGAAAAUAAAUAUUUGUGAUAAAGUAAAUGUUUGAAAGUAAAAUACAUGUAAAGAGCUGGUACUUUAAAUAGACAAUACGUAUUUGCUUAUAAACUACGCUCGUUAAAGUUUAUUAAUUGUUAAUUAAUUUGUAAUACUUUGCUAUUCAUUGAACAUGUGGCACAAAGGACAAAUCAGGUACAAAAUUUUAAUUUCACUCUCUAAAAUAAUAUUUUAAUCAUUUGGACUGAAUUUGUAAAGGAUUAGUAACCUCAGGGGAGGUCAGUGUAAUUGUUCAAACCACAGGGGAGGUAAGUGUAAAUGUCAGAAACCUCAGGGGAGGUUUCUGAAAUUAUCCCUUAAAUAAAACCGCCUUUGAAGUCAUCGUGAGUAGUUUCCAAAUCUAAAUUAGAAGUAUGACUCUAUUAAGUAUUACCAACAAAGUUCAUUCUCUCAUUAAAUCCAACCCCCCCCCGGAAGCCCUGAAAAAAGAAACUAUUUUCACCUCUUAAAAGAGGAAAGUUUUAAAAAAAUGUUGUUGAGAUGUCUUGAAUUAGAUUUUCGACCUUCGCUGAGUUGUUCGGGUUUUUCGAGUCUUGUUUUGGGCUUAUUUUUGGGUCCAGUCUGUUUGGUUAUAUAUAUAUAUAUAUACACCUUAUUUUAGUCUGUAAACUAUUCCGAUUACAACCUUAAUAAAAUCUGAUUUCCCCCAAGUUGUUCUUGUCUGUUCUUGUUUGUUCUUCUGUUCCGUUGCAUCUGCUAUAACAAACUGGUAUCAGAGCUCUAGGUUUGUCCUAGGGCUCGGAUCACGCAACAACAUAUCUGCUUUGAACAUCAAGAUCGACAAGUUCACCGGGAGAAAUAGUUUCAGUCCGUGGCAAAUCAAGAUGCGGGCUCUAUUAAAGCAACAGGGUCUGUGGAGUCCGCUGAUGAAGAAGAAAUCGGAUUCCGUUGAUGAAGAGUCGAUGAGUCUGGAGGAAAAUGCUCACUCGACAAUCAUGCUGUGCCUGGCAGAUGAUGUCAUCACUAAGGUCGCCGGUGAAAAAACUGCUGCGGGUUUGUGCGUUAAACUUGAAAGUCUCUAUAUGACGAAGUCUUUAACCAACAAGUUGCUCCUAAAGCAACGUCUGUUCGGUCUGCGUAUGCAGGAAGGUUCUCCUCUUCGAGAACAUUUAGAUCAAUUAAAUACGAUUUUUCUUGAGUUGCGUAAUAUUGAUGUUAAAAUUGAGGAUGAGGAUGCCGCGUUGAUUCUGUUAGUGUCUCUACCGUUAUCGUAUGAGAAUUUUGUCUCAACUAUUACACACUAUCGCUUAAAAUCCCUACUUAUCGAGAAAGAUUGCACCCGUAUACAAUCUAAGAAAAUAUCACAAAAAUGAGCCUCAAUUACUCGUAAAUCGAGAUUCAAAUAUGGGGUUUAAAACUUAAGUAAAAAAUCUGAUUUUUAUCUUUAAAAUCAUUGGAUGGAAACAAGUAGGCAUGAAACCAUGUAAAUAAAUUUCCAGACGAACGAUCGAAGUCGGACGUGAAGAUGCCACGUCACAAUCCGGCCAAGAACUGGCCGAAUAUCCGACCAGACUUCUAGCAGGAUUCGAGGUAGUGAAGAAACCCAAUUUUUUUUUCAAAUCUCACCAUCAAUCCGACCAACUAUCUGGCCAAGAACUAGCCUGAUAUACGGCCGGAUUCUAUGAAAUUAUUCCCGCGCGGAUUCUUUUCAAAAUGGCCAAAAUUUAUCAAGUUUAGGGUAUUCUUUGGAAAAUCAUAACUCACUCUUUGAAAGUCCAAAAUUGGAAACUUUGGUACCGUUGGAAACUACUUCCAAAGUACUAAAAGUUCCAAGAAAACACAUUUCCAUGAUUUCAAUUGGAAGACGAGUCCAAAAUGUUGUCUUGAAAUACCAAGACAGAUUUGGGUUGAUUUUCAGCAAAGUUUGGAAAUUCGGCAAAAUUCACACAAUAUGAACUAGCAUCUGAAAUUUGGAACACAAUUAGAGUUACAAUCAAAGUUUAAAACACAACAAGUGAAACAAGAUUCGAAGUAUUGAGCACCAAGAAAUAGCGGCUCAAAGUUGCUGAAAAAGUGAGACUGUUAGACUAAUUUCCAGAUUUAAAUCAUGAAUUUUGAGACUUUGGUUGGGCAUCGAAAUGGACUUAGAAUGGCACUAAACUUGGUAGUAUUACAUUACCAUAUAAGGGCUAUUCCUCUGUCAAUUUUCACAGAAAAAUCCAUUCGGGAAGUGGGUUAACAAAGUCACUAAAGUUCCAAUUUUCCAAGGCAAAGCUGCCUUGUACUUCUAUUUCCCUUUUUUUUUUAAACAUUUGGCCAACGAAUCUUUUCAAACAUGGUCCAUUUAUGAAGACAGAUGUCUAAAAAAUAUCCAAGAUAUAUUUGGUAGGUGAUUAACACCAAGCAUUUCAAGAUCACAAGUCCCAAUUUAAAAAGAGUCAUUCAACUAGGCGAAAAGAGGGUUUUUCAUCAACGAGUCAGUUUCAAAAUUCAGCCACAAUCACUCAAUUCAACUUGGAAUUUAGCAUGGUUGAUGGCAUUAAAAACUACAUUCAUAAGGCUACAAUUUCUCAGAAGAAAUUGUUUUAAAAUUCUGUCCACAACUAGCUCAUAAUUGAGCAUCAAGUCGCAGCUCAAAACAGGGCUUCCAGUACAGAUGAGAAACAGAAUAGGCAAAUUUACAAGAUUGGUAUGGUUUACUCAGGUGGAAUCAAGGCAUGCAUUUUAUACCGUUGGAAAACUGGAAGUGUCUAGUUUCUAAUGCCACAAACGGCAUUCGAUUUUGACAUCGGAGCAAAGAGUUAUAGCUGUUUGAAAAUCACUGCCAGAGCAGUACAUGACACAAUUCCAGUUUUGCUACAUUUUCGAAAUCUCAACUUUUGCCCAACCAAAUUGGAUGAUUUUUGGUGGAAACUUUUCACACAACCCACACAACAUAUUUACAUUAAAAACAAGUCAAUUGGACUACAAAAAAGUGCACCAAAGUGCACGACAAUAGCAGGGGCAGAACCGUCCCUUUUUCUCAUUUUACUCUCUUUGAGCACUAAUCCAACAUAAAUAAUAUCAAAUCCCAUCAAAUCAAUUCAUUAAGCCAAUGUGGGAUUUCAUAGAGCCCACUCACAAGAUUUCCAAUCAAUAUAAAGCUACCCAUGUGAAUCUAUGAGCUCAUAUGUGCAAGAUAACUUCCAUAAACCAAGAUUUAGGAGGUUGAUAGUUGUAUACCUUCUUAGAUGAUUAAGGCAGAAAAUUUCGGUCACUUUAAGCUCAAGAAAAAUCGUGAGAUGAAGCUCCUUUCCUAGCUUAGCUUGAUCACCACGUGAUUUGCAAGUUGUGCGUAAAUUUUGAGAUGAUUUAGGUGAGUUUUGAGUGAUGAAAUGAAGAAGAAUUUUGGUGGUUUCUUCCUCCUUGUUGGUUGGCUGUCUUGAGUGAAGAGAGAGAGAGAGUUGUGCUGAAAAUGAAGCUUCCUUGAGAAGCUUAAGUGUGUGGUUCAAAUUGUCUCAAAAGUCAACUCUCUUCUCCCGCGCACAUGCCCGCAUUUCGUGCUCAAUUCCUUUCGAAUUUGUUUCACUUGUGCACUAAACCUCUAAUGCACUUCCAUUCAUAAUAUUAUUAUUCACUCUUAACAGUCUAAAAAGAAAGGUCUAAAGUCCCUCAAUUAAUCACGCGCGCAAAAAUGCAUACUUCCGUUUUAUGCGCAAUAGAGUGAAAUUUACAAUAAUUUCUUAUAACGAUAGUAUAACUAACUAACACUUGAGUACUUAAACAUAAAAAUACCUAUUUCAAGACUAAUGUACAAGUCUCCAAUUUUCCAAGUUUAUUGUAUUCUGGAAUCGAUUAUUGUCUCCAAACGCGCAUCCACUAUUCACUCUAAACUAGUUUUCAGAAAUAAAUUUUCGAAUCAAGGCACUUUUAAAAUACUUGAAGGUCAUAGUUCCAUGUAAUUGAGUAUAAAGAGGUUGGAAUAAAAUAUUCAGAGAAAACGGGUGAGUAAAUAAUUAAUUAAGUCAGUAAAAUAAAAUAAAAUAAGAAAAAUUCGAGUUCUUGCAGAUUCUGAAAGUGAAGAAGCAGUUUUUGAUGAGAAGAAAAUGAUAGCACAAAGGACUUUGAGGGAGUUAGCAACUCCCAAAUUGAAUUUCCUAAUGUUGAUAUAGCUUUUGAACUAAAAUUGGAACUAAUUCAUUUAUUACCUAUCUUUCAUAGUCUCCCAGGUGAGGAUCUCUUCAAGCACCUGAAUAAAUUUCAUGUAGUUUAUUCAACCAUAAACCCACAACGAGUGAUGGAAAAACAAAUAAACUUGAGAGAUUUCCCGUUCUCUACCUUCCUUUAGGAUCAAUAAGAACAUGGAAUGAUUUGAAGAUGAAGUUCCUAAAAAAAUUCUUUCUAGCGUCAAGGGCCAAAACAAUUCCGAAAGAAAUUAGUGGGAUUUGUCAAUACAACAAAAAGAGUUUGUGUGAGUAUUGAGAGAGAUUUAAUCAACUGUGUGCAAAUUGCCCACAUUACCAAAUUUCUGAUCAGUUGUUGCUGUAAUACUUUUAUGAAGGGUUACUAUCUACAAAUAGAAGUAUGAUAGACACCAAGAGUGGAGGAGCAAUCGUAGAAAAGACUUUUGAGGAGGCAAGAGAGUUAAUCUCUAAAAUGGUAGCCAACUUGUAACAAUUUGGAGUAAGGGUAUACCACAUGCCCAAAAAAAUAAAUGAGGUAAGAACCCAUAAUAUUGAGACUCAACUUUCAAAAUUAACCUCUACUGUUAGACAAGUUACUUUCGGAUAGGUUUAGAAUUCCAGAGGAUAUGGCAUUUGUUUAGUUCCAGAGCACCCUUCAAUAUGUGUCCAUAACUACAAGAGGAUUCGACAUCUUAGGUGAAUGCAAUGAGCAAGUUUGUUAAUCAACCAAGGAAGCAUGACCCCCAUUCAAAUUAACAUAAUCUUGGUUGGAGAGACCACUCGAACUUGAGCUAUGGACAGCCAACUAACUAGCCGCAAUAUCAAUCUUUUGGUCCCAAUAAACCAACAUCUCCACCAAACCAAGCAUCAAGCUCAGGCAUGUCUUUAGAGGAGAUUGUGAAAGUUUUAGCCACUAAAAUACAAAUGUUUUAACAAAAGACAAGAGCCAACAUCCAAAACUUGAGAACCCAAAAUUCGUAGCUUGCAUCUUCCUUGAAUAAAAUCAAAACUAACAAAAGGAAACUACCUUCUCAAGUAGAGAUUAACCUAAAAGAUAAUGCUUGCACCAUGACUCUUUGAAGUGGCAAGCAAUUUUUAUGUCAUUAACAUGCAUGGUGAUUUUGCUUCAAAGUCUACUUCUAUAUUGUAAGGUAGACCAUUCAUGAAAAUAGCAAGAACUAAAAUUGAUGUGCAUUAAGAUACUUUGUUUUUAGAAUUUGAUGGGAAGUAAUAACAUUUAAAAUUUUUAAUGCUAUAAAAUAUCUAGAAAAUAUUGAAUCAAUUUUUCAUGUUGAUGUUAUUAAUACAAUUGUGCAAGACGGUUUUGAGUAGAAUUUUGUGAAAGAAGAGUUGAAUUUUAUGAUGAAGCAUAGCAAGAUGGACAAGGAGGCGUAUUUUUCUCUUCCUUUUUUAAUAAAAUUGGGGAUGGUUUUUGUUUGAAAAAAAAAAGAUGGACAAGGAGGCAAAGUUGAAAAAUAAUGAAGACAUGAAAGAAGCAUUUAUGUCUUUGCACUUGCUACCCGAAUUUCCAAGCAGGUUAGUUAAUUCAUCUUUGUAAUUACCGAAUUCUCAUGAAAUGGUUUUGUAUUGAACAAGCCCCAAAUUUAGAAUUGAAGACUUUACUUAAGCAUUUGAAGUACGUGUGCUUAGGAAAAAACUUGAAACCUUACUGGUGAUCAAUGCAAAUGAUUUAACUAAAGUCUAAGAGGAGAAGCUAUUGCAGGUUUUAAAGGAGAACAAGACAGCAAUUUGAUGGACAUUGGCAGACAAAAAAAGGAUUAGCUCUUCAAUCUAUAUGCAUUAAAUUUUGCUUAAAAAUGAUGCAAAACCAAUAAGAAAGCCUCAACGCAAAUUGAAUCCAGCCAUGAAGGAGGUUGUAGUGAAGGAAACUUUGAAGUUGUUGGAUUUAGGGAUCAUCUAUCUCACAACUAACAGUCAAUAGAUAAGUCCAGUAUAUGUAGUGCUUAAGAAGUUUGACCUCACCCUUGUUCUCAUAAAAAGAAUGAACUUGUCCCUGUGAGAUUUCAGAAUAGGUGGAGAAUACGGAUCGACUUUAGGAAGUUGAAUGUAACCACGAGAAAAUAUCAUUUUUCACUUCCAUUCAUCGACCAAAUGCUUGAAAGAUUGGUAGGUCUAUCUUUUGUUUCUUAGAUAGAUUUUUCUGGUUAUUAUCAAAUUGUUGUAACUCCAAAAGACCAGGAACGAUAACUUUUACCUAUCCAUUUGGAACCUUGGCUUAUUAUCAUAUACCUUUUGGAUUGUGCAAUGCCCCAAGUAUGUUCCAAAGAUGCAUGAUGAGUAUUUUUUUUUUUACUUGAUUGAGAAUUGCAUUGAAAUUUUCAUGAUGACUUUACUGUUUAUGGUAAUUCUUUUGAUCAAUGUUUGGAUCACUUGUUUAAAAUUUUAAAAUGUUGCAUUGAUGCAAACUUGGUGUUGAAUUAUGAAAAAUGUCAUUUCAUAGUCCAGCAUGGAAUAGUUUUGAGACAUAUAAUUUCAGUUAGAGGUAUUGAUGUUGACAAAGUUAAGGUUGAUUUGAUUGCAAGCUUACCCUAUUAAUGUUAGAGAAGUUCGUAGUUUUCUUGGUUAAAUAGGUUUUUAUAGGAAGUUCAUCAAGUUCUUCUCUAAGAUUGUACAAUCAUUAUUAAGGUUAUUGCAAAAAGAUUUACCAUUCGAAUUUGAAGAGAAUGUCAAAUGACUUUUGACAAGUUGAAGGAACUGCUCACUUUGACACCAACUAUACAACCACCAAAUUGGGACAUGCCUUUUGAGAUUAUAUACAACGUAAGUAAAUAUGCCAUAAGAGCUAUAUUUGGGCAGAGAAAUAGAAAGAAUUGUCAUGUCAUUUACUAUGCAUCAAAGACAUUGAAUUCUGCCUAGUGCAGCUAUUCAACCACAAAAAAGGAUAGCUAUUGUAUUUACUUUAGAUAAAUUUAGAUCAUAAUUGUUAGGAUCUAAAGUGAUAGCUUUUUCUAAUCAUGCAGCCCUCAGGUAUCUAUUGGCAAAGAAAAGAAUCCAAGCUAAGACUCAUACGCUGGAUUCUUUUGUUGUAAGAAUUUGAUUUGGAAAUCAAGGACCAAAAAGAAACUUUUAAUUACGAACAUUGACGACAAUGUGAUAUGGAAGCAUGAUGCCAAAGGAAAAGUUACAAGAAUAAUUUCCUAUUGCCGAAUCUAAGAUUUGAAAAAAUGAGAGAAAACUCUUUAUUUAUUAGAAUAACCAAUGAAAAUUUUGAUAAAUAUCGAUAGAUAAAUAAAUAAGAAAGGCCUAGAGUUGGCCUAUUUAUAGGUUACUAUAUUGGUGAACCAAAAGAAAAUAAAAUAAAAAAGUGGAAAUAAAAUGCAACUUUAGAUCAUGUCGAGUCAUAUGUCGGACUCAAUAAUUACCACCCAUCUUAGCAAGUCUCUGCAAACUGAAUAAAGACUAGAAUAUGACGGGUCUUAUGAUAAGUCUUAUGUUAGGUGCCCAACUCGACUAAACUCUACUUUACACGUGACCUUUCUUCCUUACGCGAUCCAUCUUACUCCAAAAUACGUCUUCAAGUUGUUCUGCAUCAAUUCCCCUACUUGGAAGGAACUUGCCCUCGAGUGAAUGGGCACAUUUGGAUACCAAGGCAUGUCUAAUAAAUGAUAUAGGGUAAAAAUCAACAACAUUGAAAGUUCAAGAAAUACCAAACCACUUGGACAAGUCCACCAUAUAGGCGUUAGGAUUAAAGCAUCGUAGGAUCUUGCGAGGACCAUACUUCUGUGGCUAUAACUUGUCAUAAGUACCAAUUGGGAAUCGCUCGCGCCAAAAAUGUAUCAUUACCAUAUCUCCUCCUUCGAACACAGUUGCCCGAUGAUGUUUAUCAGCUACUACCUUGAACUUAGCAUUCAUCAACUCCAGCUUCUGCCUAAUAGCAUCCUGAAUAUCUUGAACAUCUUUGGCCAUAUAUACUAGCUGCAACACUAUAUCCAGGAAUAUUGGGUAACUUGACCACGUCAACUUCGUGGCGCAAAGGCUUCACAUAGACCACUGAGAAUGUGACCUCCCAAUAGAACUAUGUACAGCAUUGUUGAAAGCAGGCUCUAUUUGGGGCAAGGCAUAUCCCAAAGCUUAGGUUGCUCUUCACAAAUGCAAUGAACCAAGUUUCCCAACGUUUGAUUGAUCACCUCUCUCUGACCAUCUGUCUGUGGAUGAGCAGUACUGCUAAACUUAAGAGAUGUGUCAAACAUUUUCCAAAGAGUUAGCUAAAAAUGAUUGAAAAACUUGUUAUCUUGAUCUGAUGUGAUUGACUUUGGCACCCCAUGCAAGUGAACCACCUCUGGAAAAAAUAGACGAGUAAUAUGAGAAGCAUUAGAAGUCUUCCUACGUGGGAUAAAAUGCACCAUUUUCAAAAACCUGUCAACAACAACAAAAACUGAAUCAACUCCACAUUGAGUCCUGGGUAACCCUAAGACAAAAUUCAUCGAAAGAUCCUCCCAAAUUGCCUUUGGAAUAGGUAAAAGAGUAUACAAACUCACAUUCUGGACUUGCUCCUUAGCCGUCUAAGAAGUGUAACAUUUACAAACAAAGGUUCGAAUGUCCUUCCUCAACUGGUGCCAGUAAUGCCUCUCUUCCAAACUAGAUGUUGUCCUUUCAAUCCCUCGUAACCACCAAAUCCACCACCAUGCAAAUCCCUAAUCAACAACUCACAUAAAGAAAUACGGGAAAUGCAAAGACGAUUACCUCAAAAGAGACACCCAUCAAAUAUAUGAAAGUCAUCCUUAGGGCUUUUUUUUGACACGCCAUCCAUAUAUCUUUAAAGUCAUCGUCUCCUUUAUACACAUCUUUAAGCAACUCAAACCUAACAAUUUUGUGACUUAAGGUGACUAGCAAUGUCGCUCAAUGGUUAAAGGCGACUGCUACUUUGUUCUACUGUUUGGACUUGUACUUCAAAGUGAAAGAGAAUUGAUCUAGAUAUGAUAUCCAGUGAGCAUCCAUCUUACUCACUGUCUUCUGGUUGUUCAAAUACUUCAAUGCUUGAUAAUCAGUGUACAGAGACAAAUUGCUUUUAAAUCAAGUAAUAUUCCUAGUGCUUUAAAGUUCGAACCACGACAUAAAAUUCUUGGUCAUAAGUAAACUAUUUCUGACGCAUCUCGCUAAGGUUUUCACUAAAAUAAGCUACGGGCCUUCCCUUUUGGGACAAGACUACACUAAUUCCCAACCCUAAAGUAUCACACUCAACCACGAACAAUUUUUUGAAACUAGGUAAUGCUAAUACUAGAGCAGUUGAUAACUUCUUUUUUAUCAGAUUAAAGCUUUUACGUGUUCUAGCCCCCACUGAAACUCGCCCUUCUUUAAACAGUUAGUCAAAGGAGCUACAAUAGUGCUUAAAUAUUGAAUAAAUAUUCUACAGAAAGUUGUAAUGUCAGUGACAGCUUUGGGGUAGGCCAAUCAUGUAUAGCUCUCACUUUCUCCUCAUCCACACGUAUUCUGUCUUCACUGAUGACAAAGCCCAACAAGAUAAGACUCUUCACCACGAAGUAGCAUCUCUUCAAAUUAAUGUAGAGCUUAUUCUCCCGCAACACGAUCAAUACUUGGUAAAGGUACUCCAAGUGCUCCUCCUUAUUAGCACUAUAUAUCAAAAUAUCAUCAAAAUAUACAAUCACAAAUAUUUUGAUAAAUGGUUGAAGUGCCUCAUUCAUCAGUCUCAUGACGGAACUUGGAAUGUUAGAAAGCCCAAAUAGCACGACCAACCAUUCAUUAAGGCCUUCCUUGGUUUUGAAAGCCAUCUUCCACUCAUCUCUAGGUUGAACGUGUAUCUGGUGAUAGCCGUCUUGAAAAUUAAUUUUAAACUCUUUCUUCCCAAUAAGUAAUUCAACAUAUUUUCAAUAUUGUUUACUAAGUUAAUCUAUCUUCGGGUGCUGGGACAAUUAUUUGGCGUAUGUCCUGAUUGCCUGCAUCUCUAACAUUUAUCACCGACUGGCCUUGUAUAGGGAUUGUGGGGUUGGUUUGAAUUAGGCGGAGGAAUAGAAUUAGUGUUCUAACAUCGAGGCUCCUUAGCUUCUAUAACAGACCACUUGUCCUCCCUAAAUCCUGGACCACGACCCUCUUGGUAAUAGCCUUCUAAUUGUCUCGAAUAGGGAUACAGGUAUAAUUAAAAAGCUCUAUGGGAAGACUCAUCUAAGGUAUUUUUCUUGAGGGAUAACCUCAGUUCCGCCUUCACAGCUAAGUUUUGGGGCUCAGACAAAUUAGAGAUAUUAUAACACCCAAUCUCAUCAUUUAUACUAUCCUUCAAUCCAUCAAAAUAUCUAGAGACUAAUUGAUUCUUUGAUUCCAUCACAUUAUUUCUAGAUAACAAUGGUAAUAACUCAAAAUUAUACUCAAGAACUGAACGGUUACCUUGAAUGCAGUAUUGAAAUUGUGAGAAAAGGUAUUGCUCGUAAUUUGGGGGAAGAAAAUGAGUCAUCAGCAACUAUUUCAUUUUUAACCAGGAUCACACCGGCUGCUUUCCUUGUCUUCUUCUUGUCACAUGCAGUUGCUCCUACCAGGAAGAAGCACCACUCAUAAGUCUAUAAGCAUCAAGUUUCACUUGCUUCUCUUAUGAAAUUUCCAUAUAGUCGAAAAAUUGUUCGCCAAUCAAGAAAGUCUUGGAUGCCAAGAUUCCUACUCAAUGCUUGAACAUCUACUUUCAAUUUGAAUUCUUCAAUAGUCAUGUCGACCCCUAGGAUUAGGAUUUCUUUCUAUAUUAUCAUCAUCCAACGAACUCUCAUCAUAGGUUUAAUUCCUAUGAGUUAGGUAUAUCUCACGUUGAUUUUGGUCACGAUCUCAACCAACUCUCAGAGCUAGGCUACCGUUAUCAUUGCGAUUUGAUUGUCUUGAAUGCUCAUCCUCUGUUGUCUUGCACAUUUAUCCUUUCUAUAAGGGUAGUAAGCAUGCCUUCCAUUCGAUUCAUGCGAGCAUCCAAAUCCAUAACCAUGUUUCUCAAACCCUCAAUUCUGUCGUUAGGGUUAGGGUUAUUAUCUCUAUUAUUAUUAGCCAUCCCAGGAGAAACCUGUUUUGAUACCAACUGAUACGGAAGCGUAAUCCCAAAGAAAAAGUCAAAUGAACAAUUUCUUGAAUUCGAAUCUAAGAUUUGAAAGAACGAGAGAAAAUUCUCUCUUUAUUAGUGUUGGGAAAGAAGUACCAGUACAGGCAUACAAUAUCAGAGUUAGCUCAGGAUAAAUUUCUCUUUUUUCAAGUACCAGUUAAAAUAGGAAUACACCAAAUCACCAAGUAAUAAUACUAGUAGUGAUAAUAAAAUGCACGAAAAAUAAAAGGCACAUAACACCAAGAUUUUUAUGUGAAAACCCCAAAUUGAAAAAAAUCACGAGAUCUAAUCCAGUCAAAAAUCUCCACUAUGACAAUAAUGAGAAUACACAGGUCUACCCGAAAUAUUCGGAUGACAAUAAUAUCACCAAUAUCAACCAAAUCAAAUUGCUACAAAAUCACCCUCAAAAAUUACAACUGUCAAAGAAAUGAGUUUGGAAAGGUGUUAUCAAAUGAAGAGGAAGUCUGAAAUCUGAACUGGUAGAUGAGUAGAGUUUGACGAGAGGAUCGCGUGGAUAAAAUUUCGUCUCAAUCGGGUUUUGAAUCACCCUCCAAUCAAGACAUUGAAGUUUCUCUCUUUAGCUUAUUUACUCUUUCUCUCUCUUCAUUUUUCUCUCAACAAUGAAGAAGGUGACGGCUGACACUUUUUAUCACACGAAGACCGAAGAAUGAAUCCCCUAUGCGGCUGCUUCUUUUUCCUUUUUUAAGUCAAAUCUUAACUUAAACCUAAAGUGUUUGGUUUUUGUGGUUUGGCCCAAAAUGGGCUGGCCCACAAACCCAACAAUCUCCCCCUCUAACUCAUUUGAGGGGUUCCACCAAACCUGUUUCUUAUCUGUAAAAUAAGAGUUUCUCUUUAGGCAAUACUUUGAUAAAUAUAUCAACACCAUUUUCAUCUGUAUGCACCUUUUCAAGCGUCAACAACUUGGAAUCCAAUACUCUUCGAAUCCAAUGAUAUCUCACAUCAAUGUGUUUGGACCGAGAGUGAAAUGUAGAAUUUUUAUACAAAUGAAUAGCGAUCUGACUGUCACAGUAAAAACUAUAUUUCUCUUGUUUUAUACCCAACUCCUGAAGGAAUUUCUGCAACCAAAGAGUCUCCUUGUAUCAUUCAGUAGUUGCAAUAUACUCUGCCUCCGUACUAGAAAGGGCGAUAUACUUCUGUAACUUGCUUUGUCAUGAUAUUGCUCCCCCUGCAAAAAUCAAGUAUCCAGAUGUGGACUUUCUAUUGUCAAGAUCACCUGCCAUAUCUACAUCAGUGUAUCCAUCUAGUAUAGUUUUACUAUUGUCGAAAUAUAGACACAAUCUAGAAGUUCCUUUGAGAUACCUGAGAAUCCAUUUGACAGUAUUCCAAUGCUCCUUACUAGGAUUGGAGAGAUACCGACUGACUACUCCAACUGCAUGAGCAAUAUCUGGCCUGGUGCAAACCAUAGCGUACAUCAAGCUACUAACAGCCGAAAUAUAAGGAACCUUCUUCAUGUCUUCUUUAUCUUUCUCACUUGUAUGAUACUGCUUGAUAUUCAGUUUAAAGUGACCCGUAAGUGGAGUUGAGACUUCCUUAGCCUUGCUCAUGUUAAACAUGUUGAGUACUUUCUCAAUGUAUUUUUCUUGAAAUAACCAGAGCUUCCCAUUUUACCUGUCACGUGAGAUUUUCAUCUCCAGUAUUUGUCUAGCCGAACCCAAAUCCUUCAUUGCAAAGGAUUUAUUUAAUUCCUUUUUCAACCUGUCAAUUUUUAUAGUAUCACGGCCAACAAUCAAUAUGUCAUCAACAUAUAGCAAGAGAAUAACAAAAUCACCAUCUGAAGAGUUUUCAACAUAAACACAGUGAUCAGAUGUAGUCUUGUGGUACUCAUGGUCUGUCAUGAAGGAGUCAAACUUCUUAUACCAUUGUCUCGAUACCUGUUUCAAAUCAUACAAACUCUUCUUGAGACGGUAUACAAGAUUUUCCUUGCCACUUUCUUUGAACCCCUCCGGUUGCUCCAUGUAGAUCUCCUCUUCCAAGUCGCCAUGCAGAAAGGCUGUUUUCAUAUCAAGUUGUUCUAUCUCCAUAUUCAAACUGACUGCAAUACCAAGAACAACUCAAAUUGAUGACAUUUUUACCACAAGAGAGAAAAUUUCUUCAAAAUCUAUACCCUUCUUUUGACUAAAUCCCUUCACAACCAAUCUUACUUUAUAUUUUGGUUAUGAACUAUGCUCCUGAAUCUUCAACCUGUAGACCCAUUUGUUCUUCAGAGCUUUCUUACCCUUAGGUAGUUUCACUAAGUCAUAAGUAUGAUUCUCAUGCAGAAAUAUCAUUUCCUCUUGCAUGACUCGCAAUUAAUCUUCUUUGUUCUCAUGCUCUAAAGCCGCACAGUAGGACUCAUGCUCUCAUCUAUCUGUUAAUAACACAUAUUCAUGAGGAUUAUAUCUGCUAGAAGGUCUCCUUUCUUUGAUAGAUCUCCUAAACUCAACUUGUGGUAGCGGUGGCGGAGUAGGUGGCGCUUAUGCUCGGGUUCAUCAGCAGUAGGACUAGGGGUGGGCAAAAAAACCCGCCGAUCCGAAAACCCGAUGAACCCGAUCCGAUCCGAUCCGAAAAAUAGGAUAUCCGAUCCGAUUUUUCUUAGCGGGGCAGAUGAGGGUCGGGUACCCGAAAAAUCGGGUACGGAUACGGAUCAGAAAAAUAAAAACCCGCGGGUACCCGACCCGCAGGGUAUAUUUUAUAAAUAUUAAAAAAGUAGGGAUCAUUUUAUAAUUUUGUAAUUUUUAAUCCUAAGUGCAAGUGAAGUGGCUCGCAGCCUCAUAUUCUAAUCCUAUAUGAUCUACUCUUCUCAUUUUUUUUUGAAGAAAGUGAAUAUUCUCGGUGAAACAUGAACAAAAUGAAAAAAAAAAUUUGUGAAACUCUGUUAUAAAAAUUGUUCAUCCCUUUCAUCUUUUUUAUUUUUAUUCUACCUCCAUCGAUCUUUCCUGCAAAUCUUGCAUCAAUUCAAUCAAAGAUUUUUGUUUGGAGUCUCAAUUUUCUGUUAGCUAGAUAAUUAAAAUAUUUGUGUCAUUCAUUUGCAAUUAUAUCUCUUAAAUUUGUCUCUUUUAUUUAGUGUAAGAAAUUUAUUUUUCUUUUUCAUCACCUUAAUACCAUAAGGUCUAUUCCAAAGAUGUAAAGAAGUUGGGGAAGAUUUUUAACAUUAUUUUGGUUAUAUUUUUUUCAAAAAUAAUUAGUUCUAUUCAAUUCUUUUCCGAACUUGAUUUCACAAUUGACUUAUUUGAGAUGCGGUCUUGUACCAUAAUAUCCUUGGGGAAGUUACCAAAUACUUAUUAUCCUUGUGUUUGUUGUGUUGUAGAGGUAUGAAAUGUGUGAAAAUGGUGAUGUACUCAAAAUUAUUAUGAAACUUCGUUUUGUCCAUUAGAUAUUCUAAUAUGUACUAAAUUUAUGAGAUCGAUUUGAUUAUUGGAUGAAAUGUGUGAAAAUGGUGAUGUAUGGACUUUAAUUACAAUAUCUCUACCAAUAUUAAUUGAAAAAGCAUGUUUUUUUAUUGAAAAACAUGCUGAUAUUAAGUAGAAAAUAAAUUUUUUUAUUGAAAAAUAGUUUUUUUUAGGGGCGGGUACCCUAUGACCCGCCCCUUUUUUUCGGGUACCCGCUAUUCGGGUACCCGAAAAUAUUAGGAGCGGGUUAGGGUCGCAAAAUGGCUGAUCCGAUAUAUUAGGGUCGGAUCAGCCAAAUCAUGUUAGGGGCGGGUACCCGACCCGUGCCCACCCCUAAGUAGGAUUAUCACUAUCAUUAACAUCCUCUCUUUGUUCUGUCUCAGCUUCCCCUUGAUUAAAAUUAACAUGUACUGGAAUUGGAUCUGAAUCUGAAUUUGAGCUAGCAGGAAUGUCAUCUGAGGAUUUUGAGUUAUCACCUUUAUCAAUGUCUUCAAUGGUUUGAUCUUCAAAGAAGAUAACAUCUCUGCUCCUGAUCACCUUCUUCUCAAUAGGAUCAUACAACCUAUAACCAAAAUCUUCAUAUCCAUAACCCAAGAAAAUACAUUGUUUUGAUUUUACAUCAAGUUUUAAUCUUUCAGCUUUUGGGAUAUGAACAAAUGCCUGACAAUCAAAAACUCUCAAGUGCUUAAAGGACACAUCUUUUCCUGUCCAUACCCUCUCUGGGAUAUCACCAUCUAGAGGAACUGAUGGAGAAAGAUUUAUCAAAUCACCUGCAGUUCUCAUUGCCUCACCCCAAAAGGAUUUUGGCAGUUUAGCAUUAGAGAGCAUACAUCUGACCUACUCAGUGAUGGAUCUGUUUAUCCUCUCUGCUAUUCUAUUCUUUUGAGGAGUUUUUGGUACAGUUUUCUCCAAUUUGAUCCCACGGAACUUGCAAUAGAUUUCAAAUGGUUCUCUAUACUCACCACCAUUAUCAGCACGUACACACUUUAACUAUUUACCAGUUUCUCUUUCAACUUUGCUAUAAAAAUGUUUGAACACAUCCGAAACUUGAUAUUUGGAUUUCAAAAUAAAACAUCAAACUUUUUUAGCAAAGUCAUCAAUAAAAUUACAAAAUAAAUAGCACCACCAAGAGACUUAUCUUUCAUACAGCAAACAUCAGUGUGCACCAAUUCUAACGGAUUCAAUUUUCUAGAUGGAGGAAAAUUUUGAAAUACAACUCUGUGUUGUUUCCCAUAAAUGCAGUCAACACAAGGUUUAAGUACAAUACCUCUAAAUUCAUGUAGAACUUGUUUGCGAACAAGUGUCUGAAUUUUUUUUUUCACCUAUAUGCCCAAGUCGCCGAUGCCAAAAGUCAAUUGAAGAAUCACGAACUGCAUUCACUUUUCCCUUCCCUAACUUGGCUUGCAUCAAGUAGAGGGUACUCUACUUCUUUCCUCUAGCAACAACAAUAUUUCCUUUGCUGAGUUUUCAUUUGCCUCCACCUUACAAGGUAUGGUAACCCUUAUCAUCAAUUUUCCUGUAGAGAUAAGAUUAAGGCGAAUAUCAGGGACAUAUCGAGUAUUUCUUAAUAUCAGUUGGCACCUGGUAUCUGUAUCCAAAUAUAUGUCUCCCAUACCAACAACUUUGUAUGAGACCUCGUUUUCUAUCCUAACAUAUCCAAAAUCUCCUUUGGUGUAUGUUGAGAAUAAAUGCUUGUGAGCAGUAAUAUGGUAGGAUGUACCCGAACCAACUACCCAAUCACUGUCAUAAUGAAUAAUAUUUACCUGACCAUCAUCACAAAACACAAACAUAUCAUCAUGAGCUGCUACAACUGCUGUAAUCUUUUUAUCACCUUUUUCUUUCGCCUUACCCUUUUUCUCAACUUGUUCCCAUUUUAGGAUUCUGCACUCCUUCAUAUAAUGCCUAUUUUUUUUUACAAUAAUAGCAUGCAAUAUUUUUUCCUGACUUAGACCUGUCUCUAGAUUUGUCAUUCCUGUUGUGAGGUCCUCUACUUUUGCUUCUCCUUCUUCUUUCUUUCUUUUCUAUCACCAGGGCCUGGGACUCAUAGACAAUUUCUUGUUCCUUCCUCCUGAACUUUUCAUUCAUCACUGCCUCUUUUGCAAUAGCUAUGGUCAACACACCAUUCAGACUUGAAUUACUGACGGAGACCACCAUGGUUUCCCAACUAUCCAGUAGUGAACUAAAUAAUAAUAAAAUCUGCACUUCAUCAUCCAAAUUCAAAUUUAACGUAGCUGCCUGGUUUAUUAAUCUUUGAAAAUUACUCAGGUGUUCAGUCAUAUCUUCCCUAUCUUUAUAUCGCAUCCGAGUAAUCUGUUUCAAACAGCUAGCUUUGUUCAAACCAGUCUUCCGUUCAUACAUGCUCUCAAGUUUUUUCCAUAAUACAUCAGCUCUCGUGUCAUUAGCAAAAUGUUGAAAAAUACUUUGAUUAAUCCAUUUUCUAAUAUUGCCAACAGUUUUCCUGUGCAUAACAACCCAUUUUUCAUCACUCAUAUCACUUGAUCUGCCUUUAUCUCCUAGAACAGGUUCAAACAAAUCUCUAUAAUACAGGUAGUCUUCCAUUCUAAGCUUCCAAAUUGAAUAAUUAGUAGCAUUCAAUUUUAUCAUACAACUACUAUCCGAAUCAUCCAUUUUUAACCAGUACAAAUGAGUAGUCUAACCUGACUGCUCUGAUACCACUUAUUGGGAAAGGGGUACCAGUAUAGACACACAAUAUCAGAGUUAGUUUAGGAUAAAUUUCUCUUUCCCCAAGUACUAAUUAAAGUAGAAAUAUACCAAAUCACCAAGUAAUAAUACCAGCAGUAAUAAUAAAAUGCAAGAAAAAUAAAAGGCACAGGGCACCAAAAUUUUUACAUGAAAAAUCCAAAUUGAAAAAAAUCACGGGAUCUAGUCCAGUCAAAAAUCUCCACUAUGACAAUAAUGAGAAUACACAAGUCUAUCCGAAAUAUUUGGAUGACAAUAAUAUCACCAAUAUCAACCAAAUCAAAUCGCUACAAAAUCACCCUAAAAAACUACAACUGUCAAAGAAAUGAGUUUGGAAAGGUGUUACCAAAUGAAGAGAAAGUCCGAAAUCUUAACCGGUAGAUGAGUAGAUCCUGACGAGAGGAUCGCGUGCAUAAAAUUCCAUCUCAAUCGGGUUUCGAAUCACCCUCCAAUUAAGAUCUUGAAUUUCUCUCUCUCUAGCUUAUUUGCUCUUUCUCUCUCUUCGUUUUUCUCUCAAUAAUGAAGCAGGUGACGGCUGACACUUUUUCUCACACGAAGACCGAAGAAUGAAUCCCCCAUGCGGCUGCUUCCUUUUCCUUUUUUUAAGUCAAAUCUUGACUUAAACCUAAAGUGUUUGGUUUUGUGAUUUGGCUCACAAAUGGGCUGGUCCACAAACCUAACAAUUAGAAUAACCAAUGAAAAGUUUGAUAAAUGUUGAUACAUGAAUGAAUAAGAAAAAACCUAGGAUUGGCCUAUUUAUAGGCUAGGCUACAAUAUUGGUGAGCCAAAAGGAAAAAAAGAAAAGAAAAUGUGGAAUGCAACUUCAAGCCAUAUCAGGUCAUAUGUCAUGCUCAAUAAUCACCAUCCAUCUUAGCAAGUCUCUUUAGACUGAAUAAAGACUAGAAUAUGAUAAGCCUUAUGAUAGGUCUUAUGUUGGGUGCUAAACUUAACUAAACUCUACUUCACACAUGACUGUUCUUCCUUGUGCAAUCCAUCAUACUCCAAAACGCAUCUUCAAGCUGCUCCGCAUCACAAUGUUCAUAUUAUUAAGUGUGAGGGAGGGAAUUUAUGGUUGUUUUUGCGUUUUUGGUUCUUUGAGUUGUGAAAACUUUUGUGUUUUAAAAUUCAGCAUUUUUGGACCAAAAUUUUUGCCUUUUGUUGUGCUUUUCAAUGUUAUGGAUGUUUAUAUCAUUCGAAAAUUUCAAUUGAAUUUGAAAAAUUCAUAACAUGAGUGAAUGAUGCUCUCGUUGCUUAAAAUUGCUUAGCCGAGUUAUUCUUUUUGAGGAUAAAGUAAGUCAAUUUCGUACACGAAAGUGUGUGAGACUUUGAGCCUUUCGACUGAAAUGUCCAUAUCAAUCUCUAUUUUCGUUCACGAGCAAUUUUCUUCCAUGGUUUUGUUUUUCUAGAACUUGCCUUGAUUCCUUUCAAAACCACAUUUAUACAUGCAUAUAUGAACAUGAUUAAGACCUUCUUUGUUACAUGGCAGCUUACCUUUGGAUUACUUGCCCUUUGUGAACCACUUUUAGUUGUAAAGAUUUAUUCAUUCUUUGUAACAAGUAAAAAAAAAAAAGAGUAGAGAAAUGAAAAGGGAAGUGAAGGGGGAGUUUAGUUUGACAUUCAUGUCUUUGAUUCCUUUGAAAAACUCUAGUAAGGUGCUAGGGAUAUAGAAGAUGAAAGAUUGCACCUUGUUAUGAAUGAAAGUUUCUUUUGAAUGAUCUAUUUUACAAUAAAGGAGUUUUAUAUGGUUUUAAUAUUUAGAAGCUAAGUCUGAAGAUUGCGUUUACGGAGUGGCUGUUAUUACAUGUUUGAAAUAUUUAGAAUUGAUUUGAUGUACUUUUGCUCCAUUUAUUCCGAUGGCUUUUAAGCUAUCUUACCAAAUAUUUCCUACCUUGAUCCUAAGCACAUUACAGCCCUUGGAAAGACAUUAUUAUUUAUGUAAUACAUGUGAUUUCAGUGGUGGGGAAUGAGAAGAUAUGCAAGCCUAUGGUAAAUCAUUUCCAUUGAAAGGAAUUUGAGCGAAAUUAAACUCUGCAAACACAUAAAGAGUGAUUACUUCUGUGAGGUCUAUCAAUUUGGCUAUUUUAUUUUCAAGUGAAAAUGCUUGGUAUAUAAUCUUAUAUUAUUUAAAAUAUGUUCUUGGCGUGUUAUGAUAUUUUGAAAGUUCAAUCGUUAAUUGUCGAUAGCAUUACACUUUUGUUUUGGAAAGUAAAUUGAGUUUUGCUCGAGGACGAGCACUUUAUCUCCACAAACACUUGCAUUUGCAUUGAGUUUUCGCUAAUCUUCUUAUUUUCUUAUUGCACUCAAUUCUUUGUUGUUUAUAACUCAUAUCCAAUAGAUUAAAGUACUUGUAAAACAUCAUGGCAUCAUGCCAAUGUCUUCAAAUUUUUAUCUCAAAUGUUCCUUUUUUCGUUAAUACCUACAACACAUGAAGUUUAAAACCACUUAAUUUAUAGAAAUGUAAAAAUUCUUCAUUUAACACAUUUGAUGAAAAAUUAACUAAAACCAUAAUCGAUUGCCUCUCAAACAAUUAAAAACACACUAAAAUAACUACAGAUACAUCUCAAAUAAUCAUUAAACAUUUAUCCAUUGACCAUUCGAAAAAUAUACCUUUAUUUAUCAAAUUUACUAAGAUGUUCCCAUAUAUUCAAAAUAAAACAUUUUCAAUUAAAAACUUUAAAAUAAGUAAACAAUAGCUCCUUCAUUAAACAUAAUUCAUAAAGAGUUUUGUGCAAAAUUGAUUUUAUAAGAACAUGACGACGUAUUAACCGCUUUCAUCGAAAUGCAUUUAGGUAAAUCACUAUAAUAAUCAUAACUUUAGCAGUUUCUUGUCAAGGACUUAUAGCUACAAAAAAAAAUGCAAGUAUCUGGAAAAUCACAUUAACUAAAUUCUAUUCAACUUUUACUUCUAAUUCUAGUAAUAUUAAACUCAAAAUUUUUUUGAAUUUUUAAGAUAGGGGUAGUUUUUUUUUUUUUCAAGAAAAGUUUCGUCUUGUGAGUUAGAAACAUCAUCCAAGUACAUCUAAACUAAUCAUAAACUAUAAAUGAUACAUACCUAUUACCUACUAAGCUAGCAUAUAAAUUUGUUUUAAUGUUUUAACUUAGAAAAGAGAGUUUGCUUUUACACGGAUGGUGGAAAAUAGGCCAUUGAAGGUUAGUUAUUGGAAAGGUUAUUAACAAGUUAAAGGAGAAAAGUGCACUUGGUUCAAGCAUAAGAUAUGGGUAUUGUAAUCCUAUACAUAUAAAAAAAAAAACAAGUUAGGAGGUAUUUAGUUUGGUUUUCAUAAAUUUUUAAAAAAAUCUUUUUCUAUGAACUUUUCACAGUUAAAAAAGGAGUUGAGUAUGGAUUUAAGGACCUUAAAUGUUGAAAGUUGCUGGUUAUAGCUGAUAAUCUUUAUGUAAGAAAGUCAUUAAAUGGGGACUUUAUCUUUCUUGAAGAUACAUUUUCUGAUUGUGAUGGACUCUAAUGUAGUGUGCAAAUUGGAGAAUUAUUGCUGCCACUGCAAUUGGUAAAACCGGUCCUGAGUUGUUGAAGAAUCAAUAUAAUACGGUAAAGAAAGGUCACAGUCACUUCUUGGAGAUUGAUGAUAAAUUGAAAGUAACUGUGCAACUUUCAAUGUAGAUUCUCAAGAAUCACUGUAAGGUUCCACACCAUCUCAAUCAAAAGCAGAGGGCUGGCAAAUUUAACAUGUUAAAUUAUACUAUUCCUAAAUUUCAAAUCCCAAAUUUAACAUGUUAAAGUAUUUUGCCAUUUCUCUUAUCAAAAUCCAUUUGUAAAUGUAAAAUUAAGAAAGAGUUGGCAGUUUUUAUGAGUUUCAAUGUGUAGAUAAAAAAAAAAUUAUGAUAACUUUUCAAAUAAAUUUGUGUAUUCAAAACAUAAUGAGAAAGAAAGAGAAGAAGAAUAAAAGUAAAGUUGAUUGGUUUUGGUCAAGUGUACGAGUUGACAUGGUUCGUAAUUUAUUUUUAAUUGUGUUAACGUGAUGGAAUGAAAAGAUAAACAAGAGAUAGUGUAUCACAAACACAUUUUUUAACUUUUUUUUAUUUCACAUAGAACACAUCACUAAAAAUACUAUAGUAUUUUUUUCAAAAAAAUUAUUCCAAAUAAUUUCUUAUCCAAACACACUCAUAAAUAUUAGUUAAAUAUUCUAUUGAAACUCAGUGAGGGCAAUAUUCUCUAAUUAUUGGGCAAGAUUAUAAAUUUCUAUAUAUAAAUUUUAGCCUUUGGUGGUUCAGUGAAGGAAAUUGCCCCCAAUGUAUCUUGGUCCCUAAUUUCAAUCCCCGACACGUCCUAGUUCCCCAUCUUUGCACAGACAGCGAAAAAAGUCAUUACAGAAGCCGCCAGGACAAAGCCAACGUUACCGUAGUUUGGUAAGUGGUCACAUUAAAGGUGACCUAGAUGUCGUUGAAACUGAAUUACAUCGCAUGCAUACAAAAUUACAUCUUGUACAUUUUGCACAAAAUCGAUCCGAACGAUUUUCUAACGAACCGUUCCGGCCUUGUCCGUUGGCAUGGCAAUACUAGAUGUUGCAAAGCUUUGCUUGGAUGCAGAAGUGACAGUUACUGAUGGUUGCAAACCUGAUUAUGCCAUACCACCUAAUUUACAUAUUGGCAAUUGUCUUCAUUCAUAUUCAAAGAUUCGUGUGGAUUGUCUAUUCCAUGUUUUUUAACGUGUGAAUAUUUUUACAAUUUUGUGAAUGCUAUGCUUUCUAUUCAAAUUAUGCAUUUAUCAAUUCACCAGUCAACUUACUGGCAUUGUCUAGACUCUAGAUAUAUAUAUGGUUCUUUAUGUUCGUAUCCAUACAAGUGUGCAAAUCAUUCCACAUGCAUCUAGACCAAUUGUAGCAGUUGCCAUGGGAUCCUAUGCAAUUAUGAGAGAAAUUGCAUGACGCAAUUAAUAUAGUGGGAUCAUUUUUUUUUUUGUUUUACCAUUUCAAUAAGAGAACAAACCAAACUUUAUAUAGUAGAUAAUCAUUUGUCAUUGUUAUUCUUAUUAUUAUCUUUGAUAUUUUUAUCAUAGUUAGUAAAGUACAGGACGGCGAUGAUAUACUACUUUAAACGUAGGAAUAUAGUUCGGUAUUUUCGUUUAAAAUUAUGACAAAAAUUUUGGCAUAAAAAAUAGAGAUUGGAAAAAACGUACUUUUAUUCAUACGCGUAUAUUCGGAAAAAAAGUACUUAACAAAAAAUGGCUUUAAAAUUUAGUAUAUCUCAAAAUUUGCCAUUUUUAACGAAAAGCAAGUCACAAGACUAAAAGUAAUUUACAAAUUAUUCUAUAGUUUAAUUAAGGAAAUAAUAACUAAAUUUUCUAGUGAAAAAUGUCAAUAAGCAUUAAUUUAGUGACUAGUGACUAUGGAAAAAGAUUCUCCACAAGACAAAAAAGAUUAUUGCACAUACAAGAUCCAAUAUAAAAGUUUUUUAAAAAAAAAAAAUUGGCAAACCCAUUGACAGGAGAGGGAUGCCAAUCCCAAAUUUAAUAUAAAAGUUGGUUAGUGCUUUAUAUUUCUAAUUAUUUAAAAACCUAAAGUAAUGGUAUGCCUACAAUAUAAAAAGUCUUAAUGAGAGGCAAGAAGGUAUUGAACUUUAUGCAUCCAAUUUUGCUACGUCAACAAAUUCUCACUUAAUUACUGUCUUAGAUUUUCUUCCCAGGCCCACUUACUUGCACCGCCCAAACCUUCUCUAAUUACAAAAGGUACUCUAUACUCUUUUUUUUUUUUUUUAAAUGUAAGUAAAAGAUUUCAAACUUAGAAUUAAAAUCUCUCACUUACACUUCCUUUUAUCGUACCACACAACUCGUUCAUCUUCCCUAUAGUGCUUUAUACUUUUAUUUGUACCAGUGUGCAAAUCGUCCCAAAUGCUACAUCUAUAGACCAAUUGUAAAAGCUCGAAUAAGAUUUUAAGUAAUUGUGAGAAUAAUUGCAUAGUGCAGUUAAAAUAUUCAAGAUCAUUUAACCUUUUUUAAGUAAGAGUACAAAAUAAAGUAUAAAAUGAUUGGGCUUUAUAUAGUAGAUAAUCAUUUACCAUUGUCAUUAUUAUUAUUAUCUAUUGUUGUUAUUGUUGUUAUUACUAUUGAAAUCUAAAGCACUUAGUAUAGUAAAAAGGGAUAAUUUCAUUUUGCACCAUCUAACUAUAUUUGAAUUUUCACUUUAAUCCCUAAACUUUAAAACGAGGUACUUUCCCUUAAUCUAUAACAUAUUAAAUUUAUCCCAUUCAAAUAAAAUUUAUCCCACUUUUAUUCGUAAAGUGUAAAAUCUUUUAUACUUCAAUCCCUAAAGUAAGACAAAUUUUAUAAUUAAAAAAUUAAAGUGUUUCAUUUUGAAAUUUGGAGGCUAAAGUGAAAAUUGACGGGUGUAAACCCAAAUUAACGGGUUCAACUUUGACUGGGUCGGUGGUCAAACGCCCCCAGUCAAUUACUUGACGCCGUCAGUAAAGCCGUCUUCUGUACUCUAUACUGGUAGUCUGGAAUCAGCCCAUCAAUGCUGAAGAAUCCAUCACUACCCUUUUUGAGUUUUUCAAACCAGGCCAACCGCCCCAUUAUUUACUAUUAAACAAAACAAAGCAUCCGACGACUUGUUCUUUUAUCCAUUUUUUAUUUCUAAUCAGCGACUAAUCAUCAUUAUAUUGAACUAAUUCCACAACUAAAAAACAAUAAUCAGAAUACUCAGUCUUCAUUUUGCAUAAUUUCAUUCCUUCUUCUCCUCUUCUCUUCUCUUCUUUUCUUUAGCUUUAUUGGCCUACAAAUAAUGCUGCUGCCGCAGGCCGCCGCUGCAGGUUUUGAUUGAUCGAAAGGUUUGGAAACCGAGAAAAGAGUUGGAAUUUGGGAUUCGGAGUUCGGAAUUUUCAGCUAUGGCGGCGAAUUCGGGUAGUAAGGAGACGGCUUUGAGGCUGAGAGCGGCAGCGGAGGCGGCCAUAGAGUGUAUAGGGUUGGGUUAUGACAUGGCGGUGGACCUUAGGUUGAAGUAUUGCAAGAAGCUGCAGUCACGAUUGAUCGCCGUUGAUGAUGAUCAGGUCAGAGAUAUUGCGGUUCCCGGUGGAAUUUUGGUCCAGAAUGUUCCUAAGUCGAUCAAGUGUGAUAAAGGAGAGCGAUUACGGUUUGGCUCUGAUGUUCUGUCUUUUCAGCAGGUAUGCUGUUGUAUUUAUGUGAGUUGAAUUUGUCCUUCAAUCGGUGGAAUUCUCUGAAUUGUUACCGUAAGUUUGUAUCAGUUAUGUUCUUUUGUUGUUUUGUUCUUGUUUGAAGCUUCCGUUGUCUGAAAAUUUUCAGUUUUGAUUGUUACACAUGCAUAUGUAUUGAUAUAAGAGCCUGUGUUGGAAAAAUAUUAUGCAUUUUCAAGUAAGAAGCAUUUUCAAGUAAGAAGGUUUUUUUGGUUCAGUUACAUCCAUUGAAUGCGAACUUUGUAGAACACAGGGAAUGAAAAGGGUGGAAAACUUAAGCAUGUAGUUAGAGUCAGGAGUCUAUAUUGAGCAAUAGUUCCUCAGUUAGAAUAGAAAAGUGUCAACUGAUUGAUUCUUUUGGAGGUAUGGCUGUCUAUGGUUCAGCUGCAAAAAACUCUUGUUCAAGGAGUGAGGGCUGCCAGAGCUAUAGGCAGAGUCCCGCUUUCUUUGCAUUAGCUGUAUUGUUCUCUUGGUGAAGUUCAUGCGCCAAAACAUUUUAGCAUUUCUUUUCAUAAUUUCUUAUUUUUCUGCAAUUUUUAUCCUUUUCACCUUCCAGAUGUCAGAACAAUUCAACCAAGAUGUAGCUCUUAGUGGUAAAAUCCCAACAGGACACUUCAAUGCUGCCUUUGAAUUUACGGGUUGCUGGCAGAAAGACGCUGCCUACACAAAAGCCCUUGCUUUUGAUGGUGUCUUCAUCACCCUCUACAGCAUUGCAUUAGAGAAAUCCCAAGUAAUGCUAAGCGAUCAUGUUAAACAAGCUGUCCCCUCGUCAUGGGAUCCGGCUGCAUUGGCAAGGUGAGUAGACUGGUUGCUUGGAAGUCAGAUUCUUUAAUUAUUUAUUUUCUUUGCUUUCCAUUCGGUAUUUUCAAUUUGGUCCUCAACAUGUGAUUUCCUCAAGGCUUUAUAACUUUGGCUGCUUGCUUAUGCGGUCAAGUUUCUUUAACUUGUAGCUCUGUUUGUUGAUUUUGGCUUAUUUAGUAGGACAAACCAUAUUUAAAUCUAUUUGUUGAUUUGUCAUGAUUAUUAGAACCAGCCAUCUUCUGUGGUAGUUUGUUGUGGUUCUUCAUAAAGAUGUUUUUUCACAGAGUCUUUUCUGGGAUUCUGUUUUUGGUGUCCCAGCAAUGACAAUAUUGCACUGUGACCAACCAAAUUAGUUGAAACUUUGUCAUUUAUUUGUAUACAGUCUCAUCUUUUAUGUCUUUGUACCUACUGUUGCAUGUGUUUCACCACAAAACUACAUGUUUCCAAAUUUCAACUGUAACCAGACAUUUGCAGCCUCCUUAUAUGUUUUUUUGUGUUUACGGGUUUAUUUAGUUUUUCUGGUGGCACCCACAGAGAGAGUGACAGCACAACGUUUAUAUACAAUUACAAGAAAAUGUUAUCUUAAAAUUUGAGGAAAUGUAUUUUAUUUCUUAAACCGUUUGUCCCCAGGAUCCAGCAGCAUAUAUUUCUUAUUUGGUUAUGUGUGCAUAUCUUUGCAGGCAGUAACCUGUGCAUUUCCAGUUUGUUUCCAUGUGCAUAGCUUUGCAGGCAAUAAUCUUUAUGUAAAGAUGUUUAAUCUAGAAGUUAUCUGCUUCUACCUUUUGCAUUACAAAUCUUUUAAUCAUCCCAUUAUUCUGGUGUUUUAAACCUGGCUGAGUUAUACGACUGUGCUGGGUUUGAAACUAUAGACUAAUGUUUUGAAAUGGUUGUUUCAGUAAAUUUAAGGUCCGUUGCAGCAGAGAGAUUUAACUUAGUAAAGACUGUCAUUCCACUGAAGAUUGUGGACCUGCAGUUGUUGGUUACAGAAUGCAAAACUUAGUUGGCACAUCUUGGAGAAUGUUCAACCAUUGUUAAUGAAAGGAGUUUAAGUAUAGAGUUAUGUUAGUUCAAUCAAGUGCUACUUGAAGCAGAGGAUUUGAGCUUCAAAGUUCUUGCAUUCAGUCCAAAGAGUGUAACAAAAAAUGUGUGAAGCCAAACUUUAUCUGACAGAGGAUUUGAAAAGCAGAUGCUUAAUUCCUUACCAUAAUAUCACCAGUAGGAAUAUAUCUCACUUCCGCAACAGGAGGUUUUCCUGUGGAAUGCUACAAGAUGUCUACUUAUAGUUCUCAUGAGCUGUCAUACUACUUAACUACUGUUGUUUAUAGGUGUCAUCACCUAGGCAUGAUAAAGAUAAUAUACGAUUCUAGUCCAACAUCUACAAGUAGUUGAUAACUUGUGUAGUUCUUUCUAGUUGUUGUUUAGUGCUAUGGAUGAAUUUCUUUUGAUUUUCUUUGUUUUCCAAUGUUUGGAAAUAUGUUCCUCAGAUUUGCUUUUUCAUUUUGUUUUUAUAAAUAUAUCUUUAUGGAUGAGCUGAGCAGCAUCUGUGAUUUUCACAGAGUCAAACUUUACCUCAUAAAAUUGGAAUCAGUUUAAGGUUAUGUCCAGUCUGUGCUAACUUGGAGAAACUUAGGUUUAUCGAGAAAUACGGAACCCAUGUGAUUGUUGGUGUGAAGAUGGGGGGAAAGGAUGUCGUGUAUGUAAAUCAGCAAUACUCAUCACCACUUCAGCCUGCUGACAUUCAGAAAAAAUUGAAGGAUGUUGCAGACAAGAGGUUUACUGAUGCAAGUAGACCUUCAAGCACCCACAAUGAUAAAGUUUAUAUCAGGGAAAUGGUGAGUUCUAAAGCUUAUUGUCCUGUAAGGCACAUCUUUCAGUGUGCCUUUCUAGGUUUUCUAAACUGUAUCUAUCCAUGUAUGUAGGUGAGAUCUGAUGCUUAUUGACCAGCUGAUAUUGGGUUUGUCAAUAAACAUCUUGUUACUGGAUGUGCAAUUGUUUGUCCAGACAACGUCUGUGUUCAGCAUGAGAUAUUAUCCAGCAUGUAGCUCUUGGCGGUUCUUAAUACAGACACACUAAAGGAAAGUCACAAACCUAAGAAUAGACAAACUUAGCAAUGGAGUUACACUAUAUUGCGUCCGCACACGAAGACUUGCCUUGGGAAUAGGGAAAUGACCUCGCUUGUAGAUAAGGACUCAAGACUCUAGAGUCUCUCUUGCAUUUCAUUUCUGAGUAUUGAGAAUGGUGCUGUGAUUCCUUUUUAAGAUAGUAAUGUUGUUAGUGUUUGGGAAUGGAAAGAUGCUGUCAUCAAAAUGUGGGGGAGCAUAGAGAGAGUUAAGCUUUAAUCCUGAUCUAAGAGCCAGCAAUGUUUCAUACGAUUAAAGCUCAAGCAUCUAAAUCCAUUUUCAGUUCUUGAAUGGUAUAGGUAGCAGCAUAAUGCAGAACUCAUCUGAUUAUGGUCAAAAUUACUGUGACAAAAUUGCAUUUAUGUUUCUCCAUUCCUAAUAAGUGCAUACUUGAUUCUUUCAUGUCAGUCCUGAUGAUUUACUAUUUGUUCUUUCUUUCAUCAUCCCUGUCAUGGCAUCAACAUCCAGUCAUGUGUCAGUAGGUGUUCACUAUUGUGGGCUUUGAAUUCUUAAGCACGUCUCUUUUCUAAUUUCUAUUUCAGCUGGAUGGCAAUGACAGUGGUCAGACCUUCAUGGAUACCACUACAGGGAGCAUUUAUUCCCAGAAUGAGGUACUUAUGCUCUAUAUAUCUUGCUGAAUAAAAAUUCUCAUGUAAGAGCGGCAUUUUGAUUCCUCGUAACAAAUAUUUUUAGUACUAUAUCUUCAAAUUAGAAUCAUGGAAUACUAUUUCUGCUUUGUUCCCUUGAUUUUCUGGGCUAGUAAUGUGAUACCUGAACUAUUAAAGAUAGAAAACAAUCUAUGGUUUUUGUUAACAUUUGUUUAGGCAUUUAUUCGGUAAUGUCAAGGGGAGAAUAAUAGUGUAAGUCCUUUUCAAGCUGAAGAUUAAGCAAACUAAAAGCAUAUCUUAUAUCUCCUUAAGCACCAAUGGAUGGGAAAAAAUGCAUGGUAAAAGUUCCAGAAAAAAUAAUUUCAAUAUGCUGCUUCAAAAUUGUCGGAUAUGAAAGUAUUGCAAUGAGAGAGAAUGAGGAAGUAGCUCAAUCAAUAUUCUGGUGUCACCGCUGAAUGUAGAAAUUGUGAAAUAUGAGAAUUUGUCCUAUAUAUUUUGUUGAAAUGCGACAAUUUCUUGCAAGUGCUUCCAAACAGUAAAACUCAUCUGAGUCAGCAAAAUCUAAGCUAGUUUCGGGUGGAAGAAGGGCAACAUAGGCAUAAAAAUCAAAGACAUAGGCUGUGCAGAGGCCUUUGUCUCUAACUGAACUGCAGUGACGUAGCUUCUUAUGCUGCAGCCGAUACCAUCCUAGCUUCCCAUUCUUUUCUACUGCUAGUCUGAUUUUAAGGAUAGCGGGUAAGCAGGAAAUCCCGUAGAUCUGAUCUGAGAUCUUGCCGCGUUAAGCAAGCUAAUUAGAAGGCCCUUUGCUAUCAAUAAGAAGGAGAUUCAAUCUUCAAGUACUAUUUUUAAUAUUGACUUUAGAACUGCUUUUAUUUUCCCAAAGUAAUUUAAAAAGUACCACUUGAAUAAUAUUCAGACAUAUCUCUUGAUUUUUUGUAGCUGAUGACAAGGAGGUUCAAAAUUUGGCCCUUAAAGUAUUGUAUUGUGUCCUAACUUGGCAUAGUCUUUUUGAUGACUUACCUAUUGAGAUGUCAAUUGCAUUAAGCACCAUGGAAUUGAACUUUUUCAUUUUCCUUCUUAUGCCUGACUUAGAAUAGGUGAAUCUAAAGUGGAAGUUGAUAAGACCACCUUCAAGCCUGUUAAAAGAACAGGGCAAGAGGAAAUCCUUCUUUUAUGGUGCAGGAAAAUUUAUUUUUAUUCUUCAAAAUACUACUCAUUUACAAAGUCUCAUGGAGGAGCCUUCUUUAUGCAAGGAAUACAUCAAACAGGAACCAAUUGUCCCAAUAACAAAGUUGCAACAGCUGAGAAAAUGUCUACGCUAAAGUUUCAUUCAGUAAGCUCCAAGUUCCUGCCAUACAGCCACAGUACACCUAAUUUCCUCCACAAUAUGAUUAGUAGCAAAUACUACAGAUGGAAUACAAUUUCUGAACACAGUACCAUUCCUUGACCUCCAAAUACCAUGCAAAAUAGCAGCAAGAGACAGUUUCUUUCCUUAUCAUACAAAUGAUUUGCGGUCAAAGUGAUGGCUUAACCAGGACAAUCCAAAAGGCCAAGCCUCGACGAAUCUAUAAAUAAAGAACAGUCCAAGUAUUCUAUGCCACACUGCAGCAAAACAUGUAAAGAUUGUACCAUUUGUGGAGUUAAUGCCUGAACAAUGUAUUACACAAUCCUCAGCCUCAUCAUUCCCAGCUUCUCAGUCUGUCAGCAGUAGAUAAUCUUCAUUUGCAUAACAACCAAAAGAAGAAAGCAUGCCUAGCACAACCUUUUUGUUUAAAUGCCCUUAGGAGGUGGAUUCUGCUAAAAUUGAAAAUUUAUUUGUUUCUUCCUUGUGUUAUGUGUUUAGUACAUAGCAGACAGCAAUCUAACAUGCUGAGCUGAGUAGUGUGAACUUUUGAAUAUAUGGGGCAUAAAAGUUUUGGAUGUAAUAAAGGUCAAUGGAAAUCAAGAUAGCAAAUUGACAUCAAACGUGAGUUUCAGAAUUAAUCACCCUGCAGUAAAAUUUAAAUAAAUUGUCUUACCUGGUUUAGAUAGAAACUAAAAUGCUGAAUGGCCUGAUUUUCUCUUUAUUGUCUCCCAAAACAAGCAAGAGAUAAGUGUUUUCAACUAAUAACAAGUUAUUGUUUUCAGCGUGAUUAAAAUUAAAUCAAAACAGCUGUGCUCUAAAAAAUGCAAAUAAAUUAGGAUGAAUAAAUAUUCCAGUCUUUGAUUACAGAUAUUUUGUGUUUUUCUAGACCAUGGCUUUGAAUUUGCUCUUCAAGCAUAUACCAUAUUACUUGUAUUGACAUCAAUUUCAUGAUUAUAUCACUUUGAACAAUUUGGAUAAAAUUCCGAAAUUAAGGCUAAAGACCUGUUAUAUAUUGUAUAAACCAACUGGAAAUUCUGUAUUCUUUCUUUUUAGUAGCAAACAAAACAUUAAACACUCAAGUUGAAGGUGAUGAUAUUUGGAAGCAAAGAGAUCGAUGAACUUGAUGGGUUUAUUCAUUUCUAAAGCAGGAUAUUACAUUCUUCUGUAGAAGGAGGGGUGGGAGCAGUAGCAGGAACUUGUCCCAUAGUAAGUGGUGUCAAAGUGUCCAGCUUGAACCUGAUGUGAUUUUGAUGUCCUUCAUACCAAUCUCAUCAUUGCUGAGUGGAAUUGAUGGAAGUGGAUUUUUGAGCCAUGCUAUCAACCUUUACCUACGCUGUAAGCUCUGUCUUCAACCAUAUUACGCAAACUCUGUGGAAUACUAUUUUUUAAUUAUUUUGGUGGUAACUUAAUUGCUUUGGCCCAUUUUAGUUGUUCUGAGUAGAAUUGACAUCCAUUACCAAGUGGCUGACUCGGUUAUUUAUUAGUUUAUUGCGAAUGAUAUGCCUAUGCAUUCAUGAAAGUGCACUGUAGCUCUGACUUAGUGUUUUUUGUUACAAUAGAAUUGAGAGGUUCCAAAGUAAGGAUCAUCCUUUCCGGAGACAGACAUGUGUUUGUUUUACAUUUCAUAACAUGUUAUGUACCAUUUCUACAUACCAUGAUAUCUUUGGAAAAUCAAUGAGCUCUGUGGGUAUGUAAAAUCUCAUCAAAUCAACAUUUGUUUACUUGUCUUCCCUUCUUGGUAUAUCCAAUAAAUUGGAAUGAUAAAGCCAUUCUUUUUCACUAGACAAAGUAUAUCUCCUGAGUUGUGCUAUCCUGAAAAGAAAUCCGGCAAUAAUGUGUUGUGAAGCUAAUGGAAGUUGCUUUCUAGAGCUUAAUUAUUGGGUCUCCAUCGAAUCUUUCCCCUUUAGAAAAUCUCACAAUGGUGCUCUCGAGUCUGUGGGAUAACUAAUUUGAGUUGUAUAAUAGCCUACUGUUAGGCAAUCUGCGCUUGUACAUCUAUCAUGCUAGGAUUUGUUCAUUGUUAAAGACAGUUUUUGAGGAUUGGCAUAUUAGAUGGGUUUGGGGAUUGGUACAUGUAGCCUGCACUUGUCUUAUACAAUGAGACAAGCUUUGAAGAUUGGCAUGUUACAUAGGUUGACAGUAGUCAUUCAAUCAUCGGUUUUAUGUCAUGUAAUUUUGGCUUUUCUUUCACCCAUUACUUGACAGACUUCCAAUCAGUUUUCCAAGCUAGUGGACCAGAUUAGUUAGUGGGAUUACUCAGAUAAAUAAAUUCAUUCAUUUUUGUCCGCUCUUUUGGUGAAUUUAAAUGUACAAAUGCCAAGUUGUUGGCCAUCACGGCUGCAAUCAAUCUGGAGAUGGUGCAAGAAUCUCUAUAGUUGGAAUGUCUUUUUAUCCACGUAUUUAACAUCUUAGACGUUUAAUUUCCUAGUUUUAGUUGUAUUUGCUGAGGUGGUUAUCUACGAUUCUGAUAUUGUAAACCAACUUCAGUAUCAAACUCUCCAUUUCAAACUGGUUCCAGUAUGUUGAUGCUAUGAGCUAUUGAAAUUUGUUUGGGGGUAAUGCUGCUCACCACUUGGAUAUGGAUAUCGUUGUUGUACUUGUUUCUACUAUGUAGUUGUCGAUUUGGAAACUUUUUGAGAGCAUUUGGAACCAUUCCAGCAUGACUUGAAUCACAUAUUCACGCAUUAUGCUUCUCACUUGACUCCCUCACACUGUCAUAUCAUCUUAGGGUCCACUGUGGGAGAGCCUAGAAAUCUUUCAACUUCUUUGACAAGUGACCUACUCUUGGUAUCGCUUUACUCUGGGAAAGGUUGAGAAUACAUAGAUUAGCAAAUUGAGUAAAAGGUGUGGCCUUACUGAGGAAGAAGUGAAUGCUAUCUGUACUUACUGCCAUUGACAACAUUUCUCCUAUUCCAAGCCAGGUGUUUAGGGCAAGCUAGACAGGAAUUUGUGAUGCAGUCAAAAAAGAGCUCGCGGAAUCUAAAGUUGAAGACUUUUCACGAUUUUUCUCCAGCUUCAUUGAGGCAUCCCUUGACCAUUAACUGUUUAUUUGGCAGUUGGAAUACGUAAAUUAAGAGUCCUUGUUUAAGUGUCAACACAGUAGGAACUAUAUCCUCUUGAGUUUUACUACUUUCUAGAAUUUUAGGUCUUAAGGGUAUUUUAGCCUUUUUAGUGUUCACACAAAAUUUUCAGUAAUUGAGUUGUUGAGUGUUACGAGGUUAUUUUGAUUGUAUUAGAAUCUAACUGGAGUUGGUGUUGUAGAAAAGUCCCAGGAAACUUCUUCAACUAAUUUUGCUUGUGAAUAGGAAUUGGGAUUAUGAAUAUGAUUCUGUUUUUAGGGUAGCUUAUAGCUUAUAGGUACUCUUGUUACAGCUUAUAUUACAUGUAGAUUGAUCAAUGAUCAAGAAAGAAUUGAGUCUUUUGUUUAGUCAUUAAUUUUCUUCUUCCUCAUCAUACCCUAAAUCCUCUUCUUCUCCACUUUCCCCCCUACUGUUCACUGGUAGCGGUCACAGCCCCAAUAUCUUCUCAUUCCUCUGCUGUGCUAGUAGGCAAGUUUUUCCUGUCUUCUCCUCCAUCAAGUGGUCUUUUCUAAGUUUCAUAAUCAGAAGUACUUGAUUCUCUGAUUUAAAGUCAAUUUAACUGUCAUCUUAAAGACUUAUUCCUCAUUUAUGGAGAGAAAUGUAAUAACAUCAUUAGGUGCUCUCUCUCUCUGAUUGAUUGAAUAUUUGGUGCCCUUCACUAUUUGAACUAUCACAUCCUGGGACCUCACUCCAUAAACCCUCCUCAUUCUUGUGCUAGUGUGAGAACUUUCAGUGUUACCCUCCCUAUUAUAUCCAUAAUUUGACCAUAAAUACACAAGAUGUAUAUAGUCACAGUUCCUAGGGACUUGCGUCUUACUGGUCAAUCUAUUUACUCAACUAAUUAUAAGUUUCUCAGAGAAUUUUUUGAUAAUAUUUUGGAAUCAAGCCUGUUUUUUGAAUGUCGAACCUCACUUUUUUGUUGUUAUUUUUACUGCCUUUCAUAUAUUAUUUUGUGCAAGAAUGUUUUGCUUUUGCUAAUUUGUUUGACAUUAGGCCUAUAAUUAUAGUUGCCAGAAGGACAAGAGGUUUGCAUAUAUCAUGGAAAAUGAAGUGGGAUAUGUUCCAUAAUCUGUGAUAAAUGUAAAUGAAAAGCAUAACUUUAAGAUUUAAUUCAAUUCCUAGCAGCCAUUCUGUGGAUACUAGAUUUAGAAAACUAAGAAGAAACUUCUAAGGAAAAGAAUCAGAAAGAACAACAUGCACAUUUGACUCAAAAGUUGUAAAGAAAGUAAACUGUAUUUACUUUUAAACUUUGACCAAAAUCAGAAAGGUUCUUUAAAUGUUUAACUGUCUGGUCCACUUGCUACUAAAUGAUUUUACCAUAUGCCAUGUGGUUCCAUCUUAUAACUAUUAAUCCAUUACUCAGAAACUAGAAGUCGUCAUUGGUUAAGUGAAGUACAUACAUUAUGUAACACAACCUCUCAGAGAAAAAUUACUCUAAUAAAAAUUCUGGACUUCUGUAUGUGUCCUCACUCGAAGCAGAAAUUUUGAAGAGUUCUAUGAACUUCUUAGUUCUCUUAGAGGAUCAUGUCAUGAUAUUUAGGCAGGGGAUUUAGCAGCAAAUUUUUUGUCAGCAAUACUUUUCCUCUGUUUGAUUGAAUGCCUACACAUGCUAUACAAAAUAUCACAGCUUAUUGUAUCUAUAGUUGGGAUAUAAGAGCUCUUCCGUUAGGAAACAGUUUCAUUAGCUUGAACAUUUGUGAUAGUCCUAGCUUGUAUUGCAGCUUGGUCUACAUAGAGUUCCAGUGUCAUGAUUAUUUACAAUCAUCUAUCCAAGGUUAUGUAGCUGCCAUUGUCCUCUUUUUCACCUUUUAAAUAUCAAAGCCAAGUUUUCUGAUUCCUCUAUGUGCGUAUGGUCAACAUUCUUAUGUCCAUCUUUCAGCGUGUUGCCUUAGACUCUUUCCAGGUUCCUUAUUGGUGAACAUUUUCUUAGUCGCAUCAUCUUUAUUUAGUACCAGAUGUGAAACUUGGAUUGAGAGUUAGAGAAACCAUUUUAUUUUACUGCUAUUACCAUGUAUGAUGUUAUCUCACUCAUAAAUGAGCCAAUAAGUGAAACACUAAAUAGAUGCAGAGAAAAUUUUGCUGAACUGCUUCUGCAGAUCACUGUUAUGUAACAACUCCGAGGGUGGAUAGAUGGUCCACAUGGUUGGACAAAGGAUGAGCUUGAUAUGAGCAAGCAACAACUUGAAUGAAGUAUAAUUUAAUUAUGCAAAAGCCAUGUUAGGCAUAUUUACUAGAAUUGGAACUGUCAAAUUACGAUAUUCUCCUAGCAUUGUGGGCUUAACUUUAGAAAGAUGAAAGAAAAAGCAUAAGUUGAAAUUAAACAUAUAAAUUUUUUUUGUAAGCAAAAUUAAACAUAUAAAUUUGAUAAUUGGCAAUUUCACUUUCUGAGUUGAUGAGCUUGGCAUGUAUUCGACAUUAAUAUGUGGUCCACACUAGUGAGCAGUAUGAGAUGCUUUAAAGAUCUCAUCUCAUUGUGCCUUCAUUAAUGUGUUUAACUAUGUUACAGCAAUCAUAAUAUAUAAAUGGUAUUUUUCUUCAACCUGGAAAUAUUAAUCUCAAGUCUUGGGGAUGCAGAUAAACCACCAAUUGAAGAACUAUAUCAGUUUUUGGAGUUUCAACUUCCUCGGCAAUGGGCACCAGUAUUUGGUGAACUUCCCCUAGGUCCUGACAGAAAGCAGCAGAGCGGUGCAUCUUUGCAGUUCAGCUUAAUGGGUCCAAAGCUAUAUGUUAAUACAAACCCGGUAACAGUCUCAUAAAAUCGAGUGCGCUUAAACUUUUUGUUGGCAUCUUUGCAUUGACAAAGGACUUUAAACAGUUAUCUGUUUCAGUUCCUUAACCUUGAAACAAGUAUUUCAGCAGGUUUCAUAGUUGUGAUGUUUAGAAUUCCUGUAAUCUGCCUUUUGAAACUCUGAUCUGGUAGUAAAUCCUGCAGAAAAUAAUGAUUUUUCUGAAUCGCUUGUUUGUUCAAAUUAGGACUCUAGUUUAGACUUAUCAGAAUAUAUAUAUAUAUAUGUAUAUAUAUCAUAAGCUUUGCAUUUAUAUGGACCUAAGGGAAUGAACUAGUAAAUAAAGGGAAAGGAAAGAAUGAGAAAGAGCACAUAGAGUUGGUUGAAUGAGGGUUGGGAAGUAGUGCUACAUAGUAAGGGUUGGUGGGAAGGAGCUGAGAAGUGCUAUAUAGCAAGAGUUAGUGGAAAGGAGUUUUGAAGUGGUCUGACAUACCUAGAGAUAUUAAGUAUUUCACUGAUGGUGAUGUUGAAGCGAAUAACAUGUCUUGCUUUAUCUAAAGUAGUGACCUCAAACUUGAAAUCUGUUAUGAAGGUCAGUCUGCUGGCUGCAGCUACUUCAUUAGUGACUUCAACUUGAUGUAUCUGAAACUUUUGGUUUUGAUACUUUAUUUUCUUUUUCUUAGUUUUGCUUAAGGGUAGAAAGGUGUAGGAUUCCUGAUUGUGUCUUGAAAUAAUCUAUGUUUCACAGAAGUUCUCUCUAGUAUUAUUUUCUACUGGGUGGGUUUGUUUUAGUUCCUUUAUGCUUGCCACACAAUGACAGGUAUUUAGCACAAGUGUUUCCCAAAAUAGUUGAGAAACAGUAUUCUUCUUGCAGCAAAAUGUAAAUGGAAGUACUUAUAACAUGCAAUUGGAGGUAUUGAGCACAUUUAUUUCCCACAUAAACUGAGAAACAAUAUCCUUCUGGAACCAGUGUAUUUGGAAAUGUUUAUUUAAUACAACAGGAUGUACUUAGUGCAAUUUCCACAUAAGUUGAUAAACUAUGCAUCUUUAAAUCUUUUCUCUUCACCAGAUUACCUGGACUUUCUUUGUGGGCCUUUUUAUCAUGUGCCUGUUGCUAAUAUGUUGUAUUGGUGGAGGUUUAAGAGUUCAAUAAAUGAACCAUGUGAGUGUGAUACUUCUGACCCUACAUAUCAAGGCAGUGAUACUUCUGACCCUAAAUAUUAAGGCAUACAAAUUGUGGCUGGCUGAAUUCGCUUGUCCCUUUUUUUGUUCUUAUGGAUAAUCACUUGGUUUCGCAUGUUUAUUACAAGUAUUGUCAAAAGAUAAGUGAGAUUAACGCAUCAAAUAAUGAUUUUACUUUCACCUUGAUUGCUUUCUUGACUUGCCUUCCUAAUGUAAUUUUAGAUGGAUUUCAUCUGAUUUCUCCUGUUCUCUGAGAUAGCCAUGCUGCUUUAGCACAACUUUGAGUGUAAUGCUGCCCUUCUCACCAUAAAUCUUAGUGAAAAAAGAAAGGUUGUCAAUAGGAAAGUCUUUGGAUGACAAAUAUGCUCUCUUUAACGGGUUCAUUUAUUGUGUCUAGUCUUUUUGCAACUCAGAUAUGUUGAAUAAUUGUUUAACGAUGUGAUUAUUUAUUUAGUUGGUGCAAUUACUUUUAAUAGGUUGAUGUGGGCAAUAAGCCUGUGACCGGACUUCGACUGUAUUUAGAAGGGAAAAGAAGCGAUUGCCUAGCAAUUCAUUUGCAGCACCUUUCCUCUUUACCCGAGAGCUUUCAGCUUCAGAAUAAUUCAAAUCACAAUGCAGGUAACUCAUAUGACCACAGGUAUUAUGAGAAAGUCCAGUGGAAGAGCUUCUCACACGUAUGCAGUGCUCCUGUUGAAUCUGAUGAGGACCUUGCCAUUGUUACUGGUGCUGAAUUUGAAGUCAAAGAAUCUGGUAUGAAAAAUGUUCUUUUUCUGCGCCUUCAUUUUUCAAAGGUCAUUGGCGCCAUGGUUGUCAAGAAACCUGAGUGGGAUGGUUCCACAGUGCUGGGCCAAAAGUCUGGAAUUAUCUCAACAUUGAUUAGCACUCGCUUUUCAACUAGUCAGAAACCUCCACCAAAUCCAUCUGAUGUAAACAUCAACUCAGCACUGUAUCCUGAAGGCCCCCCAAUGCCAGCACAAACCCGUAAACUCUUGAGAUAUGUUGACACAAAGGAAAUGACAAGAGGACCACAGGAUUCACCUGGAUACUGGGUUGUUUCUGGAGCGAGGCUUGUGGUUGAUAAUGGCAAGAUAUCUCUUCGUGUGAAGUACUCUCUUCUGGCUGCCAUCUUGCCGGAUGAAGAGGAGCCAUUUCAUGGAUAAUUUUGUGGACCAAACAGCUGAAGCAGUAAUAUUGCGAGGCAAAAGAGGGAUGUCAUUUCAUGAUUGAAGUCACAGAUUUUUCUUAUAUUUAGCGAGGAGUUUUUGAGAGUUCUUGUAUGGUUUGAAUGGUAUCAGGCAAAUUGCUGCACUUCUUGUGUUCUAGCAUAAAAUUAUGUACAUAAUUCUUGAUGUUGGAAGAAUUUAACUGAAACAGUUACUUGUUCGGAAAUAGGAAAUGGAGAACAGGUAAAUAUGCAUCUUAUUAUAGGACGAAAAUACUUGUUUACACAGUUUUCCUGUCCCCAUGUAAUUUCAUAUUGCCCGAAAAAGGGUGGAGAGGAGGGCGGGAAUUCUCAUUCAGUGGAGUUCCAAAUCUUGUUUCUUGUUUCCUACAAUCUUGAGAUCACUGAAUCAUCUCCUUGCAUAAUAUGGAAAAUCCACAGGUCGGGUCUUUCUAGAAAUCUGAAGAACAAAUAUUAGUUUUUUCUUUUUCAGUUGUCAUAAUUUCUACUAAGAGCAUCCACAAUGCUAUUACACUUUGUGGAGUGUAAUCCACAUGCCACGUCAGCAUUCUACUUUCUCCUCUUUUAUUACACUUUCACUCACAAUGGAUUACACUCCACAAGGUGUAAUAGCAUGGGUCCACAAUUAAUCAAAUAUUUAUUUUAAUAAUGCAUAACUCAUAUCCCAUAAAUAAAUAAAGUAAUUUUAAAACUAAUUUUGUUAUUUUUAAAAAAUAAAGUACUAACUUUCGUUAAAUUUUGUACAUUUUGAAUUUUUUUAUUUUCUAAAAAUGAUAUUAUUAAUUUUUAAGUUUGAAUAAUAUAUCUUUUUCUAUGUUUCAAAAAUAAUAUAUUGUUAUUUUUUUAAAAAUAAUUAUGUAGGAAAUUAAACAAAUAUUUGAUACUUCAAAUGUGAAGAUAUCAUAAUAAUCCAUACUUAAUUAAUAAUUCGAAAUGUAAUUAGUUGAACUCCAUAACAUAAUAUUACAUAAGUUAAAUCAAAUAAAAUACAAAUAAUAACAAAAUGAAUACUAGUUUUCAUUGUCAUUGCUUUCGAAUCGCUGGAAAUGCUGGAAUUUUACCGUUGCCAUAGGCCCACAUUUUGAGAAUUACACGCAUCAUACAUGUGAUGCGUGUAAUCUCCAUGACACGGCUCCAAUGGGGAGCCGCGUCAUGGAGUGGUGUAAUGGGGGUGUAUUACACCCCCAUUGGAGCUGCCCUAAUAAAACUGGAUGUGCAAGCUUCUAAUGUAUAAAUAAAUAUGUGGCUAAUUGUUCUUCUAGCUCUUGCUAGGUUUAAUAAAAUCAGAGUCAACCGUGAACUAAAAUUUUGGGAAGUAUUUGCUAGACUUUAUUUAUUCACGGACACAAGUUCAAGAGAAUGUUUUUAUAGCAACAGAGGAAACAAAAAUACAGGCCCCAAAUGCAUAAGCAAAUUUUGGAGUGUGUUUUUCACACGAUGGUAAGACAGAGUAUGCUGUAUCAAAGAAAGCCAAAAGCGCAACACUGGUGAUAAGAUGGUGUCUUUGUAGUUAUGGAGAUCAAAAGUUAAAACCACCAGUUAAUUUGGAAAAAAUGGUGAAGAGAUGGCAAAAUCGAUAAAGUCAGGAGAGGAGUGAAGUGGAGGAAGCUUUGUUUCUUUGUAAAAUUGAUACAAGUCAUAUGAGGGGAAAUAAACGGGCAAUGAAUUACGAAACUGCGAAGAAAUCGAGAUAAAUUAUUAGCCUAGGUAAUGAAAUAGUGAGUUUUUGAUAAUUGAAAAUCCCUUAAAGAAUAAUGAAUAUAGAAUAGAGAUAAAGAUGUUCAUUCCAAAUGGUUGAAUAACUUGAUGAUUGCCAUAUAUACAAAAGUAAUUCCCUCAAAAAUAUAUGUGAGAGUGGAUGGAAUGUCUGCAUUCGACGUAUGAGUGACAAUUGUGCCAGAAUUUUUUUAUUUGAGUAAUAAAAAGGGAUAAUUUCAGAAACCUCCCUUGAGGUUUUUGACAAUUUCACUCAGUUCCCUUUAGGUUUAAAAAAUUACACUUACCUCUUUUGGCAUAGUAAAAUACCUAUAAUGCCCUCCACUUAGUGAGUGAGUGAGUCCUGGCGAGAGUUGGGUAGGUGAUCCGCUAAAUCCUGAGGUACGUCCUAGGGAGAGGUGGAGUCGUCACAGGUAGUAUCAGAGCCUAGGUUUGAGUUGGUCUGGCCAGAUUGAGUGAUUUGUACUUGAUAUGGCUUAUGUACGACCGUUUAAGUGUGAAACCUUGGAGAAUGGGUGGUUAAUUUAGUUUUACUUGUUUAAAUUGCUUAUUCUCUUGACGCUACUUGUAAUGUAGGCAAUGGAAGGAAAUGGUGAGAAUGGGAAUGCUGAGCAACCUCGUCAAUUGCUUAGCUAUCAGGAACAUCUAAGAGGGCCGGUACUUCAGUGGGCUCCGGAAUGUAGGGUAAAGCACUGUGAUUGCUGGCGGACCUACUCAUAUCCUGAUCGGGUGGUCCUUGCCAUAGAAGACGAGAGGAAAAUGUUGGCUAAUGCUAAUCAUAAGGCCCAAACUGAUCGAGUGCCUGAGGGCAAUGUUGGGCGAGCACGGGGGUAGGAUCGCAGAGCUUGAGGCUUCUAUUCUUGAGCAGCAGGAGCAAACCAAUGCCUUUCGAGAGCAAACUCAGGAGGCUAAUGGUCACCUUGUUCGGAUAGUAAGGGAAGUGAGGGACCGAACAGAUAAUAUUUUGACCAAGUGUGGGGCACUUGUGAGGGAAGUGGUACAGGUGAACUUGGCCGAGAAAGGUCAAGGGAAUGUAGCUCCUAGUGACUUAGAAGCCAGCCGCACCUGAAAAGGUUGUGGAGUUAGAUGGAUCAGUGACAAACCAAGUUAGGGAUCUAGGGUUUUGGGGUUUGCGUGAGAUAGUUAGGGACAUAGUUGGGAUGACACGUCAUCUUUUGUUUUUUAUAUUGAUGUGUUAAGGCUGAAAGGCUGAUGUAAAUAGCACCUGCUUUUGUUCUAUGUCCUUUGGUUGUUAUAAGUUCUUGACUUUAUUAGGUUGAUAUGUACAGUACUUUGUGACUUGAUAUGUGAAUUGCUAUGAUAUGUAUAUAAAGAAAGUAAGUUAUUUUAAAUGUGCUCUAUUAUUUUCAUUUUAUGAUUUGAAAAUAUUUUUAUCGAGCUUAUAACUAUUUUAUUUUGCUUAUAUCUAUAUAGUCUAUUUUUCAAAAGAGGUAUGGACGGUAGGCGAGAAUUUAACGAGAAAUAUUUUCCACCAUUAGUUCAGGAGAAAAGGUAGGAUGAUUUUAUUAGGCUAUGUCGGGAAGACUUAAGUGUAUCGGAGUAUGAAAUCCAGUUCACCAAGUUAUCAAAAUUUGCUCCUGAAUUGAUAGCUACAGAGCAAAGGAGGGUGAGACAGUUUGUGCAAGGAUUGAACGUAGAGAUACAAGAGGUUUUAGCAGUAACCGAGAUUCUUGAGAAAGCCCAAAGGAUAGAAAUUGUAAUGGCGCAAGUGAAGACUUUUCAUACAAGAAAGAAAUGUGUAUCUAGUGGAGACCAAGGGCAAGAACAAGAUGAUCUAGGUAUGCCACCCUCUAAGAUGGAUCGAGGAGUUGGUGGUGUGAGAAUUUUGGGGACAACCAAGGGAGUUACUCCAAAAGGAGCCCCGGAUGGAGGAGGACAACUGAGAGGUGUCUCACAAGGAGAUCAAGUCUCAAUCCCUCACUUAUCUUGUGGAUAUUGUGGAAAGACCAAUCACACUGAGAAUAAUUAUUGGCGAAAGGCACGAAAAUAUUUAUGGUGUGGUAGUGCUGAGCACUAAAUUGCAGCCUGUCCCCUUUUCAGUGAGACUCAGCAGUUAGAUAGGUCAAACCCUAAACAACCGAAUGUAGGAAGGAAUAGAUCCAGAGUGCUUGUUAGAGUGUAUACCAUAAACCACCAGCAAAUGCCUAAUCCGUCUAAAGUGGUAGAAGGUACGAUUCAUGUUUCCCAUUGUACGGCUAAAAUUUUGGCUAAUGAUGAGAUUUGGGAGUUAGAGACGGACAUGCAAGAAGAAUACCCUGAACUAUUUAUGAAUAAAUGUAUGAAUUUCGAGUUCGAAAUUCUCUUAAGGAGGAGAGAGUGUGACAACUUGAAAAUUUGCUUAUAUUUUCUUAUAAUUCCCUGUUAUUUGAAUAAGUUAAUUUAUAAUUUCUUUACUACUAAUUUACUCUCUCAAUAUUGGUAAUAAGUCAUAGAAUCGAAAGUUUUACUUUUACUUUUAUAGUUCGGCUAAACUAGGAUUUUUGCACAUUUUGGUAGUGUGAUCACUUGUUGAGGUGUGUGUACUAAAUUUGGUAGAUAAAAGUGAGUAUUAAGUAAGAGAAAGUGUGUGAUUAGAAGUACUAAGAAUAAAUUAGUGAAUCAUAAGUUAAAACACAAGUAUGGGAGAGUUAAAAAAAAUAGACUUGCACCGAUGUGCAUCGUUUGUUACAGAUUGAGUACACCGCUUGACCACUACUUUCUUACCCUAAUCCUCUUGCUUUUAUUUCAGCUAAUCACCCCUAGAUUAUUCCCUAAAACAGCAAAAAAUAUUGACCAAAGAAAGGGAGAAAAGAAAAAAAAAAGAAGGAAUCUUGAGACGACAAGUGCCGGCAAUCCAAGGAUGUUUGACCAAGCCAAAUUCUUUCGUUCUUAUCUUCCAUUUUGGCUCAUUUUCUUCUUCCUUUCCUCAUGGUGGCCGAGAGUUAGGAGAGGAAAAAGAGAGAAGAAAACUUUUUGUAAGGCCCAAAACAACCAAUGCAAAGAUCAUAAACGAAACAAUAAGUAAAUAAAAAGGAAAGGAUUGCAAACCAAUUAACUACCCAACUCCUCUUGAGCUUGUAGAUUAAUUGAAACAAGCUACUUCAAGUUGAUGAAUUACAAUCACUCUUGUGUACAAAGGAAGGUUCACCUCCUCCUUGCCCCAAGCAGCACUUGGUCAAGCCAGGACAUUUUACUAUCUCUCAGGACAACCCUCACAGAGCUACACUCAUGAAAGAUUCACUCACAAAUGAAAAGCUUACAAUGAACCUCACACCACUAAGACUACAAAUAUUCUUUUUGGAGUAUUUUCUCACUAAAAUCUCUCUAGAUCUUUUGUAUCUUCAGUGUGCCAAAGUUGUUUGAAGUAUCUGACCAACCACUAUUUAUAUAGGACCAAGAAAGAGCCUCAUUAAAGCUUCCAACGGAUAGAAAGUAGCUGAACAGUCAACUAGCCGUUGGUAGUGUCGGACGUCCGAUAGCACUGUUUUAUGCGUCCGACAGCAGGCAGUGAGUUUGAGAAAUUUUCUUCAAUUCUUUCGGACGUCCGAUAGGCUGGUUUUCUGCGUCCGAAGAUACUCAAUGGUUGUCGGACGUCCGAUGCAGUCUUUUUGAGCGUCCGACAGCUUCAGCAUACUUUGUCUUCUUCCAAUUGCACUUGUUCAUGGAAUCAAAUAAUUUCAUAACUGAAAAUAUAUCUUGAAGAAAUAUUAGUAUCAUCCAUUUGUUUUGUAAACAUCAAAAGAUAGGGAUCAAGAUCAACAAUCUCCCCCUUUUUGAUGAUGACAAAACAAUGGAUGGAAAGAAACAAAAAUAAGUAUAAGCUCCCCCUCAAUCAUUGCAAUCAAAACUUUUAAGAGCCAAACUCAUAAUCUCAUAAUAACUCCCCCUUACACAUUGCAUCCAUCUCUCCCCCUUUUUGUCAUCAUAAGAUGAGAGUAAUAACCAGCAACCAUAAUCCAACAACAAUAACAGAAAAUCCAAUAUUUCAAACAAAAACAGAGAAAUGAUAGCAGAAUUCAGCAAUACCAACAUACCAACUUAUUACAGAGAAAUUAGCAAAUCAUCGUUAGAUCAGAAUAGUUCUUUUCUCUCCCUUUUUGACAUCAUAUAGAUUCAGUAGUAUUCAAAAAUAUCAGCGAAAACUCAAAUCAAAAUAUCAGAAAUAUCAAAAGAAGAAUAUUGUGAACAAGAAUCACUGCAGUGAUUAACAAAAUCUCCUACUUGUUAAAGUUAGCAUCAUGUCUAACUAUCCACAUGUAUUUCAUGCCUUUUUUUAUAUUCUUUCUCACAUAGCAAUCACUUUUCAUGUGACCUUUUUGACAACAGAAAUUACACAUAAUCAGGGAAUUAUUUAUAUGAACAGGUUUAAUAAAUCUUACUUGUCUUCUCCUAUGGAUAACAAACUCAUUUGCAGCAGAAUUUAUCUUAAAAUGAAGUUUAGAUUUAUUACUUUGAAAACAGUCCUGUUUUUUAUGUUGAAGCAACUCAUUUAAAUCAUCCAUUCUUCUUUUCAAAUCAUCUUGUUCCCUUUUGAACAUUUCACAAACACUUGUUUUUCUAUCAAGAUCCAAGUGUAAAGCAGUCUCAUUUUUUCUAAAGUAAUCAUUUUCAAUUUUCAACUUUUUGUUUUGUUGAAAAAGAUUUGCAUUAUCUCGAAGCAAAAAACUAAUUUUCUGUUUUAACUCCUUGUUUCUAACAUAAGAUUCUUUCAAACUAUCAUGCAAUUUUAUAAUGAAAGAUUCAAGAUCAUCAUCAUCUUCAUCAUCACUUUCAAAUUGAGAGCUAGAAGAUGUUACCUCAUCAUCUCCAAUGGCCAUGAAAGCCAAUUGAGCAGAUUGAUCUUCCUCUUCAAUUUCACCAUCGGAAUUGCAUUCAUUCCAUGUGAAUUGAAAUUUGUUUAUUCUUGGUUUUCUUCCUUCUUUCUUUUUCAUCACUGACAGUCACUUGCAUAGUGUCCAGGUUGGCCGCAUUCAAAGCACUGAUCAGUUUGCUUUUUGUUGAACUCUAGCUUCCCUUUGUUUCUCGAGUUGUUGAACUGAUUUGGGAAUGAAUUGCUUGGUCCACCAUUUCUGAAUCUCCUCUUGUUGAGUAUUCUUUUGAAACUUUUUGUGAUGAGAGCGAUAUCAUUGUCAUCACCUUCCACAUCUUCUUCAUCUAGGGAGGCAGAAUCAUCUUCAUCUUGUGAGGCUUUUAGAGCAAUAUUCUUUCGUACUUUUGCAUCCUCUUCCUCUUGCACCUUAGUCUUAAGUUUCAGCUCAUAAGAGAUAAGAGAAUUAAUAAGAGAUUCAAUAGGUAUAGUAUUCAAAUCUCUAGCCUCCUCAAUAGCAGUCACUUUAUUUUCCCAAUCAUUGGACAAGGCAUUCAGGAUUUUUCUAUUUUUCUCACCAAGAGAAUAUUCUUUUUCCAGCGCCUCUAAAUCUUUAAUGAGAUCAUUGAAUCUACAAUACAUUUGAUCAACAUUUUCAUGAGGUUCCAUCUUGAAAGAUUCAUACUUUGUAACUAGAAUGGACUUCUUUUGUUCUCUAACAUUCUCACUACCUUCAUGAAUUUCUUUCAGUUUGUCCCAAAUUUCUUUAGCUGACUUGCAACCCUUGACUCUAAUAGAUUCAUUUGAGUCUAAUGCACAAUAUAACACAUUCAUGGCUUUUGCAUUUAAGGUGAGAUGAACUCUAUCCACAACAGUCAGUUCACUUCUUGUUUUCGGUCUAGAUGCAUGAGUAUUUUCAUCUAUAAGAGAGGCAUCAUAUGGACCUUCACUAAUAAUAAACCACAAUUCGAUAUCAAUAGAUUGCAAAAAGAUAUCAUUCUUUCUUUCCAACUCAUAUAAUUUGACCCAUUAAACACAGGUGGUCUAAUAACAGAAUGUCCUUCAAAAAACAUAGCAUUAUUGGUUGUCAUCUUUACUCCAAAGCCGAUUGAGCUUAAUCUCUAGGAGACCAAGCUCUGAUACCAAUUGUAAGGCCCAAAACACACAAUGCAAAGAUCAUAAAACGAAAACAAUAAGUAAAUAAAAAGGAAAGGAUUGCAAACCAAUUAACUACCCAACUCCUCUUGAGCUUGUAGAUUAAUUGAAACAAGCUACUUCAAGUUGAUGAAUUACAAUCACUCUUGUGUACAAAGGAAGGUUCACCUCCUCCUUGCCCCAAGCAGCACUCGGUCAAGCCAGGACAUUUUACUAUCUCUCAGGACAACCCUCACAGAGCUACACUCAUGAAAGAUUCACUCACAAAUGAAAAGCUUACAAUGAACCUCACACCACUAAGACUACAAAUAUUCUUUUUGGAGUAUUUUCUCACUAAAAUCUCUCUAGAUCUUUUGUAUCUUCAGUGUGCCAAAGUUGUUUGAAGUAUCUGACCAACCACUAUUUAUAUAGGACCAAGAAAGAGCCUCAUUAAAGCUUCCAACGGAUAGAAAGUAGCUGAACAGUCAACUAGCCGUUGGUAGUGUCGGACGUCCGAUAGCACUGUUUUAUGCGUCCGACAGCAGGCAGUGAGUUUGAGAAAUUUUCUUCAAUUCUUUCGGACGUCCGAUAGGCUGGUUUUCUGCGUCCGAAGAUACUCAAUGGUUGUCGGACGUCCGAUGCAGUCUUUUUGAGCGUCCGACAGCUUCAGCAUACUUUGUCUUCUUCCAAUUGCACUUGUUCAUGGAAUCAAAUAAUUUCAUAACUGAAAAUAUAUCUUGAAGAAAUAUUAGUAUCAUCCAUUUGUUUUGUAAACAUCAAAAGAUAGGGAUCAAGAUCAACACUUUUUAUUCCAACCUUGAUUUUAGCCUUGUUUGAGUUGUAUCACAAAAACUAAAUCGAUUAAACUUGCAUCAAGGGUGUUAGGAAGCUUGGUGUGGUGAAAGUUUUGGAAGAAAUAGCUUGGUUCCUUACCUUCAAGAAGGUUUUGUAAGGUAUAAGUCUAAAACUCUCAUUUAUUUUUCUUAAUCUUGCCAAAUAUGCUAUAGAAGCUUUGAAUCUUGGAAUAUUAUGGAUGAUUUUCUAGUUUCGUGCUAUUUAGUGAAAAUUUCAGCUAGGGUUUUAUAUUUUUGGAAUUUGAUUAUGUUGUUUAACUAGCAAAUAUUGGUAUUGACCUUGGAUAUGGAAUUUGUGAGGUGAUUAAUGGCAUGAUUGUGACUUUUUAGCAUUAAAAGAUGAAUUUCCAACUUUGAUAAGAAAAUUUCAGUUUUGGUACUAGUUGAAUAUUUGCUAGAAAUGAGUUAUAUUUGGAUGUUUUUAGCCUAGAUAAAGAGCUAUCUUGAGAUGUUUAUUGGUGGUGUUUGAAUUGGGUUGAUUUGAGGAAAAACAUGAAGCCUUAAAUGGCUGAAAAAUUGGACAAAUACAAAGAAUAUGCUGCCCAAAUUUUCAUUCGAGGGAUAAGUGAUUGGCCUUGGAACUUGAGCAGUGAUUUAGGGAUGAAUUGGACUUCGGUUGUCUAGGGUAUUCAAAUUUCCUUUAGUAGAGGCAUAUAAGCUGAAUUUUUGCCAAAACUCGUACCCUUUAAAAGGCAAAAGUAGCCACCGCUAUAAAUAUGUUUUACUCGUCUUGUAGACCAAGUUGCGAAUUUAAACGUUUUAAUUGCUUCUUUAAAUAAACCAAAAGAGCGAGCAUGAAUUUUCUAGGAUUUAAUAACUACAAUGAGUACAACUUAAACGAGUUUUAUUUACUUGACUCUUUAAGCGAAACUCCUAUAUUUUGAACCCUAAUUGAUUGCAAACUGUUAAAUGGAAUUUUAUCCUAGAUUUGGACUCCAGCCAGGAAAUUGAACUUGAAUGUGGUUUUGGAAAGCAAUAACUUAUUGGUGAGUGUUUUCCAAUGCAUGAUUGAACUUGAUCUUUGAAUGAAAUGAUUUACUAAUACGAUUGAAUAAUACUUGACUUGUUUGGAUAAGACGAGGGUGUACUUUAUCGUACUCGUCCUCCCCUUCUUGAAUGAUCUCGUACUUGUUUGAGCUUGAUUGACCUGUAAUUGUAUUGGUGCUUGUGCUUGACUUGUAAGUGCUGAACGGUAGGUGUACUACACUCAAUUCGAGUGGGAGGUGCCUCUCAUCCCGUCUCACUACAUUUAUCCUCACCCUAUUGGUUAGUCUGUCAAAUCCAGCCAGUAAGAGCUUGGUCGAGGAGACUGGCGAACCAUAAGUAUUGUUUAUUGUUUAUUGUUUAUUGUAUAAUCUUUUGGAUAUGGUCCACUGAAUUCGGUAUACUCGAGUAUUACCAUCACCCUUACUUUGGAGUUCGGGCCCGUUAAGGGGGUUAAUUGGUGGAUGAAAAUUGGUGUAAAGUGGAGAUCUACGAUCAUGAUUUUGCUUUUUUAAACAUUGACGGAGUGCCAACAGGUUCAGAUCAAGUAAUGCAACGGGAAUUUGGCUCUUGAGAGCCAUUUGUAUGCUUAUACUUGGAAAUAAUUGUUACUUGUAGUGUUAUUGUUUCUUUUUAUGAACUUGUACACUCGCUCAUUUUGAGAUUUCAAAUUUUACAUAUGACCAACUUGCUACUUGGAUUUGCAUGAAGUUUUGGAACCUCACUGAACUUUGGCUCACUCACUCUAUUAGCUUUUGUUUUCCUUACAGUGAUUACGAGCAUAGGCGUGAAGCUAGAAAGGCUAGUUUUGUCUAGAGUUUUAACUUUUGUAAUUCUACUAGCACUGGUACUCGAUUAGGGUUAAAAGUGCAAAUAGAACUUGAAUCUCUUGUUAUAUUCGGAUUCGGAUAUGUAUGAAUGGUUGAGAUAGAAAUGAAUGUAAAUGUACCUUCUUAGCUUGGGAACUGUAGUUUCCUUUACUUUUGAAGAUGCAACUUUUUUUCUUAAAGUGAGUAAGUGAGUCCUGACAAGAGUUGGGCAGGCGGUCCGUUAAAUCUUGGGGUACGUUCUAGAGGGAAGUGUGGCCGUCACAAUUUUCAUAUUUAACACCAAAAGAAGUGAAGCCAAAAUGAUUGUUGUAAGUUUUAAUCAUAACUCUAAAACCUUUUGCUUAUUCUGAGGAUGAAGUUAAAAGCUCUUUUAGAAUAUUAGGGAGUUUUAUUCUGAGAGAGGACUAUUUCACCGUUGGAACAUUAGUAAUUAGUCAUCUUAGAAUAGAAUUUCUUUGUUUCGCAAUAUUCACAUUGCGGCGGCAAUGGUAGCUUAUGGGGCAAUCAGGCAUGAAGCUUGGUAAAUCUCUUCCAGUUGAAUGCAUUUUGUCGCGCUCCAUUUUUUAAAUGAAAAAUAAAAUUACGGGUUUAGGAAAAUGAAUUUUGAUUUAUUUGGAGUGAAAAUUGAGUUUUGAUUUUUUAGAAAAUAAAUAAAGAAAAUGGGCCUCAAAUGGGGUUUAAAAGUGCGAUGAAUUUGACCCAAAAUAAUAGUUUAAAAAGGAUUUUUAAUGAAAAAUAGGAGUCGCCACUUGGUUUUGAGUUAGGGUGUACCAAAUCACCUAAAAAUGAAAUUUGAAUAAAAAAUAGCAAAAACCCUUUUUAAAAGACUCCAAGCCUUCGAAAAUCAGAGAAAAAUGUUCGGGAGUCACGGUUGAAGAAAGGAAAAGCAAGGAUAAAAUUCAAGGCACCCUUUCAACCUAACCUAGAGCUAGUUCCGUAAUUUAGUAAAAAAUUUUCUUAUUUUAACCUAAAAAUUUAUUGCAUUUGGAAGUCACUAUAUGGAUGCAAACCUAGACCUAGGAGGGUAUCGGAGGGUCAGAAUAUAUCUUCAAAACUGAAUUGGUGCCAAUCACAUUAAUUAUGAUGCCCAAGAGUGACUCUUUGAAAAGGUCACGAAUAUGCAAAAGUAUGAGACUUCUAAGAAAAGAAAAUAAUAAUAUACAAAUAUACAUCAUCUAAAGGAACGCAUCAUAAUGGGUGCGGGGAACUACUAGGAGUCGUGACUUCAAUUUUCCCUUUUAUAGAGGGAAUACGAGCGUGCUAAGGGUAGAAAGCCAAACUCGUCCAUAUCCCAUAUUCGAGAGGUUAUUUUCCUAUCUAGUCAAGCAAAUGAUCUAAUCUAGUUUUAAUUAUUAAAUGGAAUGCAAAUCUAGUCAUGUCUCACACAUAGGAUUAUAUAAAGGGAAAUAUAGGAUAGGGGAUGUAUAUAUAGGGGGAAUAUGGGAUAAGGGAUGCACAUAUAAGGGAAAUGCCAUGUAAAAUGAAAAAAAACCCUAAAAAGUGGAGAAUAUGCAUGAAAAUGUAGUAAUGGGUCACACAAAACAUGAUCUAACGUAUGAACGGUUUCUAAGGUUUAGCAUUGGACUAACCCUUAUCUAUGAGUUCCCACUAGCGUUGGACUAGCGAAAAAACAGGAAAUACGGUCAUGACUAGCAUUGGAUUAGUGUGGUGACGGCAUGCAUUUAUUACAAUCAAAUAAAUCAUGUGAAACAUAAUAAAGCAAAUAAACACAUAAAUCACAUAUAACACAUAACACGUAAGCAUGAUAUCUAGAUGCAAGACUCUAAGAAAGCGAGUAACACAUAAAUACACAAGUAUGCAAAACACACAAAGCAAAUAAAGCAAAUAAAGACCUAACUAUUACAUUCGGGGGCCCUAACUACAAUCUAAAGGGGAUAAAGAAUGAAAUAAAAUAAUAAUCUAACUAUUACAUUUGGGGGGCCCUAACUACAAUCUACAGGGGUAAAGAAUGAAAAUAAUAACCUAACUAUUACAAUUUUGGCAUUUAAUUGCCUUCCAAAUAAUUAAAAAUUAAAUUAAAAUAAUAUACAAAAUCAAAACAAUUAAAAUGACUAAAUAGAUAAAUGAAAUAAAAACAUUUAAAAGGCAUGUAAUUAUACACAUAAAGUCACAUAAGAGCACAUAGGAUCAAGUAAAUCACAAUAAAGGAGUAGAGUGUACUUCCCUUGAAUUGGUGACCUAAUGAAAUGAAAAUUUUCUUGUUUACCCUCCAAAACAAAGAAAAAGGGUCAAGGCAUCACUUUUUAUUAAUAUAUAAUCACAAGAAAUGAAAAUAAACAUGAAAUUGAAUCAAUCAAAUCAUUCAAAUAAAAAUAAACAACCCAUAUUUUAAUAAAUUAAAACAAACAAGGACUCAAUUGAAAUAACUAAAGAAGUUUGAAGGGACAAAUUAUUAUUAUUACAAAUAUUGGGGGUCUAAAUCAAAAUAAAUUAAAAUUAAUGGCUUAAGAUGAAAUCCACCAAAACAAAACUAAAACUCACAAAAAUAAAUGAAAAACCAUUUGUUACAAUUAAAUAACAAAAAUACCCAAAAUUUCACUAAAAAUCCAAAUCAAAUCAUAAAUCUCUCAAAACUAUCAAACCUCAAAUUUCAUCCUAAAAUUCACUAAAAUCUAUCCAAAAAUCACAUUAAAUCAUAUCAAAGAAAAAUAAAAUUUAAAAGGGACAAAAUUGAUUAAAUUUUUCAGUUAUCUGGGCCAUAGUAAAAUAAGUGGAAAUUUGAGGGGUUAAAAUGCAACUUUUGGAAGUAUUUUGCAUGCAAGUAUCAAAGUCAUCUUCCUCUGCGAACAUUCCAGCCGCGGUUUUCUUUUCAUUUCAUCACGCAGACAAGAUUUUAGAUCGAAACAAACGAACGCUACAAGUCUCAAUCGUCAACUAAAUCAAACGCUACACUUUGUUACAGGAUUAAGUAGUAGAGAAUCUGAGUUUACCGUCAAAGAAAUAAACAGCAAAAGAAAGGAAAAAGUGCUGCAGGCAUUUUCUCUACAAUUUUGCAAUUUAUUAACAACCUAAGAGGAUUGCAAUGACUGUAACAUAACUUCAAACCCAACUAUCAUUAAACGCAAGAUUGAACGUUCAAUCAAAGAACCUCUAGAAUAGAAAGGGACCAAAAAUAUGCAUUUCCAAAUAUCUCAGGCAGCCUAGUCGAGGACUUCAUCUUAUUCGCUGUUUUUCUUUCUGCAAUAUUCUUACUGCCGCAAACUUCCGUAGCUUAACAACCAAAGAUCACACAAAACAAAUUCCAAGCAAAACAAGAUCCUAAACCCAUGCACUUUUAUCUAACACUAAAGCAACUCAAAACAAGAAUAUCAUGACUCGAAGAAAACGUGAAAAGAAACCGAAGCCGAGGACUGAGAAAGGAACAAGAAAUGGAAACAGCAAGAUCAGAUUACCGUGAGUAUCCAGAAUUAGCAAUAAAAAAGAUUUGAGGUAUCUACUCCUGCAAGCUUCCCUUGAUUAUCCUGUGUCCCACAACGCAGUAACUCCCUUGCUAAUGGCAAUAUCCCUAAAACUAUAUCUGCACCAGAAUUGUCCACAAAGAUCACAGCUUUUUCCAAGGUUUUUGCCCGUUUUCUUCUUCCCUCUGCAAUCUCUCCCUCAGUUCUUUUCCUCCUCUUUUGUUCUUUCUUUUCUUGUUUUUCUCCACUGCCCAAAGCUCCCUCGCAACCUCCCUUUCUCUCUUCAGCCGUCACUCCUUUCUUUUCCUUUCUUGGCGUCUUUUCCUUCCUCCUCAGGCCGAAACCCUUGUUUCUUGCUGCUCUAGUUUUCUUUUUUUCCUCCCCCCGAUCCUCUCUUGCUUUUCCUUUUUGCCUCUCUUUCUUACUCAGCCCCUCUCUCAGUUUCCUCUUCCCUCUUUUCUUGUUCAGCCUUCCCUUUCUUCUUUUCCCUCUCGGUUCCUUGUUCUUCUCUUCCUACUCUCCGUAGCCCUUUUUCUCUAACCCUAGCUGCCACCCCAGCUCUCUCUCUCUCGCUCUCUUCGUUCCUUUCUUUUCUUUGCCUUUCUAUUCUAUAUAUACAUGGAGCAAUGUUGCCAAAACCUAUUUUCAAGGGUGUAGAUGAACCCUUGUCUUGCUAGCAGAUUCGUAAGCCAUUUGAUGGCUUCCAUUCCAGAAGUUUCUUGAUCAAGUCUAAAUGGAUGAGGUGUCCUUGUACUGCUUAGAGGAAAACCAAUUGCGUAAAAGAAAAAUUAUCCCAAAAUGCCAGCUUGCAAGUCUAGUACUGUUUUGGUUCAUGGCUUCAGCAGAGGAAGAAGACGAGAGCAUGGGGAUUAUUUUUUUCAAAAACGCAUUUUCGUUGAUUUUCUUUACUGCUUUUCUUUUCUUUUUCAAUUUUUCAACAAUGAUUUUUCUCAAAAUAAAAUAAAUAAAAAGAUAAAAUUUAACUAAAAAUAAACACAUAAAAUUUUGGUGUCUACACAUUUUACCUACAAUAUGAUUUACAUUCAUUGAUUAAUAUUGCUAAAAUCUUGCAAAUUGAUCUAUACUGAAAAUUUUUAAAAUAUUUUUUGCCUAAUAAUAUUGAUAGCAGUGGAAAUAGGCAUAUCUCAGAUAGAGCAUUGAUUACAUUUUUUGUAUUAGUGGUUGUACAUUAGAUUGCAAUGCAGGGUUGGUAGGAGUAGUAUAACUAUCUACCCUUUUAAAUUUGUUGACUGGUACAUAUUGCAUUUUAGCACUAACACGUGUACGUAAUUUCUUACAUUUCCAUUUCAUGUAUGAUUGUCUUUUGUAAUUCAUUCUCUCCAAGUGUUUUUCUUGUACAUUAUAUAAAGGAUGAUGAGAAAGAAUAACAAAAAAUGGUAGUAAGAGGGGAGAUGACUAAGAAGUGGAAACAUUUUGUAUUCCACUUAUAUCAUGAGGUUGGAAGACUAUUAGGUUGUAACCUUCAUUGAAAGUGUGUUCACAGGAGAAUGUUGUAUCCAAGGUUGAUCUAAGAUUAACAUUGUUGGAUUAAGGAUAGCUCUUAAAGUAAGAAUAUGCAUUCUAGGAAUAGAUUUAAAACUGAUGCAAGGUGGACACCAAGGAUGGGUACGUAUGAACUUCAUCAAUAUUAAAGGCUAAUGUAGGCUAGCCAUAAUUUGAUUGAUGUAAGAUCCUUAGGUCAGAACCAUCUAAUCUAGGGACAGAUGUAACAUUAAGAGAGUAUAUAUGCUCAGGAAUAGGCUUAACUCCACUAUUAUAAGUUUCGUGAUUCUUCAUAAUCAUGUGACAAUUUAGGUUUGUCAUAGAGUGGAAAGUAAGGCCAAUUAGACGAGUCUUAUUUCCUGACAUUUGAAUAUCUGCAUAUGCAGCAUUAGAGUGGAUAUCCAUUGCAUUAGCAAGAUAGGCUUGAGAAAGAGCUAGAUUUCCUGAUAGCUCUUCGGAUUUUAAUAUUGUAUGAGAGCUAUUUGGCUUCCCUUUUAAUAAAGCCUUAGCAAUAUAACGUUCAUCAAACAAUUCAUCUACUAAACUAAAGCUUUUACAUGCAUUCCUUUUCUUUUCAUCCUAAUCAAAGUUGCCAUAAGGAAAUGUGACUAAUAAUAGCUAAUCAAAAGAUUAAAGCUAUGUACAUGAAGUCCAAACUGCUAAAUAGAAGCAACUGACCAAGAUAUACAAAGCCACAGACUAAUUUUUGAACUUAUCAUAUUCAACUAAUCAGACUAAUUAAAUAGUAAAAGGCAAAAUGUAAAAAAAAAAGUCAUAUAAAUCAUACAUUCAAUAAAUAAGUGAAAUCAAACGAAACUACAACUAAAAAACUAUGACUAUCACAUGGGACAAGAAUAUAGCUAUGACAGGCGUCACACACUUCAACCACGAGUGUAGGUAUGAUUUCCUAUACAGUACUCCGUCUGUGAGCACAUACCUCUAUGACUUGAGGAGGAUUUUCGAGCUUCUACCUUGCUCGAAGGGAGUUCUCCAUUAGCUAAGUACCGCACAAUAGGAUCCAUCCAUGAGUUCACCAUUUGAAUCACUGCAGUGCCCAGUUGUUCACACACCCGCCUUUUGACGACCUCUACCAACACUUUCUUGUUUAGCGUGCCAAACGAAGUGGAGGCCAGUUUGGAAAGAGCGUUGGCUUUUUUAUUCUGACUCCGAGGAACCUAUUCGAGUGUGAACUGCUUGAACAGACUCCUCAGUUCAUGUGCCUUGGCGACGUAUUUUUUCAGCAGCUCUUCUUUAACUUCGUAAUUCCCCAAGACUUGGUUCACUAUCAGCUAUGAGUUGCUAUGGACCCAGAGUGAUUCAACUCCCAACUUCCGAGCCACUUCCAUCCCCGUGAUCAAAGCUUCAUAUUCGAACUUGUUAUUGAAGGCUUUGAAAUCGAGCCCUAAGGCGUAAGCCAGUUCUUCCCGGUAGGGCUGAUGAGGAAGAGCCCAGCUCCGCACCCCUCUUUGCUUGACGUCCCGCCGACAUAUAACAUCUAGGUUGGGAUGGCCUGUUCGGCAGCUUCUUUGGCCUAUUCGACCUCGGCCUGUCCGGCGGCUUCUUUGGCCUAUUCGACCCGGUCUGUUCGGCGCCAGCCCGUCCCGUUGUCUGUUUAGCCCCUUACAGCCCAAAGGAGACACCUUCCGCUAUGAAGUCAGCCAGGGCUUGGGUCUUGAUGGCCAUCCGGGGCUGGAAACCAAGGUCAUAUUCAGACAGCUCUACAGCCCACUUGACCAUCCUCCCCGACAUGUUAGGUUUGGACAAGAUCUGCUUCAAGAGCUGGUCGGUCACCACCACAAUGCGGUGAGCCUGGAAGUAUAACCUAAAUUUCGUGCUGCGUGAACUAGUGUUAGGACAUAUCGAUCCACCAUCGAAUACUUGAUCUCAGCCCCUUGCAGAGUGCGGCUGACAUAGUACACCGACUUCUGGGCCUGAUUUUCCUCCCAAACUAACACCGCGCUGACUAACUCCUCUCCCACAGCUAAGUAGAUGAACAGAGUUUCGUCCUAUUCGGGAGAAGUUAAGGUCGACAAUUUGGCGAUGUGGGCCUUCAGUUCAUCGAAUGCUUUUUGACACUCAGAGGUCCACUCAAACUGGGGACCUCUUCUUAAGGCCUUAAAGAAGGGGGAACCCGAACUGCUGAUUUCGAUAGGAACCUGUUCAAGGCUACCAUCCUACCAGUUAGUCGCUGCACUUCUUUAAUGUUUCUGGGAGGAGCCAUAUCCAUGAUGGCCUUUACCUUGUCAGAGUUGGCUCUUACUCUGUUUUUGGAUAUCAUGUAUCCUAAGAAUUUACCCGACCUGACCCGAAAGUGCAUUUCUUGGGGUUCAACUGCAUCCGCGAGCUCCGAAGGACCUCGAAGAUUUCUCUAAAGUCCGUGAUGAACUGCUUCUGAGUUCUGCUCUUGACUAGCAUGUCAUCCACGUAAACCUCCAUGUUCCGGCCUAUCUGAUUUUUAAACAGUUUGUUCACCAAUCUCUGGUAUGUUGCCCCUGCGUUCUUUAGCCUGAAGGGCAUAGUGACGUAGUAAUACGUACCGUACUCGGUGAUGAACAAGUCUUCUCCUAAUCUUCCUCAGCCAUGGCUAUUUGGUGGUACCUUUUGAAAGCAUCUAAAAAAUAGAAGAUCUCGUAUCCGUAGUCGUGUCUACGAGUAGGUCUAUUCGGGGAAGAGGGUAGUAAUCCUUUGGACAAGCUUUAUUCAGGUCGGUAAAAUUCACACACAUUCUCCAGGCCUUGUCAUUUUUUUUUGACCAGCACAGGGUUGGCCAGCCAGGUCGGAUGGUAGAUCUCCUUCAUGAUUUUUGCCUCCAAUAGCUUGCCCACCUCCUCCUUGACGACCUCAUUCCGUUCGGGCACAAAGUUCCUCUUCUUCUGCUUCAUAGGUCAGACGCUGGGAUCUACGUGCAGCUUGUGAACUGUUAGUUCGGGCAAAAUCCCGGACAUAUCAUCCGCACUCCAGGCGAAGUGAUAGGGCGUAAUUUGUUAUUAAUUUUAUGGUUAAAUUUCUUCUUUGUCCUUGCCAAAUAUUGUUUUAAUUGUUAAAAUAUAUUUAUAUUUGGUAUUUGGACCUAAUUACAUGAAGGGGAGAAAAAAAGUGCUAGAAAGUGAGACCCUCUUGAGACAAAAGCUCUGUGCGUGGAAAACUUCCAAAAUAUUUACAAAUCUGGCUCCACAUUGUGCUACAAUGGAUUCCUUUCCUUUUGCUGACUAGUAGUUUACUAGUAUUAGGUAGUUUACUAGCAUUAGAAAACGAAAAAGGAGGGACAUUCAGUAGUUGCUUUACUUUUGUUUUUAUUUUCCUUAUUCGAGGGAGACUAGGGAGAAAAAGAGGCGAGUUGUUGUUUAGAUUAGGAAUUUUUCGAUUAUUCAUGUUUUUUUGGAGAGGCCGCAAGAAGAGCAUAGCUGCCUUUUCGUCCCUUUACUCCUUGCAUGAAACACAUUACAUUGUUUGAAGGACAAGAAUUAAUUUUCAUGAGUUCUAUUAAUCUGCGUGGAAAUUCCUCUACGAAGCGUGGCUAAGUUCCUCAUCUAAACAGAGAUCAACUCAACGACGUAAUCCCGAAUAUCUGUGAAAUCAAACUGAUCCCAACUCGUUUCUUGAAUUUAUUAAUAUUUUGCAUUCUCUAUUUUUAUUUCUAGAGAUUAUUUCGUUAGCUGAAUGUCAAGGGCCCAAUCCUAAUAAUCUAAUGCCAAAUUAAUCACUAAAUCCGUAAUUGUUUAGUCGAUUAAUAUUAGUGGUAGCUAACAUUUACACACGUUAGGGGAAUACGCAAUCUAAUUUAAAUAACCCUCUUAGUGUGUUAUUUGUUAGGGGUAGGCUUUUCUAAUUUUUAAUGUAAUUGAAAAAUUGAAUCUUACGGUCGUAUCUAGGAUUAUUUCCUGGUUAGGGGUGGUUAAUGGUCGUACUUUGAUCAUCCACAAACUAAGGAAAAGUUGGUCGUCAGAGCUUUCUAGCGACUAUACUUAACCUGUUAAUAAAUUGAGCAAAUCAUCUUUGCAUCGAUGAUCGGAUAAAUGGACUGUGUUUGGGAGGUUGUAUCAUUAACUAGAGAUUGUCCACCAUCGACUUAAUUCCUGCUUACUUCGUGAAUUAUUUUUGUUAAUUGGCUAUUUAGUUAUUUUUAUCUCCAUUUGAAUUGUUUAGCUAUUCUUGAUUUUAUAAAAACCCCUCGUUCUUCGUGCUAUAGAAGAAGCAAAUUUCCCCCAGUCUCUGUGGAUUCAACCCUACUUACUACUAUACACAGAAAAUUAUAUUUUCUUCGAGUAGGUAUUUAUUAUUGGACAGGCUCGACACCUGUCACGAAGAUUUCUGCAUAUUCCGUCACAAGGGAUUCUAGCGUCUUCCUGGUCAAUUCGCUCAGGCAUGAGCCUGUCUUGACCACACGAUCUAGCCGUUCUUUGCUGAUCGGCAGUUCGAGCAAUCCCUCAUCCGUCUCCAGUCUUUUUUUCUUCUCUGCUGGCUCCUAAGGCUCUAAGUAGGCCGCUUGAGCUACCAGCUUCUCCUUACCCUUGAGAGUUGCGAUAUAACAGGCCCGAACUACCUCUGGAUCCCCUAGCACCUCAGCUACUUUCACAGGCGUAGAAAAUUUCAUGCUAAGGUGCAGAGUUGAGCAGACAGCUCGGAGUGCGUUCAGGGUAGGCCAUCUUAGGUUCAUAUUAUACAACGAUGGCUCUUUCACCACCGCGAAGUUCACUGGGAUAGUUCGGCAUUUCGGCGACACCCCCACCGUGACCAUGAGAGUUACCAUUCCCUCAGGUUUUACCGAUGGACCUGCGAAACUAAUCAAGGGUUCGGACUAGGAUGAGCUGCUUGUCUUCCAGCUGCAAUUCUUUAAAAGUCUCGUAGUAUAGCACGUCAAUGGCGCUCCUGUUGUCUAUGUACACCUUCUUUACUUUGUAGUUACACGUUACAACUUCUAUCACGAUGGCCUCAUGAUUAUUGGAAGCAAGGGGUACUGCAUCUUCAUGUCCGUAAAUGAUCUCUAGGUACAUCUUUAAUCGUUUAUUCGGAUUCUCUCCACUAGGAAGUGGGCGGUUGCUCCGCCGAGUUGCGUGACUACCUCCUCCAACAGGUCCUCCCGCAAUGGUAUUGAUUACCCCCGCUAAGUUCUGCACUUCCUGUUCGAGAGUUCGGUCUCUAUGACCCAGGGAUCGGUCCCGUGAGUAGUUCGCGCAUUCUUGUUUGUACUCCCCUCGCUUCUGGUUAGUUCGUCCGUUCCGUAUGAACUAUCUUAGGUGUCCUCGUUUGAAUAGCUCUUCGAUGUCUUUCUUGAGGUCACGACAGUCCUCGAUAUCAUGCCCUAUGUCACCAUGGUAAGAGCAGUACAAACCUUGAUCUCUUCUGUUCUUAUUACCAACCAAUUUUUGAGGAGAUCGAGCAGUACAAACCUGAGCCCUGGGCGCUGUCAAGGAUGUCCAUGCCCUUUCUCCUUCGAAGGGCCUGUUCCUUGCUAGAUUGUCGAAGGUAUUCUUUCGCACCUGAACUCCUCGCGCGUCCCUUGAGUCUACGUUCUUUCUCCGCCUUUCAUCCCUCAGUCUUUCCUAAGCGUUCUUCAAGCGAUUGGCUUGCUCUGCAUUACCUUUCUCGUGAGCUCGGUCUAGCAUUUUCCGAACUGACUUGGGAGGCUUUUUAACGAACUAGGUUUAAAGUUUCUGUGCGCGCAAUCCGUUCAUGAAAGCGGUCAUGACAACUUUGUCGUCCCGAUCUCGGACCUGGAAAUACACGUUGUUGAACCGCACCAUGUAUUUGUGCAGUGACUCCUCGGACUUUUGCUAAAUUGUCAUCAGCUGAGCGGUGCUCUUAAAGAAGGUUCUCGAUGAAACGAACUGAGUUGCAAAUAGGCUCGCGGGCUGACCAAAGGACCGAACUGAUCUGGGGGCAACCCUAGAACCAUUGGUGCAUCUUCCCUUCUAAGAACAUGAGAAGGUUUUACACCUGACUGCAUUGGCAGCCGUUUGUAGGCGCAUGUGGGUUAGAAACAAGAAUACAUAAUCUCCCUAAUCCGUAGUCGCGUCGUAGGAUUUCAUAGUAGGGAUUUUGAACUUAGCAGGCGGAGUGUAGUUCUCGAUGUCUGGUAUGAAGGGGGAGGCAAAAUAUUUAUCCAUCUUCGAAUCUAGCAAUAGAUCCAGUUCGUCCUGUAUCUAGUACUCUUCUCUCCUUGGAGAGUGCUUCCUCCGCGGGAUCCCUCGAAAGGGCUCAGGGUGCUCUGUUCAGGAGUUUUCGUGAGAGGGCUCUAGAAUUUCUAUCUAUUCACAUGAGGGCUCCUUCUGUGCUUGCUUUUGUCGGGGGUUGGGGCUUUCCGUUCUAGAUUCUAAAGGCACCAAUCUUCCCAACUUCUUGCCCCUAGACUCCGAAUCUCGCAGAUCUCGGGUCCGACCCUUCAAGUAGUUCACAAUAGCCUCGAAGGUGGGCAGUUUUCCGCCAUCGCAUGUACCAGCUGUUCAGGCGGGAUUCGCAAGGGCUCCGACCCUGUUCACCCGAAGUUCGCCCCUGAUAGGGAUUUUAAGGGUCGUUUCGUUCGUUCCCUUUGGAUUCAUCAGCAGUCCUCUGAGAUCUAAUUCUCGACAUGUUUUGCAAGGGAAGAAUUACAUUCCUACAGACAGCGCCAAUUGAUGCGACUGCCGAGAGCACGAUCUGAACAGAGCAGUAGCGAGCUGAGCGAACUGAGAGGGAACGAAUUGGUGUCAGCGAGGGGUAGCUCGAACUAACCUGCAAAGAGAUGAACAGCGGGACUAGCUCCCCACUGUUACUCCGACGGUCAAGUCAGUUAUGGUUACAAGUAGAGUAAUGGUAUUGACUACUGUAAAAAACGUACCUUGUCUUGUCUUGUUGUGCUAUAUUUUAUAGGGCUCUUGGUAGUAGUUUUCUUAUAGGAUUAUGAGCCAUACUAGAAAGGGUUUUCCACUUAAGGCUCUGUCUGCUGGCUUCGAAAGGUUCGAGAGCUGCGGCCCACUAGGCCCAUCCACCUAGGAGGCGGUGGCCAUGAGCGAACGAGCAUCCAUACCUGUCCGAGCUAAUCUAGCCAAGCUGACAAGUCACAUGUCCGAACUGACACGUGGCUUCGGUGGAUUGGCCCCAUUACAAUUGACAUUAGUGUCAUCUUCAACUUUAAAUAUGAUGAAUCCUUCCAAGUUCCAAAGGCGUAUCAUUGGCUUAUCCUGCAUGUGAGAGAUAAUCAGAUGAUUAAGAGACCAAAAAAUUUUUCAAACCAUUAUGAUCUUUGCGUAUACAUGUUGUUUAGGAAUAGCCUAAAAAGUGAUAAAUGUCAUGUUUUUGGUUAAAUAUUUGCAUGUACAUGGUCAUCGACGAUAGAGGUAAAUCUGGUCUUAACAAUACCUGAAAGGCACUAAAUUCGAAAGGGAUGCGCUUUGGAAACGUUCGAUCUUGGUUCAUCUGGUAAAACUUCAUCUUCCAGGAUGCUCUUUGAGAUCCUACAAAAGGCCAAAUACAGGCCAAGAAGGCAGCAACAGUUUUGCCGAUUUUCAGUAAUAAAAAAUACAAAAUUGCUAACCGGCCUGAGGGGCACAGGGAUAUAUGAUCAGAGGCAAAGGAAGGAAAAAUUAAACAAAGGGAACAACUAUGUUAUAAUCACUUACACGCCAGGAAGAGCAAAGCUUCAGUCCACCACCAACCAACCAAUGAAAAUUUCUGGGGUGUUUUCCCCACAGAAAGCUCAGUCACCUCAAGAAACAAAGCGACUAGGAUAUCCAAGAAUUGGCAACGUUUAUGAAUUUACCCACCAAGAGAAAUCAGUGGUGCAAAUACCCAUCAUAUUAUUAUUUGCAUCUAACUAUCCAGAGAAAGCCAACCAACCAAAUUCCCACUGCCGCUAUGACUAAACCAUCACGAAAGCUAGCAUUGAGAGCGCUAGAGGACCGUUUUUCUAAGUUUCCUAUGAAGCAUAAUGAAGAAAAUGGCACUAAAGUCCCAACAAUUACUGACCAAGAUUCGGUAUUCAUUUACACUGAUUUAAGCCUUGGCUUUUAUUAUAGUUUGGAUAAGAAUAAGAUGUGCCCUUUUCCCAUAUUGCUUUUUCGAAUAUCUUUGAUUAGUAUUUUUUUUGGUCACGAGUCCAGUUACAAUAAUUAGUUAGGUCACAAUAUAAUUUAUGUCCUUGACGCAGUUAUAUUUAUUGCCAAAAAUUAAGUAAACAACAAAAAGAACUGGAGCAAAAAAUAGCCAUUAAUUAAAAUCACACUUGAUAUUGUCCAUAUAGUAGCAACCCAAUUAAGAACAAAGUUACUAAAUCUUAGACCAAAUUACUCAAAAUAGUUUCUUUUAUUUUUUCUUCCUAAUAUAGGUGCCUACUGGAAACUCCACCAGCCACACUUGCUGCAAGAAAACACAAGAACAGGGCAUCAAACUUUAACCAAUAACACCAAAAAUAACCAAAAAAGUCGCAUUAUCUUAAACGGCAGAAUCCGAAACUUACUAACUUUAGUCUUCACCAGCUGCUUCACCAGCCCCACCAGCCGCUCCAGCUACUGCACCUUGUCCAUCCUGGAGAAAUAUAAUUUGAUAAGAUUUUCAAUCCACAAGAAUGAGAAAGCGUAAGGUAUGUAGAGUUGAUAUUAAUUUACCCCGCACAAUCACCAGCACACUUUGUAUUGGUGCAUAGUAGCCGAAGAUGUUGAACGUCGAACCCACCCCCACGCCAAGGGCAUCUCUCAUGUGCGGCCAACCAAAAAUUAUCUUGCACCUCAGAUCACCUCCCUCUUGCAUCACACAGUUGAUAUUUCCUACCAUCGUUCGAGCUAAAACAGGAAUUCCGGUGUCGGAGAGUGCAUUCAUAUCAAAGUUGGGAGAAGGGUAAGUGAAAAAUACUCUAGCCUCCCUGGGAAUUAAUAGUUCGUUUUCGUCAUUCAUGCGCACCGUCUUUCGGGCCAAAAAAUGUGGGGAUUUCCCACAUAGUCCCCCACUUGAAAGAGAUCUGUCGCGUCCCAUUUUUAAAAAAAAUAUAAUAUAAAUAAUUACGAUCAUGGGUUUAGAAAAAUGGAUUUUGAUUUAUCUUUGAAUGAAAAUGAAUUUUUUUUUUUUUAGAAAAUAAAGAAAAAGGGCCUAAAAAUUGGACUUAAAAAUGCGACGAUUUUGGCCCAAAACAAUAGUUUAAAAAGGAUUUUUAAUAAAAAGUAGAAGUCGUCAAUUGGUAUUGAAUUAAGGUGUACCAAGUCACCUAAAAUAAAUUUUGAAUAAAAAAAAUAGAAAAACCCUUUUUAAACAACUCCAAGUUUUCGAAAAUCAGAGAAAAGUGUUCGGGAGUCAUGUUUGAAGAAAGGAAAGGCAAGAAUAAAAUUCAAAACACCCUUUCAAUCUAGCUAAAGCUAGUUGCGUGAUUUAGUCAAAAAUUUUCUUAUUUUAAGUUAAAAAUUUAUCACAUUUGGAUGUCAUUAUAUGAAUGCAAACCUUGACCUAAUGGCUAUUGAAAGGGUCAAUAUGUCUUUUCAAAGCUUGAUUAGUACAAAUUGCAUUAAUUGCGAAGCCCAUAAGUGAUUCUUUGAAGAAUUCACGAAUAUGCAAUCAAUGAGACUUGGAAAAGAUGAAAAAUUAUAAUAUACAAAUAUACAUGAUCUAAGGGAAUGCAUCAUAAUGGGUGCGGGAAACUAACACUCGUGACUUCAAUUUUUCCUUUAAUAGAGAUAAUACGAGCGUGCUAAGGUUAGAAAAUCACACUCGUCCAUAUCUCAUAUUCGAGGGUAUUUCCUAUCUAGUCAAGCAAAUGAUCUAAUCUAGUUCUAAUUUUCUUAAAUGAAAUACAAAUCUAAUAUCAUAUUUCACACAUACGGAUAAGGAUAUACCUAUAGCGAAAUGUCAUGCAACAAUGAUAAAAGCCCUAAAAGUAGAAAAUAUGCAUGAAAAUAUAGUGAUUGUCACACAACAUGAUAUAACGCAUGAACGGUCCCUAAGGUCUAGCGUUGAACUAGCCCACAUCUAUAAGUUCCCACUAGCGUUGGAUUAGGAGAAAAUGGGAAAAGGAGGCCACAACUAGCGUUUGACUAGUAUGAUGAUGUCAUUCAUUUAUCAUAAUCAAAAUAAAUCAUAUAAGACAUAAUGAAAACAAGUAAACACAUAAUAUCACAUAAAAACACAUAGAACAUAGGCAUGAUAUCUAGAUGCAAGGUUCCAAAAAAGCGAAUAGCACGUAAACACAUAAGCAUGCAAAACACACAAAACAAAUAAAGCCAAUAAAGAUCUAGCUAUUACAUUUGGAGACCUUUUUUUUUUUGCAACGCCCCAAAUUGGGGUAGGGAUGCCAUCCCUAAUUUAUUUAUAUCGAAAAAGAGCACAGCAAAUUAGAGGGGGACCAAACCUGACCUUUGUUAGAGGAAUAAGGAAAAGAAACAGCUAAGGAUCAACAAUAAAAUGCACAUAUGAAAAAAUCUGGAAUUCUAAACACAUAACAGAUCAAUCGAAAGAAAUCAUCCACAUGAGGGUGCCCCACAUUUGUGGGAUUGUGAGUGAGCAUGAAAAUUUGGUUUAACAUCUUGAUGUGUUUGCAUUGUUUUACCUAUUUUUGAAAGCUGCUUCCUCGCUCUCUUUGAAAUCACUUGGGUAAAUUGCUCGUGAACUAGGUUCUGGUCUUGAUCUUUAUCUGUUAUGAAUCACCUUCUUUUUCUUCUUCAUUUUUGUCAUCAUUGCAUGUUGUACUUGAAUGAAGAAAAGGCUUUUGAUGUACAAGGGGAUCCUACCAUGUAAUUUCUCCCAUUUAAGCUCUUCAAAAACAUCUUUAAAUUGCGGCACAUCUUUAAACUGUGGCUUUUGAGGCAUAGAGGAUUUCGUUUCUGUUCUUGUACUUGUACCCACAAGGGGUGUGUCUCCAACUGACACCACAUCACGUGGGUCAUGAAUUUGAUCUACCUUUGUGAGCGCACCGUUUGCCACAUCAGAUGUAAUUCCAUUCCCUUGCUGUGAGAAGUCGCCAGCCUCCAUCGCCUUCUCUUCCGAUGCAGCCUCUAUGAAUGUGCCAUUAGCUGGUUGAAUGGAAUUGUCAUCCUCAGACUCCGGAUUAGUGAAUUCUCCGUCACUUUAUUUUUGCGAGUAUUAUGCUCCAUGCUUCGGCACCACAUCUAGGCUCAUCGGGUAUGCAUCCUCCACUCUAGGUGAUCCCUUUGCUGCCAUACCCAAACCAACAUCUGACCGCACGCCUGCUGCCCUUGGCUGCCUCAUCGAGUCGCAGACAGCAAGCUGCUGUUGCUCUAUUGCAUCCCCAACCUGCCAUACCCAGGACCCAUGGCCAGUCUCGUUCUCCCCCAUUUUGUCGACUAGCAUUACCGUAAUGCCCCUUGUGUCUGUCUCCUCCACUAUAGCCGCAGCCUUUGUUGACCCACUAAGCCCAUUAUGCGACUGAAUGCCUUCUGUUGCGUCAAUUUCCUCCACUCCAACCGCAUUGUCAAUUUCCUCCACUCCAGCCGCAGCGUUUGUUGACCCAUCCAACCCAUUAGGCCACAGCAGGCCUUCUACUUUUGACUUCACAGCAGGGUCGCCUCCAUCAGACUGCACUUUCUCACCUUCUUCACCCACCUGUGCGUCAUCCCUAACCUCAAGCUGCCCAUGCUCCAGUAGCAAUGAUGGCUGACCCGCCACCUUGUAAUAAGCUCCAGUCGAAGGAUGCUGAGCAUCCCGCCUCUGUCGAUCAACCACACCCUUCACCAUUGUCUUACCUUGCUCCUCUUUUGGCAGAGGGUCAUUGUUUUGCGGCUAUUGGUCCUGUGAAUUCCUCCCAAGCUUUAAUGCUGGAUACUUCUUAACACAGUCAUGUUGUUCGUGACCAAACCUCUCACAGAAGGAAUAGAAAGCUGGCCAAUUUUCAUACUCCACGUUCUGCCAAAAACCAUACUCCUCAUCUCCUAUCCAGAUCUGCUUCACAGGUGCAUGGGUUACAUCGAUCUCCACCAGAACUCUUGCGACCGAUGGCCUCCUCAGAUCUCCCGUAGCUGCGUCAAUCUUCAACAAUCGUCCCAAGAAAGAGGCUAGCUUAUUGAGUGUGUUCCUACCAAAGAACGGCAAUGGCAGACCCGAAAAACUUACCCACAUAGGAGCGAUCGAUAUUUCUCUGUUGGCCUUGAAAUCCAAAGACCAUUUGGAGAUUGUCAUAGGCGAGCUCGUGAUGAACCAGGUUUGACGAACGAAUAAUCUAGUAUAGUCCUCCUCCACCAUUGGUCUGAUGAGGACAUGGUUCGCGUCCAACAAGGCAACCGCGCAAUCUCCUUUCAGUCCUAGCGACAGGAUAGGAUAAACUUCCUUACCAUCUCCAUGGGCGGUCUACUGUAUGAGAAUCUUCCCACCAGGGCGUGCUGGAAUGGGUGUGCUAGUUCAAAAAUUUCGCUCUUCGCAAUUUUGAGAGCCGGUUCCUCUCGAUACGUUGAAACAGUUCCUGGGUUGAACUCCUCAGCAAUACUAUUGGCUGAUAGCAUAGCCGCAAAGCUCGGGGAGCGGCGCAUCCACAGCCCCAUCCGGUGGCUAAAGUGUCGCCAUAGGACUAAAACUAAAACUAUAGGACUAAAACUCUCAAAAAACUACAUUUGGGGACCCUAACUACAAUCUAAAUGGGAAAGGAAUAAAAUAAAUAAAUAAUAAAAUAAAUACCUAACUAUUAUAUAUUUUUUAAAUACAUGUCUUGAACCCCCUAACUAUUACAACUUGGCAUUUAAAUGCCCCUCAAAUAAUCAACAUUAAAUAAAAAUAAUUAUACAAAAUUAAAACAAAUAAAGCGAAUAAAUAAAUAAAUGGAAUACAAAAAAACAUUCAAGAAAAAGCAUGCAAUUACACACAUAUGACAUAACAUCACAUAGGAGCACAUAGGAUCAAGUAUAAUCAAAAUAAAGGAGUAGAGUGUACCUUCCUUGAAUUGGUGACAUAAUGAAAUGAAAAUUUUCAUUUACCCUCCAAAACAAAGAAAAAUGUCAAGGCAUCACUUUAAUUAACAAAUAAUCACAAGAAAUAGAAAUAAACACGAAAUUGAAUCAAUCAAAACAUUCAAAUGAAAGUAAACAACCCCUAUUCAAGAAAUUAAAACAAAAAGGACCCAAUUGAAAGAACUAAAUAAGUUUGAGGGGCCAAAUCGUUAUUAUUACAAAAAUUAAGGGUUUAAAUUAAAAUAAAACAAAAUUAAAGGCUUAAAAUGAAGCAUACUAAAAUCAAAUGCUAAAAUUCACCAAAUGAAUGAAAACCCGUUUUUUAUAGUUAAACAACAAAAUUACCCAAAAUUUUAAUGAAAACGAAAUCAAAACUAUAAAUCUAUCAAAAAUUAUUAAACCUUCAAAAUUUAUCCUAAAAUUCACUAAAAACCUAUCCAAAAAUCACAUUAAAUCAUAUCAAAGAAAAUUAGCAUUUUUAAGGGUAAAAUUGAUUAAAUUUUCUAUUUUCUAGGCCAUAAUAGCAUUAGUUGAAAAAUUAGGGGUUAAAGUGCAAUUUUCGGAAGUUUCAUGCAUCUUGUUCGAAGGAGUCUUCUUCCUCACUGGUUUCUGCAAUUUUUCUGGUUUUUGCAGCUAUUUCUCUUCGCUAAACAUGACAAACAUCAAGGCUUUUGAUCUUAACAACAAACAUCAGAGAGAUUCAAUCAUUUCAACAUACACAAAUUUCAAUCACCGAAAUGUAAUCUUUUGGGUUUGCUUGUUCAGCACACUCAAGCAGCCAUAAACUCAAUCAAAAAAAAAAAAACUCACGGCAUCAUCUGAUAAAGCCCCAUAGAAAAACCCCAAACUUCUGUCCCCAAAAACCAAGCCAAACCCCAUGAAUUCCUCAACGAUAAACCGAAAGAACAGGAACAACAGGAAACCCAAAACUCAACAUGAGUUUUGGCCUGUUAAAGAUGCAACAGAGAGAGUCGAAUAAGGAGCAACAAAGAACAGACGGAACAAACUCUCUUUACACUAAUUAUGAGUCAUUAAAACUGACUUCCUGGAAACAAUAGGAAGCACAAAAAGAAAAAUAAAAGUCCCAUAUGAAAAUCAUUUAUCAGUCCAAAGAAAUUUCAUGGAAGAUGUUAAACUAGCUAAUACAAGAAACUAUCGUUACCUGUAAGUGAUUGGAGAUUAAUUCAACGUGAAAAGAUGUGAAAUGUUUGUCUGAAAAUGUUGGAAGACGAAGUAAGAGCUCUCUUUUGCAUCUCCUCGAGUAUAAUGAAAGUAGCAGAUUUGGGUUCCAAGUCAAGGAUACUGCAACCGUUUUUCCCAAAGAUCUCAACACCAGCGUUGUUCAGCAAUGGAUCAUCAGCCUUGCUUUUCCUUUUUUUAUUCUUGGCCCGAAGCCAGUUCCUUUUCCUCCCCAGUUUCUUCCCUUCUCUCUCUUUUUCUCUUCUUUCUUUUCUGGUCUUUUGCCCGCAGCCUUCCCAGAUUUCCCAGGCUCCUGGUUUCCUCUCUAUCUCUCUCUAUAUUCUCCUCCUACCUUUCUUGCUCUCUCUUUUGUUUACCCACGAAACUCUCUUCCCUAAUUUUCCAGGUUCCCUUGCUCGAAGACCACUUUUUUUUCUCCUUUCUUGCUGUUUCUUCAGCCCCUUUUUUUU
RNAcentral lists this long non-coding RNA (105301 nucleotides) under Coffea arabica (coffee). RNAcentral describes it as "long non-coding RNA (CARA_LNC005025)". The record is from RNAcentral. Lineage: Eukaryota; Viridiplantae; Streptophyta; Magnoliopsida; Gentianales; Rubiaceae.